UCGCACGUAAAGUCGCUUCUGAGAGAAUGUGCUCACAUUGUAGUUGAAAGAUUAUGUGGCUAGCAACAUUACAAAUUUAAUUUGGUAUAAUUUUAAAAUAUGGAUUGAGGAAAAAAAUGAUCACAUUAACUAGAAACUGAAAAGGUUUCAGCACAGUUUGUUCAAGCAAGAAACUCAAUUUUGAUGCUACCGAUCUUGAGCGCCGUACCUGGGCACCAAAGUCACCACCACACUCUCAUCAUCUUCAGCACCCAAAUCCUCCAACAGGUCCGUUAACCCCAACCUUAAACAACUCUUGCUCUUUUCCUUCUGCUUAUGUGGCACACUCACAAAACUCCCAGCAAACUCGCUCUUGUCGGGUCCACUCGGUGCCGCAUCCUCAUCGUCCACGUCAUUCACAUACACAUCAAACUUCACAGCCACAUCUUUGUCAAGCUCAAUCCCCUGAAUCACCAAUAUCUCCUCCUCAUCCUCUUUCUCCUUCUUGCUCCUCUUCUUCGGCUUCGGCCUUGACACCACCGUACUUAUCUUCGUCUCCAAAUUUAUUGGAAAAUCUUUACCCGCCACCACCUUCCCUGAUGACGUCGUCUCAGCGGCCUUCGCCACUCCAGCCGCCUUUGCCUUUCUCGCAAGCUUUGUCCGACGUGGCGUCGGUCUAGACUUGAGCCAUGGAAUCUCAACAUCUUCAUACGUAUACCCUAGCUUUUUAUUAUCAAGAGUGUCCCUCACCGUGACCCUAACAAGCUCAGCAUUCUCGUCAUAAAACAAAAACCCCGUAUCCAACCAAUCCUUAUCGUUAAUAUCUUUAUUUUUAGUCCCUAUACUUUUCCAAAUAUUCCACAUUCGAUCUAUAUUCGAAUGGUGCGAAAAAAAUAUUGGAUCCCUUCCAGCGGAGUAAAAAUUCCCCAUGUCUUCAAAUUAGGUUGCGUGUUAUCUCCGGUCCAUAAAUGAACCGGACCAUGUGGGGUCGUUUCGAUUGAACCGCCCCCUGGAUCUGGUUCAGUGCCAGCCCUGUAGGGCGAACCAAAGAACAACAGCGGUUUCUUGGAGUUGGAAACCAUCUGCCUAUACAUAAUUUUGAGGUUGGCUUCGAUUUGAGCAUCGUUGGACAUUGUUUCAUCCGUGCCGUUGAAGUCAAGAUCGAUGAGAGUCGGCGGCUGAUGGCUGGCAGCGCGAAGCUCGUCGUAAAGCGGAGAGUCCGGGUUAGCGAACAAGGCAGGGAGUUGCAUGCCAGCUGGCGCGUCCCAGUUCCAAAACGGCAACGCGAACGUCGGAUCGUCUAUGAGUUUGGCCAAGAUUCUUUCGUGGAAGUAUAGGUAGUAACGAUGGAAGGGGAAGAAAAGCCAGCAUUGAUGGAUUUGGAGCUCGAGGUUGGGGAAGCCGACUUGGUCGUACGCGCCGUCGCAAUAGGCACAGUGGAGAUCGGCUUGCUGGGUGAAGCUACGCGGAUCGUCGUCCGGGAGGGCUUUCAUGAGCUCGAUGGCUUUUGAAUAUUUUUCGAUGUAGGCUUUAUCCACGGUGUGAGCUGCCGGCCUGACGCGGAGUUUGGUAGGGGAGGGGAAUUUGAAGUCUACGAUUUUUUGGGACGUUGGCGGGCAACAGUUGGUCGGGACUGCUCCACUUGGAAAGUCCGCAGCUCCGCAUUUGGCUAGGUCAGGCGGCGACACUGGCUUUGCAACAGCGAAGGGGUCGCUGCCAAGACCAGCCACUCCACCGUAUAGGCUUCCGAGACCUAUAAGUACAUUUCUUCUGUCUAGGUUUACUGGAGAAGGGUUUUCAUGGUCGUGAUCGUUGGAGCUAGUGGAAGGGUUUUUGUUUUGGUCACUACUAUUAUUUGUGGCUUUGCAUGAGACAGCUUGUAAAUUGGAAUGCCUAGGGUUUCCAAAUGAGGAUAUUCGGUGAUACUUUUGGGAGAAAGGGGAGAGGAAAGUUGUGGGGAUGAUACUUGUGGCGGAGGUGACGAGUGGAGCUGACAUAGAAGCCAUGGUUACUUUUGACUCUGAAUAAUACGUUGUAUUGGCUUUGCUUUUAUAAUGUGUUCUAGGUUGUACUUUUCUUUGCACAGGUGGCAGGCCGUACACACGUGGUCGGUCCUUAAGGGUUUGACGAGGAAUACUACGUAGUCAUUUAGUACAGGACAACCAUACACUAUAGCAAGUGGCAUGUAUUUAGAGAUCGAGAGAGAAUUGGGUAAGGUUCACGAGGGAUUUGUAGUUUCAGAAGGUGAAUUGGUUUUGGUCUUCUUGUGUACCAAUAAUAUUUACUUAGUCAUUUAGUGCAGGACAACCAUGCACUAUAGCAAGUGGCAUGUAUUUAGAGAUCGAGAGAGAAUUGGGUAAGGUUCACGAGGGAUUGUAGUUUCAGAAGGUGAAUUGGUUUUGGUCUUCUUGUGUACCAAUAAUAUUUACUUAGUCAUUUAGUGCAGGACAACCAUGCACUAUAGCAAGUGGCAUGUAUUUAGAGAUCGAGAGAGAAUUGGGUAAGGUUCACGAGGGAUUGUAGUUUCAGAAGGUGAAUUGGUUUUGGUCUUCUUGUGUACGGCUGUGGGUCUGCUGUCCCGGACUCUCUGUCUCAUUUGUGUCUUAUUUUUUAUUUUUUCACACGUGUCUUUUACUUAACGUCAAAUCAUGAUAGCAAUGUUAUGCAAUUGGGAGCUAAACGACCGAUGCUUUUAUUUUUUAGUUUGCUUUUUUUCCAGAUCUGAUCAAAUCAUGAUAGCAAUGUUAUGCAAUUUUCAAGAGGGAAAGAUGCACCUGGGAGAGAAACGGUACGGUGACUUCUAAAUCACCGUCCAACAGAACAAUUCUCAGUAGAGACUACUAGAGAGAGAUGCACCUCACCAAUGAAAAAUUUAACUGCAAAAAUUCUGGGUAUUGGGUAAGGAAAUUCGGUGAUACUUUUGGGAGAAAGGGAAGAGAGAAGUUGUGGGGAUGAUACUUCUCGUGGAGGUGACGAGUGGAGCUGACAUAGAAGCCAUGGUUACUUGACUCUGAAUACUACGUUGUAUUGGGUUUGCAUAUAUAUAUAAUUAGGAUUGAAGGAUGUAGAGCUUAUUUUGUUAUGUAUUUUAACGAUUUAAGUGCUUAUCUUUUAGGUUUUCUCUUAAACAUCAUGUCUAUAAAAAAUCACCAAAAUUCAAACCAUAUGACCAUUAGAUCCAUAGUCAUUUUAGUGUUUAUUUGUAAAAUGUAUUCAUUCAUUUUCUUCACUACAAAUGAGUGAAUUAAUGAUUUUAGAAUUUGUCUAAUUUUUUACAUUGAUUAUUUAUGAAUGUUGAAUUGAAAUUUAGACGAUUCAAAAAUAGUUGAUAUGCAUUACAAAAUGAACUCCACAAAAUAAGUGUCAAAAUAUGUAUAAAAAAUGGACAGCGUGAAUGGCUUGGAAAUUGGAAUAGGUUUGAAAAUUGUGCUUUUUGUAGCAAAUUUUAGCAAAGUUUGCUUGGACUUUCACAACCGUAUAAAUUAAAGGGAAACUUGAUAUAACUCCAAUUUUUUGAGCCAAUAGUAGGAAUAGUCCAGUUUAUUAAAAUAAGUUCAAUUCUUUAAAUUUAAUUAUUUAGUUAUCAAUAAUUAUCUCUUAAAAGAAAAAACUUAUUGUAAAAAUCAAAUUUCUUCCUAAUUAUCUCUUUGAUUAUUUCUUUUUAUUUAUUUAUUUGUUAUUUCUUGUUCUUCCUCCUGCUUUAACCCAUUUAUAGAUUUUUUUUUUAAUUUUAUAAUCAACCUAUGUCACAGGUUAAUUGUAUUUAUCUACCUAUAUGACAUAUUCUUUUUCAUAGUCAACAUUUCACAGAUUAAUGUGUCUUGCUUGUAGAUAUAUUAUGUUUUUUUCUACCUUUUAGUUAGGUUUCAUAUCUCACUUAUAGGUAUAAUAUACAUUCAUAUAUUUGCUACUUGAGUUAGGGUAGAAUGUUUUGCAGAUAGAUUUAUGUUAGUAUAUUAAUUUUUUUUUGUUUAUAAGAUAUUAAUUAGAUAUUUUGGAGUUGAAAAAUGCAUAAUAUUAAAAGCUUUUAAUUGAUUUUUAAUAUUUUUAGAAAAUAUAAAAGGAGUAUAAAAGAAAUCAAAACAUAUAAUUAGAUAACGGGAGUCACUCCUAAAAACACUCUAUGUUUUUUGACCUGGAUCUUAAAGCCCCUAAAUUAAACUGUUCGCUUUGUUGGGAAAAAGAAGUGGCCCUAGUUUCCCUUUGAUUUUUCAAGCACGGUGGGAGACUGGUCAUAGUUUCUAGAUUGAUGCUCUAAUUCUAAUGUUAUACAACGCGUACGCUAUAAUAUUUUUAUCAAAAUAUUAGUUUUAGUGUUAUCAAAACAAUAUGUUAUUCUUACCAUGUUUUUGUAUCACAAUUAUAUACCACCUUAGAUGGUAUCUGAUGUGGACAGCCACAUCAUUUAAAUUAAUAAGCAUUUAAUUUCAAAAUGUUAAUCAAUAAUUAAUAAAAAGAUUGUUAAUUAAAUGAUGAUUGUGGUAUACAAGGAGUCUCCUUCUUCCUUCCUCUUUCCAUUCUGCUUUUUCUUCUUACCUCUUUUUUUUUUUUAAUGCCAGUUUUGUAUUGAUUUCUGUUGAUUUCCAUGAUUAUGGUCAAUCUUUAUAGAAUUUACUAGUAUGCCACAAUCACCAUUGAUUUCUAUCUCCAGACUCAUGCCCCGUAGCCCUAAUCCUCAUUCCCCUUCAAGUAUUUCUGUCUCCAAUCUUCUUUGGUACUCCAUGAUUGUUCAUCUCGUGAUAUUUUUUUUUUUGAUUAUUUCAUUAAGUAACGCUUAUUAGCUUUCAUGCGAAUUAGGAGUCAAAAUCAAAUUUGUCUAUCGGAUUAGGGUUCAUACCCAAUUAAGUUACUAACGCCAGAGGGAUUUUGAAGUAUGCAAUUUUCCUUAUUUAAGUGUUUUAAUUAAUAAGAAAAUUGAAAUUAAACAAUUUAGCUUGUCCAACUCAUCUGCCACCUAAGAUGGUAAAUAAAUGUGGUAUAAAAUUGUGGUAAGAAUAUCAUUACUCUUAUCGAAAUUACAAAAAAAAAAAAAAAAGCUGAUUCAAUAUUUAGUUAUUAAAAAAAAAAUGAUCAAGUAACUAUCCAAUACCCAUGUAUUGGGUGCUUUGUUUGAAAAUUUUCAAAAUGAUAUUGGGCUCGUUUGGAUAUGUUUUUAAAAUGACUGAAAGCAUUUUUAGAGAAAAUAUUUUUUUGAUUCCAAAAGCACUUAAAGUGCUUUCUGCAAGAAGCACCCGUUAUGUGCUUCUUCCUGGAAGCACUUUAAGUGUUUUUCCAGCAUUUACUUGCUUUUUUACUAAGGACUGGUUCCAAAAACAUUUUCACAAAAAGUGUUUUCAGUCAUUUUAAAAGCACAUUCAAACGAGCUCAUUGUUUUUCCUAUUUUAAUCGAGUGCGUCGUCCUCUGUUGAGAAUGAAUCUCAUAUUAUGGGAGGAGGGAUCUUGCAUGAAUGGGAGGAGGGACCUUGCAUGAGCUUAUAAGUAAGUUGGGUUACUCUCCAUAUUGCCAAAAGAAAUUUUAUUUGGACCCAGUUUUCCUCUCUCUAAACCCAACUUUAAUAUUUUGUUACCUAUAAACUCUCUAGUUUACCCUCAUAAAUUAUAAACAUAAAUAAACUAGAAAAAGAAAAACUCAUCAAACCCAUUUCCCAACUGUUCUGGCGUCUCUUCCCUGUAUUUGUUGGGUCUGUCUCCCUCCCGACUGUUUUUUUUUUUCUGAUAUCUCUGUGUGUUCCCCCACCUCUCCCACACCCACCAAUUCUUUGUGGUGGCUAUUCCACCAAACGUCCAGUGAAUCUUUCCAUUUUUCUUCUAUUGCGCGUGAUAGGGCCUUGCUAUUAAUAGGCAAAACUAAGCGGCAUCGUCGACUCCGUAAGCGACUUGUUGCAUAAGUCCAAAAUGGAGUCAAAUGGAUUUUGUAUUGGGUCGGGUUGUUGAAGGCGAUGGCUGAUUUAGCAAUCCCGCCUAACUAUUUCUAUAUGUAGGAGAAGGAAGAGGGAGGGAGGUCUGAAGUGGUGGUUGAGUGGUGGCGAUGUAUGUGGGUUCUCUCUCGGUUGAAUGGGUGUAGAAAGAUAUUUAAUUUUCAAUAUCUUAUUUUAUUUUGUAUAAGGGAUAAUAUAGGAAUUACAUAAAAAGUUUUUUUUAUAGCUAGGUGUAGAAAUAGUAUUGUUGGGUCUAAAUAAAAUUACCCUAUUGCCAAUUAGUUUUAUGGUGAAAUCUUAACUUUGUUCAUGCUUUCAUAGUAGGUUGUUCCACGUGUGAAGUCAAACAUCCACACGCGCUGCACGUCACCCCGUUGUGUUGUUCACGUGUUAAGCUUGAAAAUUCAUCACACAUGAGGGAGCGUGUUGAGAAUAAAUUCCACAGUUUAUAAGUAAGUUGUACUACUCCGUAUAUUACCAAUUAAUUUUGUGGAAUUCCGUCAAAGCUGAAUUUGACGGAAAAAAAUAACUUCAUGUUUGUUCUUAACUAUAAAGUCAGUGAUACACUAAUUCUGGUUUGUUUGUUUUUUCCUUCCUUCUUAAGGAAAUUCCCAAUCCAACCAAAAAAAUGAAAUUCCCAAGAGAAUAGUAGCACGAACAAUCGUAGCUUUCUUCUUCGAUAAGCCUUGGGGAAACAGAAAAGGGAAAACCGGACUUUAACCCUAAUUUCUCCCAAUGCCGCAGCACUCUCUAUUUUCUCUCUCGCUCUAUAUCGCGGUCCCUCUCUCUCGCCGUCCUCUAUUGCUCAAACUCAAUGUCUCCAACUUCCUCUGUAUGGUUCCCGAGGAAGAUGGUAAAACAGUAAGGGCAAGAAAUUGUGACAAGGUUAGAUUUGGGUAUUAAUCUGGUGGGGCUACAAUUCUCCAAUCCACACCCCUUUCAUCUGUGCUAGUGUUUGAACCCAAUAUUAGAUAACCGGUCCAUGCAAUCGAUGCCGUUGAAUGAGAAAAAUUCUAGGCCGUGGGAUCAAAUAUAAUGAUGUGGAUUAAAUAAGGAAAAUUUAAAGAGUAAUGAUAUUCAUACCAUGUUUUUGUACCACAUUUUCAUACCACCUUAGGUGGCAUUUGAUGUGGAUAGCCACAUCAUUUGAAUUAAUCAGAUUUUAAAAUUUAGUUGAUUAUUUAAUAAACUAAUAAUUAAGAAAAACUAAUUAAUUAAAUGAUGAUUGUGAUAUACGAGGAGUCUUUCUCGUUCAUUUCUUUGGGUUUUGCAAAUUUUUCAAAUGAUGUGGCUGUCUACAUCGGAUGCCACCUAAGGUGGUAUAGAAAUAUGGUAUAAAAAUAUGGUAUGAAUAUCAUUACUCAAAUUUAAAUGUUUAUCUUGGUUAAAUUACCAUGAUAAUAUUGUGGAAUUAUCUUUUGCAUAACGGAAGAGCGAGAAAAGUCCAAGGGUGUAGGGAAGUUGUGUGGUUGACUACCGCUAUUUUGAUGGUAUAAUCUGUAGAGUAAUAUUACAUUUAACAUCUAUUUGUAUCAUAUUUCUAAUAAAGAUAAGGACCAUCAAUGCAUAAAUAAUUAAACAAAUAUAUAAUAAGAGUAUCAUUUUUGUAACUAGAAUAGGAGAAGAAAGACUUCAAGAUGGGAUCAGCCAAAUAAUUAGCGUUAAGAUAAAAAUAUUGAAAGGAAAACUAAUGAAAAUGGCUUGAAAACUUUGAGUUUUAACGAUAAGGACAAGAUAAAGGGUAAAGUGAAUAGUACCAGGAUUGACUUUUUAAUGUAAAAAUAUAGUUUUUCGUUAAAGUGAACAUUACCGGGAACUUUUCGUUAAAGUUUCCAAUGAGAUAAUAUUGCAACAGCUGGCAUGAGACAAUGAUGGUAUAAAGAUGGCUACUACGGCCAAACUACUACAUAGGAUUCCAUACAUGCGGUCAUUAUUUCGACAAAUCAAUGGCUGCCGCAAUCAUGUGCUCAUUAUUCCGACAAAUCAGUAGCUACUUGCAUUGGAUUAGGAUUGCAUGCGUGUGGUCAUUGAAUGAGGAUUGCGUGCACGUGAUCUUUAUUCAAACAAAUCACUAUUGACCAUAUAUUGCAAUUGGUUAAUGGUAGGCAAAUUGAAUUUUUACAUCAAAUAAUGUGAUUGCUGAUAAUUGAAUUAUUAUUUAAAUGUUGAUUAAUAUGCUUAUUUUUUAUUUGUGAUAUAUCAUUUAAUUUGUACAUUUAGUUUACCUAACAUUACCAACUGUAAUUUGUAUAAAUGGACUGGUACCUAACAUAACCAGUUGUAAUUUGUAUAAAUGGGACUGUAAUUUGUAUAAAUGGACUGGUGCCUAACAUUACCAGUUGUAAUUUGUAUAAAUUUACUGGUCCCAAGAGCACAUGCUACUGCUCAAGAAGCAAAGUUCUUAUUUGCCCAAAAAAAAUCAUGGUUUUUUAAUUGAUGCUCUCAUUUUAAUUUACUAGCCCCUUACUUGGCCUUUUUUAUUUAUCAUUUUAUACAUAUUAAUAUUUUUUUGUAAAAUAUAUUAGUUUGAGUUUUAUUAAAAUUAAAAAUAAAUAAAAAAACUUAGUUUUAGUUUUAUCAAAUUAAAAAAAAAUGACUUAAUAUUUAGUUAUUGAAAUUGUAAAAAAGUGAUCAAGUAUUGGGUGCUUUGUUUGAAAUUUUUCAAAAUGAUAUUGUUUUUACCAUUGAAACCCUGUUAUAUACAGUGAUGGCUAAUUUGUCAAGUUCUACGAAGUUGGGAUACCCAGCGUUUUAGCAUAUAACAUAGCUUAGUAUUACAAGCAUAAUUAAUUAAAAUAAAGGCAAAAUAAGAGGAUAGCUUAGUAUUACAAGCAUAAUUAAUUAAAAUAAAGGCAAAUUGUAACAGCCCGUCCCUAAAAAUGACGAUUUUAUAAUCUUAACACGUGAGUUUAUGAAGAUGCCCUUCGAGGCAAAGUGUUGACUACCGCGUCGUGUCAUGUGAGACUCAUCUUCUUGGCGUAUUCUCGUUUUACUCGUCGCUACGGAUGCGUGGGCGCAAACGACACGUGAUUUGGAGCUAUAACAAAAGAGUUAUUAACAUUUAAAGUUAAGGACAUUUUAGUAAAUUAAUUAAUUUCAGAUUUUGUUGAGGGGAAAAUCUGGAGUGCCAUGUGGGUGGCCCAGAUUAAAGGAAAUGAGGAAUGGAUGGUGGAGGUGUAAAGGAAAGAAGAUAAAAGAAAAAUGAGAGGAAAUGUGUGACUAAUAGGGAGAUGAGAGAGUUAGGAUGGCCCAAUUAGAAACAAACGAAAGGAGGAAAAAGGAGAGAAGAGGGGAGCAGGGGAUCCCUUCAACCCGGUUCCACUUUCCGACCCGACCCGAUCCUUUUCAUCUUUUCCGGUGGUUUUUCGUCAGUUUUUCCGGCGAACCACGUUAUCUAACCCCGUUGAAAAUGUUCCACGACCUUCCCUCUACCAUUACAACCCAAAAUUGUAGAAAUUUAGCCAUGAAAGUAUGAAAACCGCACCGGUGGGUGCGGGAAACCUUUGUCGUCGAUUCUCCCAUUAUUGAAACGAUUUUCACCAAUUAUCACCACCUACAGCAUCCUCUUGAGGUCUGGAAUAAAGCCCAAACAAGUUUUGGGGCGUUGGAGUUCGUUUAAGGUCGAAUUGAGCACACCCAAAUUCAAGGGUUCCGUACCGUUCAUGGUGAUUUGAGGUGUUUCUCGGCCAAAUUGGCCUUAGUCACAAGUAUGAAAGUUGCUCCACUCGUUGAGAUCUUCAUUUAUGUGAAAUUUGAGAAUUUUUUGAAAUAUUUGGAUUUUCCAGCGAGUCGGGGUGGCGGACCGCCACCGGCAGCAGCGCAUGGCCAGUGGUCCACCAAUGUCAUUUUACGUUAAAUUGAUAUCUUGAUUUUAGAUUUGAUGUCUAUAUGUUAUGACUUGAUUAUGUGAACCUAGUUUGAUUAAGGUGCGUUAAUUGGUAAAAAUAUGAAACGACGAUCCGACCGUGGGAUCGUCACCAAACUUUAAUAUGUUAUAGUACAUAAUAUUUGAGAAUCAUAGGGACUGACAGAUAGGAAAUCCGAGAUACAGAUCUUCCCGAAAUGGAAUUGUAAGUUUGAAGAAUAAACGUUAACCGCCACUUUGUUUUGACUAUUGGUGGAGAUCCAACCGUUGGAUCAUAAUGAAAUUUUAGGAUGAUGUUUUAGAAGCAUAAUGUGGAUCUUUGGAAGUUACUGAUCGGAAAUCCGAGGAGUGAAUCUUCCGAAUUGAAUUACGUAGGGUUGUGGACCUUACCGUCGAUCGUUGACCGAUGAUCGACUUUUGGUCAAUGGGGCUUAAAUCAAUCUAAAACGUUUUUAGGGAUGUGUUUUACGUAAAUUACAUGAUCUAUUGAUAAGAAUUAUGAGAUGUGGUUUGAUAAUUGUCCUAGGUGCCGAUCGUUAGGAACGCUUCGAUGGUUAUGCUAGGAAAUUGUAGCACAGACUCCUUGUGAGUGAAUCUUUUCCUUCUUAUCAUAUAUAUAUAUAUAUAUAUAUAUAUAUAUAUAUGAUUGACAAUUCCACAAACGUUUAUAAAUUGAUUAUUGCAUAUAACUACUGUGAAUACUUUGAAGUACUUAUGCGAACUACGAAUGGCUUGAUCCGUGUUUAGGGUACGUAGGCAGUCUAACAAGACGUUAGAUGUAGUCAUACAAUAAUUGAGAUUAAACAAUUGAGAUAAAGCCUUGUUUGGGGAACUGGGCAAGGUGAAGGAAUUUGGUAAAAAGGUGAGAUUUAACCUUAUGAAUUGGUGAUUAAAUGUUGGUCAUAAAUCAAUGUGUAAAGAAUCAAGAAUUUGAAGUAAGGAAACGUAAGUAAUGAUAAUUAAUUAAACUAGUGUCUAGUUGGGCUUGUCACCUAUAAUUAUCCCCGAAAAUGAAUAAUUCGGGAGUAGGGCGUUACAGCUUCUGCAUUUUUAUGCCACAUUAUAUAUAUAUAUAUAAUUGGAAAUGCUAUAACAUGGUUGAGUAUCAGAUUUCAUCAUGGUUUAUCUAUAUGUAUAUUACCUGCACACAAUUAUUAUGAACGCGUUGAAGUGCAAAGGUGAAUGCACGACACCCAGGUAAGUUCAGGUGAGUUUAUGGUAUUAGUUGAAAUGAUGGGGUUAUGGUAUGACUACAUGUAUGUUUAGGUUGCAAUGAUAGGCAACUCCAACACUGUCGUACAGGUUGCCCAUGAAUUGUACAUGUUACAAUAGAUACAGUUAGAGCUCAUAAACCUACACCCCGGUGUUAGUACUCCCGCUCGUGGCCAGGGCACAGUCCUUCACGUGAUGUUCACCUCCCGCACCUUACGCUCACCUUGGAUCCAAGGUAGGUGCACAAUCAUGUCGUACCACUAUAGGUGGUUCCGACUCGUAGAUGACCCGCGAUUAUUUGCACAGUCUUCACGUGAUUGUAGCACUUGAGCGUAUUUAUUUACACCCAGUUCUAUUGUACAGACCACUUUAGGUGGUUCCGACUCGUAUGCAGGUAUACUUAUUAAGCUAUGGAUAAGUCGUACAGGUCACUAGAAGUGACUCCGACUUAUGAGCUAGCAUAUGUGAUGAGCUAGCAUAUGUGAUGAGAUAAGUGAUGAGUUAGUAUAUGUAAUGAGAUAUGUGAUGAGCUAGCAUAUGUGAUGAGAUAUGUGAUGAGCUAGCAUAUGUGAUGAGAUAUGUGAUGAGCUAGCAUAUGUGAUGAGUUAGCAUAUGUGAUGAGCUAGCAUAUGUGAUGAGAUAUGGGUAAGUCGUACAUGUCACUAUAGGUGACUUCGACUUGCGUGCUAGUAUGGGUUAUUAAUCACAUGAUUAUUGAUAUUACUGAUGAGAUGCUGUGUUGUGGUAUAUUUAUGAUCUUUCUGGAAACUAUGCAAGUGUUGUAACGAGGGGUUAUAAUGAGGUGUUGUAACGAGGGGUUAUAAUGUUUUAUAUGGUUUCUGUUAAAAUUUUAUUUCUAGGGUCACUCACCCUUAUUUUGUUUUCACCCUCUAGGUUUUAUUAGCUGAGCUUUCUUAUCGUCGAAGAUUCGUGGCGAUUCUUAGUAUUGGAGAUUAUUUCGAGAGUACGAUUCUUAAUUCACUUUACUGUACUUGCUUAAGCUGUAACGUCACGUGUGAAGUGGGUUCAUUUCCGCUUACCAGCGCAUUCUGGUAUUUAGGCACUCUUAGGUUUAAAUUUAUUCACAUUUUUCCACAUCAUCAAACUUUAUGGCUUUGUCACUCUUUAGGUGUCGGCCAGCACAGCUCGAUUUGGAGUCCUAGUGGACAUUCCGGGUCGGGGUGUGUCACAAAUGAAGAGGAUGGUUGAACUUGUUAAGUUUCUUAAGUGUGUCUACUUGAAGUGUGUUGCUAAUAAAUAUUUUGUUGUAGGCAUAAUUUACUGAACAAUUAUGGAGGCAGAGAGAGAGAGAGGGAAUAUGCGGCAUAGAGAGAGAAGAGAGAGAUGUGUAAUUGUGAGGUGUGUUCUAUUCCACCCCAUUGUACCUUUAUUAUAUUAGUAGGGAAAGUUAAUUCCUUACCCUUUUAGGAUUACAACUCUAAUAGGAAAAUAUCUAGUCUAAGAGAUAUGAUAGAAUCUCAUAAGGAUAUCCUAGAUAUGUUAGGAUUUACACAAUCAUAUUCCUAUUCCAAUAAGACUGCAACACAUUUGUAUUUUUUUAGAAUUUUUUUGAUAAUUUGUUGGUAUUCUCAAUUUUUGUUAACAUUGAAAAUAUAACGGUUCAGAUGAAAAACCUUUGGAAAUCCAACAGCUUGCAAGACGUUGGGCUGUGCUGAAGGAAGCUGGGCUGUCACGUGGAUGGGGCCCUCCCUCUCCCUCUUGUUGAUUCAAAGGGCGCAGGCCCGUGCAACAAUUGGCGAGGCAGCCCAUAGAGAUCCUGCGAUUCACCCAUUCGCCAUUUUUUCCACCGCUGGAGCACCAAAAUUCGGUCAAAAGGCAGGGGUAUCAAUGGCAAGGGCAAUUUGGCUUCCGCUGGAGGUGCUCUUUGUCGACUUUGUUUUUUCUCUCAUUUUAGCUUUUGCAGUAAUAUUGAAGUAAUCACUCCAAUUUUAUCCAAACUUUUGUUGUCCGUCAAUUUUUAUCAAAACUAUUGGUUAAUUUACAUAUUCAGACUAACCUUCUCAUUAUUUUUAGUAUUUUUAUCAUAAAUAAUAUCUGAAAUAGUCACAUUUUAUUCAACAACCACUCAAUUAAAAAUUAAUUAGUGUUGUUUCUAAACCAUUACAUCAAGCUUUUGUAGAUACACAUCAAUAUUGCAGCGAUCCGAGGCAUUGUUUUAGUGACGGUAGUACUUUCUACUCCUUGGAUUUGGUGAAUCGGAAAAGAGAAGAGUUACGAGUAAAAGUCCCUCGCAUUGUUUUGGGGAGAUGAAGAUGAUGAUCUUUUGUUUUUGUUUUUUAAUGAUUAAUCCACGCAGCAACAUAUAAUUAAAUUGUUGGGAUCUACUCAAGUUCCAUAUCACACACUAACAUAAAAUUUGACAAACGAAACGAAAUAUGUGUGUAGACAUCGAAAUUUCGUAAAUAAAUGUUGACCGAUAAAUCAAAGUGUCAACGCUCAUGUAUUACAUAAAUUUUACACGUAGCGUGUGACUCAACGAAAAUUGAAAUGAGUUGGAAAAGUCAUCAAAUAGGACACGUGUCAACACCUGGCAGAAACGACUUAUUUCAUCUGGGAUAUUAUAUUCAAAAUUAGCCAUUGGAAAAUUCUAUAAAUACAAGCCCAUUUCAUUCAUUUAAGGAGAGGAAUUCAUAUUACACCUUGAAGCUCUGAAGCUCUGAAACUCCGAAGCUCUCAAGCAUCCAGGUUCCCGAAGAAUCAAGAAAGUGUUCUUCGUUCUUCGUUCAUCGUUCUUCCAAGAUCAAGCCUCGACGGCCCUUGGAUCAACAAUCAUCCACCUUCAAGAUCAAGCCCCGACGGCCCUUGAAGAAAGCGUUCUUCGUUCUUCGUUCAUCGUUCUUCCAAGAUCAAGCCCCGACGGCCCUCGGAUCAACAAUCAUCCACCUUCAAGAUCAAGCCCCAAAGGCCCUUGAAGAACUUCCACCAAUUCAAGAUCAAGCCCCGACGGCCCUUGAAGAAAGCACCAUCGUUCAUCAUCCGUUCAUCCAAGAUCAAGCCCCAACGGCCCUUUAGAUCAACAACGUCGACAAAUCCACACAUCCAACCGUUCUUCAAGAUCAAGCCCAAAAGCCCUUGAAGAUCCGUUCAUCACUGUUCUUCAAGAUCAAGCCCAAAAGCCCUUGGAGAUCCGUUCAUCACUAUUCUUCAAAGAUCAAGCCCAAAAGCCCCUUUGAAGAUCCGCUCAAAUCCACCUUCAAGAUCAAGUCCACGGCCCUUGAAGAACGUUCAUCCUUAGAUCAAGCCCAACGCCCCUUUGGAUCAAUCGCACAUCCACAAAUCAACACCUUACGGAGAUCGAAUCAGAGGAUCAAAAUAGAGAGAGAUUGUAACCCAAAAUCAUCAAAUACAAAUAUUUGUUUGUGCGCGUUGUUCUUGUCUCUUUCGUUUCAGGAAUUUUCCGUGUUCACAAUGUGCUCUUGAAAUCAAAAUGAGGGCACUGCUCCAAGAACAAGAAGGGCACCUUGUCGAGGUCGCCAUCCGCCGUGAGGGAAAACCGGAAGAAGUUGGACAACAAUGAUAACAUCAAUUUGCGGCACCCAUAUCGGGACAUCACACUGUGAAAUAAAUAUUGAAAUAAAUACUCAAAACUCCUGGAAAGUCCUCGAGACAACAAACUUUCAUCUCCUUCAAACAUUUCAUUUUACUAAGUUUUAUCUUUGAAGGGAGGGAAAAAAAGAGAAGAGAGAAUCCUACUCCUUAUUCCUGAAUAUAUUCAAGAAUAGCUAUUGAAUAAAGAGAGAAUGGAGGGUGAUCGAAAGAGGAGGGAAGAGAAUUCUAGUUCCAAACAUAAAAAGGACCACAACUUUUAAAUUAUCAGCACAAUCAUCACCUAAUUGAAGAGACCAUUCACUGUGAAACAUAUUGUCAAUCAGUCUAUCUAUAUCUAUUUAUAUACCAUAUUUUUAGAGUAAGAUUCUCUCACCUCCUAUUACCAUCCCCUUCCAUCCUUUCAUCUCAUACUCUUUUUUUGUUGUCUUAUUCUCUAUAUAAAAAAAUUCAAAACAAGAUGUAUACGUGACGUAAUCGUAACCGUUUAAAUAAGAGGGGAUAGAAGAGAAGAGAGAUUAGGAGAAGGGAGAAUCCUACUCCCACAUUUUUCUUCUUCAUAAACAAAAGAGAGGUUCUAGAUUACUUGACUCUAUGCCUCAUUUUUUUCAUCAAGUAUUUGUGAUAAGUGGGUUCAUUUUCAAGUAUUUUAGUUUUUUUGUCAAAAUUGAGAAAACUGAAAAUCAAACAUUAAUAUGAAAAAUUAAAAAAUCAACAUAUAAUUAUUUAGAAAUCGCAAUAGAAAAGAAAAAAAAUGGAGGUUUGUGAUGAAAAAUCUUUUAUACUAAGUAAUUUAGUAUCCUUAUGCAUGAAGAUAAAUCAAUUUGUUCGUUACGGUCAUACUCUUUUUUGAAUUUUUGAACACAUUCUCCAUAGGGCCUUCUUAUAUGUUCCUUCUCCAAGCUCGGGUUAUGGAAGAAGUAAAAGAAGGAAUCGAAAAGAAAGUAUUGGUAACAACCGAUUUCAUUACGAGACAACUCUUGAUAUUCAUAUCAAUCUAUUAUGUACCUUUGCAUCUAGCAUUAGACAAUAAUUGUCAUAGCUUUACCAUAUUUUUUUGUUUCAUUUCUUCUGAAACAAUCUCACACACUUUUUUAUUAUGUGUCUACUACUAGGAAUUCAAUACGUAAUCUUAGCAUUCAAUAGUUAUUCCUAAAUAAUUUCAAUUUUCAAAUGAUCAACCAUUUCAUUUUACCAAGUUCAAUCAAUGUUAGUCAGAUUAGUCAACAUUUAUAUAUUUUGAUGCAACAACAAGAUGUUAUUUGUAACAAGUGAUUUUGUUAGUUGGUUAAUUGGUCACAAGUUAAUGUUCGGUUCAGUUUAGUUUUUCUCUCGAUUUUUUGUGAUUCGGUUUUUUCAAUUCUCUUUAGGGUCGGUUCGGUUUUGUUUUUUUAUUUAUACUUGAAUUUUAUUUUAAUUUAUUUUAAUUUAUUUUAUUUUAAAUCUGGAAACACCAAGAACAACACAAGCACAUAGUCAAUCAAACAACUAUCCUUCUCCACAAAUCAUAGUAAUAAUUACAUUCAUUGAGCUGAAAUGCAAAUAACUAACAAACUCACAAAAAUCAAAUAAAAACUACAAAUUGCUUACUCUUUUUCUUUGGGUUUCACUCGAAAAGUGUCGGUAAAAUUUAGGGUUUGCAAGAACGCAACUGAAAUCUAAAACGGAGGCCUUGUGGCCUAUGGGUUGCUAUUGAGUUCCAGUACAGAGAACCUUGCUUAAUCUCGAUCACGGUACAAAGUAUCGAGUACCUUUAGCACUGUAUUUUGGUAUGAUUGGUAGAACCAAAUUAAAAGCUAACAUCAACAACAACUACCAGAGACAAAAGCUCUUAUCAAUGCUUUGGAAACAUUUAUGUAUCUCCAAGUGUAAUGAUAUAAUUGGUUGGAAACUUGUGAUUUCGUAUCAAAUCAAUAAAAAGUUACAAUAUUGACAAUAUAUUAGCAAUUUUUAUGUUAAUUAUGAACAAGUCAAUCAUGUAGAACCAAAUUAAAAGCUAACAUCAACAACAACUACCAUAGACAAAAGCUCUAAUCAAUGCUUAGGAAACACAGUCCUGUAUCUCUAGGUGUAUUGAUAUAAUUGGUUGGAAAUUUAAAAGAAAAAUGGUGAUUUUGUAUAAAAUUGAUAAAAAGUUACAAUAUUGACAAUAUAUUUGACACACCCCGACCAAGAUCAAGGCAUGCUGGCCGUCACAUGAGAGUGACGUAACCAUGUGCACAGUGCGGAAGCAAUAAUGAUAAGAAAUAUAUGAAUAAUUAAAAACCGAAUCUACUAGAGUGCACUACUAAACAGGAAGUAUUAGGAGUAAGAUACAAAAGUAAAUACUCCUAAUCAGAGCAUAGAAAGUCUAGGUGCAAUCCAGUAGGACAAGUACUAAUUAUACAGUAUAAAAUGUCUUACAAUUAUUUAGAUAGGUCAGAACCGCCGAAGUCCUCACACCCAACAACUGCAAACUUACUUAAAACCUGAAGGGGCGCAAAAUAGAAAACGUGAGUGGGAAAAAACAAAUGUUUUACAAAACCAUUUCAUUUAUCAAUAUAUCUAACCCCUCGCUGUAAACAUGUAUAAUUUUUCCCAGAAUCAAGAUAUAAGCAUAUACAUAAAUAUAUAUAUAAAUAUAUCAAUUCAAAUCAUGCUUCACAUAAUCAUAUUCAUAUGUAUGUCAUGCCAAGAUAUAACAGAGUAAGCAACUCAGGUAAGAGUAAUUUCAUAGAAAUAUAACAUGUUAGCCGGAACCCCUGUAGUAGUCUGUACGGCUGAAUUCAUAGCUCAAAAGUCAAUCUAGCCGAAGUCACUACAAUGACCUAUACGGCAAUAUACUGCACAAGAGUCGGAACCAAAUGAAAAGAUCUGUACGACAAUAAUGGGUGUUGUUGAUGCACAAAAUCAGUGAGGACUUUGGUACAACAGAAAGUGUUAAGUUUGUGACAUUCUCUAGAUUACUCCGAUCACUAGUGUGGAUAAGUAUGUAAAUGGAUAAAGACAGGGAAGCAAACACAAGAUGUACGUGGUUCACCCAGAUUGGCUACGUCCAUGGAGUAAAUGAGUUCUUAUUAAUUGUGAAGGGUUUACACAAGUAUAUAGGUUCAAGCUCUCCUUUAGUGAGUACUAGUGAAUGAUUUAGUACAAAUGACAUUAGGAAAUAUUGUGAGAGAAUGAUCUCUAUUUAUAGAAGAGAGUUUCUAGUUUCAUUCUGACAUUGACACGUGUCAUGUUGUGAUUGGCUUCUGAUGUUGACAUGUGUUGCACUAUGAUUGGCUUUAGAUGUCAACAUGUGUCGCGUUGUGAUUGGCCUCCUGGUUUGAGGGAAACUCUUCUGGCUCCUUGACGGUAUAACGUUGAUCGAUGCUCAGUAGUUUCGGGAUUGGUCAAGUAUGGUACAAACAGGUGUAAUAUAAUCAUACUCAAUACUACUCUCACAUAAUAGCUGGGUGAUAAAUCGCUAGUCACCUAUGAGUCAGAACGAUAAUAAAGGUCUGUACGAAGACUGUGCACCUAAAUUGGAUCCAAUAUGACCAUAUGGUGCGGGAUGUGACAUUAUAUACAGGCUUGUGCCAUCACUGGCGGAGCUACACCCACGGCUACAGUAGGCUGUAGCCUAGGGAGGAUUUUAACAAACUGCUGGUAUAAUAGUUUAUAUAUGAGUUUGUUGUUGCUUAUUGUAUGUAUAAUAGCCCACAUAAAUCCUGCCAAAAUUAUUAGUUAAUGUGUUUCUUAAUUUAUAAAUAAUACUUUUAUUACCUUUUAUUAUUUUAUUAUUUUUAGGCUAAAAGUAAAAAUGGUAAAUUAAUACAUAAUUAGGUUUCUCCUAUUCCCCAUGCUUUUUACCUAUUCGUUCAAAACAAAAAAAUUAAACCCUCUACCCUAAGAAAAGAAAAACUAUGAAUCACCAUCAAAUUAUUUUCUAAUGAAAUUCAACACUAGAUAUGCUCUUCAUGUCUUCAUUUAACCUAUUUCUUGAUUCAAUUGUUCAUUCCAUAUAUCUACAGCACGACUUGAAUUGGUAUCCCCUAACCUUUUUUCUUUUGGGUACUUGUUAUCAACAAAAGUGAUAAUAUUUGUUCUCUUUCUAUUGCUUUUUUGUAUGCAUGUUUUAUUUGUGUAAAAAUUAGUUGGAAAGUAAUUAAUAAACUUGUUUGGAUUAUUAGUACUUCAUGUUCCUACUUUUAUGUAGAUUACUAUAUAAUUUUAUGUAGGCAAAAAAAAAAUUCAUAAGAUUAUAUGCUAAUGAUUUUAGUUAGCCCACCCAAGAAAAAUUUUCUGGCUCCGCUAUUAUGUGCCAUAACUCUGGCAAAAUCACAAUCACCCUAAGUGCAGUUUUAUGAGUUCAACGUUAUUCUAUCACAUAUCACAUCAUCGAUAAUUCACAUAACCAAACAUAACUCACAUGAGCUUACCUGAGCGUCCACAGUACCAUAAUUAUAUAUAAUGCAUCAUAUACGAAAUAUAAAUUCAUAUGCAUGGCAUUUAAGGUAUACUUUCAUUUAAACACAUAUUUCUGGGAAAAUAUCAAGUAUAUAAAUAUAUACUGAAAACCAAAAGCCCACUCAUUGGUAUGUCGAAGGGUCGUAGCCCCCGAGUCGCCUUUGAAUACUCUCGUCCUCGUGAUAAGUCUCACCUAUAUGCGAAUUAACUAUAAAAACGUUAUUUUAGAGCACAUACAAAAAAUUAGCUAAUAACUCUCAUACAAUGCUCAAUUUUUGUAUUUGAAUAUAUCACAGUGACCUACACAACCUCAAGAUCAUCCCUAAAUUUUUACAAUAUUUUUCUGACCCCUCACGCGCUGCCACGCACCGGCAAGGGCAACGCCUUACUCGCCCCCACGCGCGGCCACGUGACAAGCAUACUGAUGGCGUCAAUCAACAUCAUCAGGAAUAUUCUAGGGAAUAUUCUGUUAAAACCCAAUGGUAACUGUUAAAGAUGACUGACGGCAUGAGCAUAUUCUGUCAACCUUGACGGAAUAUACUCCUUUCUUCUCCGAUGAGUCGUCGGUCGCCGGCGACUUCGCCGAUUUCUUGGUAAAACUUUAAAUCGCUUAUUCUUCUUCGUUUCUUCGCCAUUUUUCAUGAAAUUGGUACCAAAAUGAAGCUAAUAACAUGUAGAAUCACUUUGUAUAAGUUUCAAGGCUUAAAAUCUACUAGUUUUUCCCUGAGAAAGCUCGAUAGUUCGGCUUACCUAGAUAUGCGUCGAUCUCAGCCCUCCGACGUCCAAUUCCUUCCAACGAAGUACCCCAAGACUCGUGAGGACCUCCUUAAGCUUCCUAUAAGCUUCAAAUUCCCUGAAACACAAGAUUUUACGUAUGCAUGAACAAUGCACAAAGUCGGAGCUAGGGUUUCCACGUGAAAUCGAAGGUUUCCUUACCUGAAAAUGGUUCCUUUGAAUUCGUAUGGUUCUCACGAACACAAUGGUGAUCUUAAAACCUUCGAUCUACAAGGUUUAAGAGGGUUUCUGGGUUGGUCCGUACGAAGAAGGGAGAGAGAGAAUGAGAAUCUGCGAGAGAGAGGGCACGGGAAGGAAAGAGAAAUAAGAUAGGUGUGUGUAUGGUCCAAAAGCCACCAAUCAAAACUAAGAAAAGUCUUAGUUGUAAUUGGGUCACCAAUCUAAAACAAUUUAACCCAAUAAUAACUUACACACAUCAUUUAACAUCCGAGGGUAAUUCCGUCAUUCUACGUCAUCGAGAAUAAUCUUCCGGGACGGGCUGUGACAAUAUCAGCAAUAUUUAUGUUAAUUAUGAAUAGGUCAAUCAUGUAUUUAAUACUUAAAUGUAUUUAAAAUAAACACCUUAUCAAUGUUUUCUGAACUGUGCUCGAUUUUUCUCCUUCGCUUUGGUUCUGUCCCAUUGGAUUUUUCAAGCAAGAUUUUAUCAAGGCAACUAUCAUUAACUGUGAACAUAAUUUAUCAUUGAGACACGAACAUCCAAGGGGGAGUGUCGUGGAAAAAAAUGUAGAUAUCUUUAUACGUUGUAUGGUAGUAAACCAUCAUAAACACCAUAAAUAUGUAGAAACGCCCUUGCGGUACCUUUGAAUGAUAACUCAUGUAUUUGUUGCCCUAUGUAAAGAUGGCUAAUGAUAAUGGAAGACUAAUUUUCUCAUCCCAAUCUCUCCUGUCUCUCUUAUUCUCUUUUCUCUAUAUUUUAUUUCCAACAAGUUGUGUUUUUUUUUUAGUAUUGUUAAGCAACCCAAUAGAUUUUAAUCGUAGUCUUUGUUUUUUUUCUUUUAUAUUUUUAAUCAAUUUCAGUUGCUUAUCAGUUCUAGCUAAUUGAGCUCUUUUACAGCAAUUUUUUUCUUUAAAUAAAAUUAUUAUUAUUAAAAAGAGUGAGAAAAUUCGAAAUUGUUACAAUAAUUUAAAAAAAAUAGGAGUUUCAAAUCAUGAAGGUAGAGGGAGUUAACAACAUUUUAGGGGGGGGUGUAGUCAAACUAGGAUUUUGAAGGAUUUUAAAAGUGAUAGAUUUGAUAGGAUUUAAGAUGAUUAAAGACUCUUACAAAAUUCAUAUGGAUUUUAAAGAAUAUGAAUGGAUUGCGGUGGAUUGUGGGGGAAGGAUUUGAAAUCCUAGGGGGUGAGGUUUGAUUCUUUUUAGUUUUGGUUAUAUAUGGUAUGCUUUCAAAUCCCAGAAAAUCCACAACUUUUUAAAAUCCUUUAAAAUCUUAAUUUUUUUAAUACACUUAGAUUUGGAUGGAUUCUAAAAUCCUUUAAAAUCUUUUAAUUGACUACACCUAGAUUUGAAUGGAUUCUAAAAUCUUUUAAUUGACUACACCUAGAUUUUAAUGGAUUCUAAAAUCCUUUAAAAUCUUUUAAUUGACUACACUAUGAUUUUAAAGUCUUUAAAAUCCUCUCAAAUCCAAGUUUGACUACACCCCCUAAAGAUUUUAAGGAAAACUAAUGAAAAUGGCUUGAAAACUUUGAGUUUUAACUAGGGGUGGGCAAACGGGUACAGGAACCGCGGGUAGGGGUGGGUAAUUCAAGUUCGGGGCAGGUAUGGGACAUGUCCAAUAUUUCUAAACACAAAACGGGGCGAGGCUGUUCGGGUAUAUGAAAUUAUCGGGGCGGGGCGGGUCUUAAAAUAGAAGGGAACGGGCCCCCAGCCUGACCCGUUUCUUUUCCUCAUCCCUAGUCUUCUCUAUCUCUCUUCCCCGACACUUUUCAUUUCACUCAAACCCGGCCCAUUUCUUUUCCUCAUCAGUCAUCCCUAGUCUUUUCAAUCUCUCUUCCCUAACUCCUUUCAUUUCACUCGUACCUCGAGACCUCCUCUUAACUCGCUCCCAGCCUCCCACCGUCCUAGCUCCGUACCUCGCCAUCAUCAUCGUCAGACCUCCAUCUCUCCUGAUUUACUCAUGUCUUCCUCGCUGCGUCCGCCGCCAUGUCUCUCUUUCUGUGACGAACUUAAAGGGACGGACGAAGUUGAACAACUCGAAACGACGCCUCUUCUGUCUGAAUUAGACCCAUAUUUGCAGCGCACGACUCUGCUCAUAGUCCUCUUCGGUUUUAAGGUAUUACGUUUUAGAGAUUUAGGAUUGAAAAUUAAAUUAGGGUUUUCUAGAUUUAGGGAUUUUGUUGGGUUCUUGAACCUUGACCUCUGUUAUGUUCCAAUUUCAAAUAUAUAUUGAAUUGAAUUUGAAUCGACUGUGUUUGAAACUUCUGUUGAAUUAAAUUGAAUUUGAGCAGGAGAAGAGGCAGAUGUGGGUUGGGCAAUGUCGAAUCUCAUUGUGGGUGGUGAGGUGGGCAUGGCGGGCGACAAUAUUGACUGGCAAUGGUACGGGCGGUGCUAUUAAGUUGCAGAAGAAUACGAAGGAGGGGGUGUGGGCAUGGGUGGAUAUCGCAAGCUCAAUUGAAUUUUUUCUGGUUUUGUUUGUGAUUAAUUGCUUGUAUAUGAUAGUUAUUGAUGGAUCUUGACAUGCCCAUUUAAUUGUUAUUGGCAAUGCUAGUUUGAUUGUAACAAAUUCAAACCGAUUGAAUUGUAUCCCAGAAAAAAAAAUCAAUAAAGGAACUGAGGACCCGGCCCGAACCAGCCCAUUUCAACCGGGCCAGGUUAGGUUCGGUUCUUAUAUUAGAAAAUGUUGUUCCCGGCCCGUUUCUCUUAAGCCCGGAUCCAGUCCGAUCACUUCGAAAUUGGCCCCAACCCGGCCCGGGCCCACCUCUAGUUUUAACGAUAAGGACAAAAUAAAGGGUAAAGUGAAUAGUACCAAGUUUGACUUUUUAGUGUAAAAAUGUAAUUUUUCGUUAAAAUAAGAUUUUAAUGGAUUCUAAAAUCCUUAAUUAAGAAAUUAGGCUUCAACCCAACUCAUCUUUGCAACGCCGGUUCCACUUCACAUCAACAGGCAAUGUUUUCUCCUCAACAAAUAGUAUUCUUUUAUGAGACAAAGACUAAUGAGGGUGAUAUAUAUAAUUAAUAAUAAUACUUGUGUUCCCUUUGUGAGUGAAUGCACUUAUUUUACCAUUCUCUAAUAAUGUAUCUUUAUUAUAUAAAUUUAUAUCAUGUGGAUAUCUUCCUAUAAAAAAGUUAUUCAAAUUGGAAAUCCUUACGUCAUCAAAAUAUAUAAAAAAAUGGACGAUCUCAUCGUAAAUAUGUUAGUUACUCACACUAUAACUUUGUAUAUUCCCUCACGUAGGAAACGCAAUAAUUAUCCUCUAAUUAAUUCUUCUUGAGAGUAGAAUUUUUAUUGUUGGUUUUUCGCAACCUUCAGACCUAAAGCUGAUAUGGACCUCUCAUUGUUUUUUGGGUUGCCGUUCUUAUUUUGCUUGGUCCUUUUACCUUUUCUAUAGUUGUUUAUCUAGUUCUUUUGAGCCUCGUACUAAUUUUUAAUGUAAUGAAAAUUAUCUUCGUGAUAAAAAAAAAAAUCAUUAGUCCUCGUAUGAACAUGCGAUGUAACACACUUUCAUGGAACAACAGAUGAUAAAGACGAUAUCCAAAUUUUCUCUGUGUUAUGUGGACUUUCCCAACCAAAUAAAUAAUAACCAAUAAACAAAUAAAUAAGAGUUUAACUUCAAACAUUGAGAAGCGAAAUUCCAACACUACGAGCCUAACUUUUGUCUUCAUCAUCAUCAUAGACUAGUCUCCUAUCCAUCAACUCCUACAUCAAUUUUUUUUUUUACUAGAUUGUAGCUCACUUUCAAAAGAGUUACGUAAAGUAUUUAAGCACCAUAAAAGAAAAUUAAACGACAACGAUUGACAUAAUAUUAGUAGUAUCAUGGUCUAAAAUAUUCAUAAUAUCUUGAUAUUUUUAUUGAAAUUUUCGUGUUUUUAGACUACCUAUAUUUUCAAUAUCAUCGAUAUUUUAAACCUUGCUAAGUCACUCAUGUAUCUUACCAUGCAAUGUAUAAAGUGUAAAAUAUUGUACUAAUUCAUUAUAUAUAAAUGAUUAUAGUGUGUUUAAACUUCUUUCAUUAAUUACUACAUAUUUUCUACACUCACAAUGUUUGCCAGCUCGCUAUAUAAUCAACUUAAAUCAAUUAUAUCUAUCAUGUAAUGCAUUUCCUUCCAAUUUUUUGUGAUAAACUAAUAGAUAAUUGACUAAAUAAACAUCCUGCAAAGUUUCAAUAAAAAUUUCCAAGUUUUUCUUACAAUUUCCGUAGUUUUUAUUCAAUUUUUAUCGAUAUCGAUAAUAUCCCGAUAUUUCCAUCGAAAUUUCCGUAUUUUUAGACUACUGAUAUUUCCGAUAUCAUCGAUAUUUUAUACCUUGGUAGUUAUACAUUUUAUCGGCCUCAUUUUUAUGCAACUUAUACAUUAAAUUAUUGUCAAAAUGUACAUAUAAAGUAGCUGAUCAACGAUGAGAUUUUAGGCAACCAUUUUCUUCUACGACGUCAAAGGUUGUAGAGGUGGCCAUGUGCACUACAUGCGUAAAUCAACUAGGGACUUGGAUCCUCUCUUAAGCCCAAGGAGAGGAUCCUCCUAACCAAAUGACUUGGAUUGUUGGAUGAAAAUCUAACGAUUACAAACAGAUGAUCUCUUUAAAGUUAUAAUAUUUAUUACCGUUGAAUUUUCAUCAAACGGUCAAAUAUCAUUGGUCAAAAGGGUCCUCUCAUUGGGCUCAGAGAGGACCCAAGUGCAUCAACCAGAACUAUUGCUAUUAUAACAAUUCAUGAAAUCAAUUAAACAAUAAUUUUCCUUCUGGCAGGCAUGUUAGUUAUUUCUUAUUUGGCCAAUUGCCUAGUGGAUUUGGUAGAUUUAACCUCUCCACCACAAACACAUUUAAAAAUUUCCAGAAAUCCGUAACGUAAAAUUUAAAAAUAAAUAUUAAUAACAGCAAGUUCUUUUCACCGACCGUGACCGAGAUCUGUCACAUAUCCAAAAUGUCACCUCCUUAUCGCAAAAACCAAAUUUGACUUGGGAUAAAUACCGUGUACAAAUUAAACGCGUUUCUCUAGCUUUUGCGUAAAGAGGCAACCCAACACUAAACUAGGAAAACGUUGGGUUGACAAAGAUACCAUGAAGAAUAAAGGGGUUAUGCAAUCCACUUUGCAAGAUAAUCAAAGUUUCCCGUUGUAGACUUGUCUUAACCCAACACUAAACUAAGAAAACGUUGCUUUCCCGUUGUAACAUGAAACAACAUUAAACAACAUUAAACAAUAUUAAAUAACAUUAAAUAACAUAAAAAUUAUACAACAUAAAAAAAACCAUUUAACAACAUAAAACUUAAAAUGCGUACUUCUUGCUUCUUGUGGCCUAAAGAUGUGCAACAAGAUCUUGAUGUAGGUACUUGUUUGUGGCACGAAAACGUAUCAUCCUAGCCGUUGGAUUUGAAUUUUUUUUGUUUUCGGCCAAAAAAUUUUAAAUUUAAAAGUUGAAGAUGGUGAGAAAUAUGAUCCUACACUGUUCAUUAAAAUAUUAAUUUCUUGAAUGACCAAAAGGCUAAAACAAGCCAUCCUUCGGUUGGAGAUGCCUAAGGAGAGACUAGAGAUAGAGAGUUUCCUAUAUAUGAUUUUCAUUAACAAGAUUGAAAUGAUUUCAGAGAGAAGAUCAAGUAUGGUUAUUUUUAUUUUGUAGAGUGUAGACAUUAUAACUAUACAUUCAUAAUAACAUGAGUAAUGUUAUAUUUAUCACAUUUGUACUCUUUCUCUGAUAAAGGUAGGGUUCAUCAACACAUGUGGGUUCUAUUUGCCCAUCAACACAUGCGGAUCUCAUUUUUAUUAGAAAAAUAGUACAAAUAUGGUACGGAAAAUAUGAUAAGAUCGCAAUUUUGUAAUAACAUAUAUACUCAACUAUUUAUAUACCGACCCAUCUCCUUUUAGUGUAGAUAAUAUCGUUUGUUAAAAAAAAUGUUGAACUUGUCAUAAUCAUUGAAUCCAUUUACCAUGAACAAACGGCAGUUUACUAAACUUGCCCUCAGAGUAUAUAUAAAAGGUGAAUCACAAUCUAUUGCAUUAAUAUAAGGAAACAAUUUAUAGGGUUUGACGGGUGACUUAAUAUGCUAUAUGGCACAAUGAAAAUUAAGUUCACACUUUAUCCCAAAUAAGGUGUUGCACCUUUAAUUUAUGGAUGCUGGUUUGACGUGUGACCGAAAUAAUCAAAUUGUAGCCAUUAAUCAUUUUACAAGUAAUAAUAUGUAGUUUUUACUGUUUACGAUUCACACAACAAUCUGCUAGGAAGUAGAAAAUGCAGUACUUGUCCCUCUCACAGAAGUCAUGAAUAAUUAUCAAAUUCAAAGAUAAAGAAAAACCACACAAUUUACAAGAGGAAAGAAAAUGAAGGGAUAAAGAAAGUAAGAAAGGAAUACCUCUAUGGGAGGACUCUUAUUUGCUUCAGAUGCCUACAAUAUUCAUCAUAUAAACACUGAUUAAGUAGUCAUCGAAAACCAAAACAAAUGUCGAACAUAGGGUGAAAAACAGAAAGAAUAACCGCAGCUCAUCAUACCAAUAGAGAUAGAACUGCCCGAUGCCCAAGUAUGACUGAAAAAUGGCAAUCCAAACAUGGCGCCUUCUAGCUCAUCAAACUGUCAAAACCUAGGUUCCACCAAAAAGAUACAAGUCACCUAGUUACUUGUAAAAUAAAAAUCUGUUUCAAAAUAGUGGAAAAUAUUAUUAACAUUGUUCAAAGUCCACAUUGUUGUACCUACCAAGAAACAAGAAGGAUUGUAUCUUAUCAUGAAAAAGAACAUAGGUACCUUUUCAAUUGUAAUUGUACAAAAAUGAGAGACCACUUCCGAACUUCUCUUGGAACUUCAAUCAAUUUCUGCCCACUUUUAAAUGCCUUGACAUACUUAAGCCUAUUUCUUUGAGCUUCAGUUUUGGCUUCUGAUGCCUUUAAAUUUCUUAAAGAUUCUUACCAAGUUUUACAAACUCACUUCUAUACAACCAUUUGUCAGUAUACAUACCAUUUUCUUUGAGCUUCAGUCUUUGCAACACCAAAACCCCCCAAAUAGACCCGGAAUUUUGCAAUGUGCAGGGAAUAUACAAAAAAAACCCUCCUAUCCAUCUAAAACGAAAUCAGAACCCAAACCACAAUCAAAAUCCGUAAAAUUAAUUUAGCCAACCCUAAAUCUAAUAAUUCUAACAAAUAUUAUAGUAUCAAUUGAGAGAGAAUUUGAGAAGAUACCUAGAGAUGAAAGGAAGAGCGUUUCCUCUGAUAGGGGUUCCGUGAAAGCAUCUGUUGACCAGAAAAGAAAAGGCAAAAAACCCCAAAUUACAUAUCAAGCAAUUAUAGAUAGAUCGAACCUUGAAAAUUGAAAUUUCAAACAAGAGAAAGGUUAUAAACUUACAACGAUCUGGGUGUUGGUUACUGGGUUUGGAUUUGGGUUUCUGAUAAGAGAGAGAAUCGUAUGAGGAACCGAUAGAGGAACUGCACCGGCAACAGAGAGCAACUGAUAUGGUGGAGAAUAGAGAUGGGCAAAAUAUCCCGGUUAUCCGCCCAUUUAAAGUUCACAGUUACGGUUAUGGUAAUUGAACGGUUAUGGGUACUACCCGUGGUUAUAACGGGUAUCUAUUGGUUAUGGGUAUUAUCCGCGGUUAUAACAGGUAUUCAUUUACCCAUUUAAUUUCAUAUAUGUAAAAUUUAUAAUAUUUUUAACAGUUAUAACGCGUUUUUGUAUUUGUUGCCAAACUUUUCGUAUACAAAAAAUUUGAAGCACAAGAAGCCAACAAGGAGAAAGAUCAAAGAGCUUACUUGAAGCUUAUGAUCUAUCCUGCGGUUAAUAGAAAGUACUGGUAUUAGUGUAGAAAAAUGUUUGUUUUUAGAAGCUUUAUUUUGUAAUCAUAUGAAUUAUAAUUAAAGACUUGCUUGGGUGUAGUAAAAAAAUAUCGUUUGUAAACUAUUAUUUCAAUUAUUAGAAUUGUAUGAUGACCUAAAUGAUUAAAAUAGAGAAAUGCAUGCUAAAAUGUAUUUAUAACAGUGUUUAAUUGUCAGAUUUUUUUUUUUUUUGUAAUUUUCAAGUUGUUAAAAAAAACAUGCAGAGAGGUGAAAAAAGGGAUUAAAAAAUGAUAAACGGGUUCAAAACGGGUAAACGGGUAAAUGAUUAUGGUUAAAUAGGUAAACGGUUAUGGGUAAAUGGGUACACGGUUAUGGGUAUGAGUAUAACCGUUUAUGCAAUUACCCAACGGGUAAACGGCUAUGUGGGUAUGAACAUAAAUGGUUAUGAGUAAAUAACCGCGGUUACCCGCCCGCUAUAACCAUUGCACAUCCCUAAUAGAGAACAUACGAGAAUAGCCGCUUGGAUGGUCAAUCCAAGAAGAGAAAAUCUUGCCACAAUCACGGUACUUGAAAAAAAAAACAAUUUUAAAGGAGGGAAACAAUCGCGCCUUUUUUUUAAUAGACUCUGUCGACGAUAUUCUUGACAAAUAGUCGGGUGAGCUUAUUUUUCACAACAUUUUAUUUAGGACUAGGUUCGGUUGGCAAAUCGUGUCAAAUUUCUUGUGCCAUUUGCCAGCCACAUAUACAUAAUUACCAAAAAUCAGUUACCGUUCGCCAACCAUCUUCUUGCGGUUGCCAAAAAUCGGUUCAACCAAAAUGAUUGGCUGGUUCGGUUGGUAAAUGGCACAACCGGUGGUUUCCACUUCUUCCUCGCUAUCUUCUAGUUGCAAGGGCUCAAUUUGAUUUUCAGAUUGGGAUGCUUGUUCGGUUGCAUUGUGUGGUUCAUUUUGGGUUAAUCCAUGUUGUGCACUAGCAAUUAAUUGGCUAGACUCCAUCAUCCUAAACAUAAGCAACACAUAUACAUUCAAAAUCAUAUAUAUGUACGUGUAUAUAUAGUAUCAGUAAUCAUCAUGUUAUCAAUUUUGUUAACAAUAUUUUCUAUAUUGAUUAUGGCAUGAAUCAUAUACAUAUACAUAUAUUUUUUAAACCCUAAAACUAAGGAGUUAUUUAUUUUCUAAGCCCUAAAAUUGAGGAGUCAAGCAUGUAAAAAAAUACUUAAAAUAUCUAAAUAGAAAAAGAAAAAAAAAAAAAAAAAUAUAUAUAUAUAUAUAUAUAUAUAUCGGUAGGUAUGGCAUACCGCCGACAUACAAAAUCAAUUACCAAAGCCAUGCCAUUAAUUGUCGGUUCGGUAAAAUGCCAACCGAUUAUGAAAAAAUGCCAAAACUAUACCAUACCAUUUUGAGCCAACCGGUAUGGUUCGGUCGGUAAAUCGGCUUAUGGCAAAAUUUCUCACCCCUAAUUUUAUUUGUCGCCUUAAACCUAUUGGUUUCUAGCCUACAAUUUGGAUAUUUUGUUGGGGAAAGAUUUUUGUACCAAUAAAAUUUUGCUUUGUCAGCUUAGGAUUUGUCGGCAAAAUGACAUUUUCUAGUCGUUAUAAUAUUAGGUAGAUCAAAUUUGUAAACUAUGUGAUGUGUCACCAAUAGGAAAAAAAUUCAGUGUGCUGAAAAUACAGUCUAGAACACCAAGUGUCAUAAUAUAUACUUGGUUGGAAAUUUUUUAUUUUCAAGUUUCCAACUAAUUGUAUUGUAACAGUUGGUGUUCCAAGCUAUUUUCUCGAUGCGUUGGAAAAUCUCUUCACCAAUUAAAAAUAAACAUAUUAAUUAACACUUAAGUAAUAAUCAAAGUAUCAACAACUACGUCAUAAAAUUUACGAAAUAUGAUCUUAAUUAAUGAUCUCCAUGGCAUUACCCUUUAUCUUAGCGUAUACGUACGCCUUCACAUGUUUAUUUGCUGAUAUGCAGCUUGAGUAAAAAUUUCUUUUUAAGAACAUAUAUGUGAAUAUAAACAUAUAUAUCUAGUGAUCCAUGUUGCGUUAUUUAAAAAUAAACAAAUUAAUUAAUUAAUAAAUGAACUGUGUGCAUGUCUGUGUAGAGUAAUCCAUAUGCAUGCUUGAAUCCUGAUCACCACGAAACCAUAAUAUAAGCUACUCAAGGCCCGGAAGCUAGGAUUGAAGAGAAAAACACCCAGUCAGAUUAAGCCAAUAUAUCAAAGUUAAUACUUCGAAAUGUAAGCUUUAAGAUAGAAAAAUCACUUACUACCUUGAGCAGUCGAGCUUCUUCAAUGGCAUGAAGCUUUUAGCAUGAGAUUGACUGCAUCACAACUAAAAUUUUCUCUUGGAAACUACAUAAGGAAUAGCAUGUAUACCUAUAACGUUGAGAAAGUACGCCAAUUUUUUCCUUCUGCACAUUCAUGUUUAAAAGUAAUCCUCAAAUGAACUUGCCCACAAUGAAAUGCAAUUUGAGGUAGUCGAGUGUGUUCCAUUUCCAUUCCAUGGGAAUUACUACUAAACUUUGAGAUGGUAAAGGAUUCAUGAAAUUUUUUACUUUUGAGAUAGCCUCUUUAACAUUUCUCGACUAUAACAAUGAGGGAAUACUUCACCUUGUAUCAAACAAGGGAGAGCGAAAAUCAACUACUAAUAGCAUCACAGAGCCAGCAGAAGAUUGAGGAGGCCAUGAAGAGGAGAGAGAAAAUACACUCUUUUUUUUUGUAAGGACAGAGAUAAUACAUUCAGUAAGGGGUACUGAUGUUUAUAUGCAAUGCUGAUUAGGUUUAAAUAGUCCUAUUUAUUCUGUACAGUGCCAAUAUUACCACCCGUUAGUACACUUUCAAGACACUGUACUCCAGUGUGUGCGCUAUGCAGUACGUAGUACUCCUCAUUUUUUGGGGAAAUUCAUUAUUGGUCUUCAUAUCUUCUUUAUUUUCCUUUUCCUCAUUGUGCCACGUGUUUAAAUCACUAAUUGUAGGUAAUCUUUCAAUUUAAUUAAAUCUUAUGUAAAAAAAGAUAUUUAAAUAUCAUUUAGUAUUACAAGAUAGUGAUAUUCCUCUUUAGUAUAAAAUUUUUAUAAUUAAAAGCGUUCAGUUUUUUAAUCUUCAUUUGAAUACUAUCUAUAAAGAAAAAUUAUUCGAAUAAGAGAUCGUUUAUGCAUUCAAAUGUACAAAAUGCAUCGACAGUGUGAGAACGAAUUAAUAUAUUUUUGAUGAAGUACAAUUAUUGAAUACAUUUGAAUGAUCAAAUGAUAUAUGAUUCAAAAUACAUAUUAAGAUAAUAAAUAUAAGUGAAUUGUUAUUAGCACUCCAAGAAUCUUAUUAUACACUCUAAAUUUUCUAUAUUUUGAAUGAAAAAUAAAUUUAUGAAGAGUGUAGAAUGAGAUUUUUUAAUGCUAAUAACACUUCUCUAAAUAUAAUUAUGAAAUUAAUAAAGUAAAGAUACAUGACCUCGUGAAUGAUGUAUGUAUUAUUCAAAAAAUUAUUAAAAACAAAUUGAAAAAGGACGCUGUUGUUGCCACCACUUAUGCAAUGAUCGUCGCUGCCAUCACCAACCCCCAACACCCCAUUACAGCUCAUAAAAGCACAUCAUAAGCAAUUUAUGAAAUAAAUUUACUGGAAUACUAAUUUCCCCCUUAGUUUAGGUCACCAAUGUUUAAAUUUAGGGGUGUGAUAUGCACAUACCUUUUUUUGCUUCUCUCACACUUUUUUUGUUGUUGUCGAAUCAGAUGAAUUGAAGAAGAUCAAUUGACAGAAAUUAACAAGGGGUGUAUGAAAAGUAAAAAUGGAUGUGUAGAUAACACAUCCCUAAAUUUAUCACAACUUUCAUUCCAAAUUUAAUUUUUAUGCGUAGUUUUGUUUGUUCAAAUUUACUUUGACAUUUCAAUUAGUAUUAAAAUCUAAUUUAAAUUUUAGCGUUCAAGCUAGAAAAAGUGUUCCAUUUAAUAUUUAAUCUCAGUUUUUCUCUUUAUUCUUUUAUUCCGAUUUGGUUGCAUCGUAUCUCCAUUUUUCUCGGUGUUGUAUGUUCAUAAGGCCUGGGAAACGUUGGCACGGAGUGAAGGGUACUCACUUUUUGGCCCAAAAUGCAUAAGGCAUGUAGAUAUGUUAAUCAAAUUUUGUAAACUAAAGGAUAUAGAAGUUGAUACUUAGAUUAUAAUUUAAGAUAAUACUAAAGAGACUAAAUUUGCAAACUAAAUGAUGUGUCACCAAUAAAAAUAAGCACGUUUAUCAACGCUUAAGUAAUAAAUCAAUCAUCAACUUUCAUGUCCUUUAGUUUCCAAAAUUUAAUAUACAAAUUUAGUCUCCCAAGCAUUACUCUAUUACUUAAGUAUUGAUUAACAGACUUAUUUCUUAUGGUGACAUAUUAUUUAAUUUACAAAUUUAGUCAACCCAACAUUACUCUUUUGAAAUUGUCUUGUCCACUGAUAUAAUUCUAUUUUUCUUGUGAUCAAAACUUCAAAUGUUAGCAAGUCGCACGUAAAGUCACUUCUGAGAGAAUGUGCUCACAUUGUAGUUGAAAGAUUAUGUGGCUAGCAACAUUACAAAUUUAAUUUGGUAUAAUUUAAAAUAUAGAUUGAGGAAAAAAUGAUCACAUUAACUAGAAACUGAAAAGGUUUCAGCACAGUUUGUUCAAGCAAGAAACUCAAUUUUGAUGCUACCGAUCUUAACAGCCUGAGCGCCGUACCUGGGCACUAAAGUCACCACCACACUCUCAUCAUCUUCAGCACCCAAAUCCUCCAACAGGUCCGUUAACCCCAACCUUAAACAACUCUUGCUCUUUUCCUUCUGCUUAUGUGGAACACUCACAAAACUCCCAGCAAACUCGCUCUUGUCGGGUCCACUCGGUGCCGCAUCCUCAUCGUCCACGUCAUUCACAUACACAUCAAACUUCACAGCCACAUCUUUGUCAAGCUCAAUCCCCUGAAUCACCAGUAUCUCCUCCUCAUCCUCUUUCUCCUUCUUGCUCCUCUUCUUCGGCUUCGGCCUUGACACCACCGUACUUAUCUUUGUCUCCAAAUUUAUUGGAAAAUCUUUACCCGCCACCACCUUCCCCGAUGACGUCGUCUCAGCGGCCUUCGCCACUCCAGCCGCCUUUGCCUUUCUCGCAAGCUUUGUCCGACGUGGCGUCGGUCUAGACUUGAGCCAUGGAAUCUCAACAUCUUCAUACGUAUACCCUAGCUUUUUAUUAUCAAGAGUGUCCCUCACCGUGACCCUAACAAGCUCAGCAUUCUCGUCAUAAAACAAAAACCCCGUAUCCAACCAAUCCUUAUCGUUAAUAUCUUUAUUUUUAGUCCCUAUACUUUUCCAAAUAUUCCACAUUCGAUCUAUAUUCGAAUGGUGCGAAAAAAAUAUUGGAUCCCUUGCAGCGGAGUAAAAAUUCCCCAUGUCUUCAAAAUUAGGUUGCGUGUUAUCUCCGGUCCAUGUAUGAACCGGACCAUGUGGGGUCGUUUCGAUUGAACCGGCCCCUGGAUCUGGUUCGGUGCCAGCCCUGUAGGGCGAACCAAAGAACAACAGCGGUUUCUUGGAGUUGGAAACCAUCUGCCUAUACAUGAUUUUGAGGUUGGCGUCGAUUUGAGCAUCCUUGGACAUUGUUUCAUCCGUGCCGUUAAAGUCAAGAUCGAUGAGAGUCGGCGGCUGAUGGCUGGCAGCGCGGAGCUCGUCGUAAAGCGGAGAGUCCGGGUUAGCGAACAAGGCAGGGAGUUGCAUGCCAGCUGGCGCGUCCCAGUUCCAAAACGGCAACGCGAACGUCGGAUCGUCUAUGAGUUUGGCCAAGAUUCUUUCGUGGAAGUAUAGGUAGUAACGAUGGAAGGGGAAGAAAAGCCAGGAUUGAUGGAUUUGGAGCUCGAGGUUGGGGAAGCCGACUUGAUCGUACGCGCCGUCGCAAUAGGCACAGUGGAUAUCGGCUUGCUGGGUGAAGCUACGCGGAUCGUCGUCCGGGAGGGCUUUCAUGAGCUCGAUGGCUUUUGAAUAUUUUUCGAUGUAGGCUUUAUCCACGGUGUGAGCUGCCGGCCUGACGCGGAGUUUGGUAGGGGAGGGGAAUUUGAAGUCUACGAUUUUUUGGGACGUUGGCGGGCAACAGUUGGUCGGGACUGCUCCACUUGGAAAGUCCGCACCUCCGCAUUUGGCUAGGUCAGGCGGCGACACUGGCUUUGCAACAGCGAAGGGGUCGCUGCCAAGACCAGCCACUCCACCGUACAGGCUUCCGAGACCUAUAAGUACAUGUCUUCUGUCUAGGUUUACUGGAGAAAGGUUUUCAUGGUCGUGAUCGUUGGAGCUAGUGGAAGGGUUUUUGUUUUGGUCACUACUAUUAUUCGUGGCUUUGCAUGAGACGGCUUGUAAAUUGGAAUGCCUAGGGUUUUCAAAUAAGGAAAUUCGGUGAUACUUUUGGGAGAAAGGGAAGAGAGAAGUUGUGGGGAUGAUACUUGUGGUGGAGGUGACGAGUGGAGCUGACAUAGAAGCCAUGGUUACUUGACUCUGAAUACUACGUUGUAUAGGCUUUGCUUUUAUAAUGUGUUCUAGGUUUUACUUUUCUUUGCACAGGUGGCAGGCCGUACACAUUGGCGGUCCUUAAGGGUUUGACGAGGAAUACUACGUAGUCAUUUAGUACAGGGCAACCAUGCACUAUAGCACGUGGCAUGUAAUAUUUACGUAGUCUCAGAAGGUGAAGCGGUUUUGGGCUUCUUGUGUACCAAUAAUAUUUACGUACUCAUUAUUCCACUGGAUGGAUUGCGUGCACGUGAUCUUUAUUCAAACAAAUCACUAUUGACCAUAUAUUGCAAUUGGUUAAUGUUAGGCAAAUUAAAUUUUUACAUCAAAUAAUGUGGUUGCUGAUUAUUGAAUUAUUAUUUAAGUUUGAUUAAUGUGCUUAUUUUUUAUCGGUAAUACAUCAUUUGAUUUGCAAAUUUGAUUUACCUAAUAUUACCAGUUAUAAUUUGUAUAAAUGGACUGGUACCUAACAUUACCAAUUGUAAUUUGUAUAAAUGGACUCGUACCUAACAUUACCGGUUGUCCCAAGAGCACACGCUACUGCUCAAGAAGCAAAGUUCUUAUUUGCCCAAAAAAAAUCAUGGUUUUUUAAUUGAUGCUCUCAUUUUAAUUUACUAGCCCCUUACUUGGCCCUUUUUAUUUAUCAUUUUAUACAUAUUAAUAUUUUGUUUGUAAAAUAUAUUAGUGUUAGUUUUAUCAAAAUUAAAAAUAAAUAAAAAACUUAGCUUUAGUAUUUAGUUAUUGAAAUUGUAAAAAAAGUGAUAAAGUAUUGGGUGCUUUGUUUGAAAAUUUUCAAAAUGAUAUUGUUUUUACCACUGAACCCCUGUUAUAUACAGUGAUGGCUAAUUUGUCAAGUUCUACGAAGUUGGGAUACCCAGCGUUUUAGCAUAUAACAUAGCUUAGUAUUUCAAGCAUAAUUAAUUAACGAAAAAUUAGUAUCCGGUCCCUAGUUUUUACUGUUCAUUGACUAAGACCUUAUUAGUUCUCAAAUUUUGAUUCAAGUCCCUAGCAUUAAUGUGAUAAUGAAUUUACAUGUUUAUUAUAUAAUUUUUUAAUAUAAAAAUUAGUAAUUAAUUUAGGGUUUAAUACUCACACCUCUAUUAAACUUCUAAUUAAUUUUCAAUUCAGACAUUUCCAAAAUAAUAAAAAAUUAAAUUAAAUUAAGUUUGUACCUAUUAGUUUUUUUUUAUAUAUAAAAAGAUUCUCAAUUUUUAAUCUUAAAUGUACAUCUUAAAUGUACCCAUUCUCAAAUAUAUCAAUUUGUUAUAUGUAAAAUGUACCCUUUUUUAAUAUAAAAUCCAUUCAAAAUUUUUAAUCCAUGUUUAAACUUAUAUGGGUACAUUCUUUUUCGUUGAUUUGAGAAUGUAUCCAUGUUUUGGUACAAUAAAUUUUUUGUUAAUUUUGGUUAAUGUACCCAUACAUAUAUGUACACACACACACACACACACACACACAAUAUAAUAGAGAGUAUAAUUUAUAUUUUAUUAUUUUUAAUCCCAUAAAUGAUGGGUUUUAUUUAAAAUCUCAUUAAUAUAAACAAUUAUAAAUUUCAAUUUUUAAUUUUUAAUUUAAAAAAUAUAGUAACUUACAUUAUUACAUUAAUGUCAGGGACCUCAAUAAAAAACUAAAAACUAACAAGGUUUCAAUCAAAGAAUAUUGAUAGCUAGGGACCACAUCCAAAGUGUCCCUUAAUUAAAGGGUAAAUUACAUAGUAACCCCUCAGGUUUGAUGUCUAUUACAACCCCAUACAACAUCUUUAAAACAUUUCACUUUCAUACCUCAAGUACUAUUUUAUUUCAAUAUAAUACAUCUGUUAGAUUUUCCAUCCAUUAAUCCGUUAAAUGCUGACAUGGAUACCACAUUUGUGCCACGUGGCUGCCAAAUGCGUGUCAUGUGGCAAAAAUAAUAAUUUUUAAAUUUAAAAAAAAAUGAAUCUUCAACCCAAAAAAAAAAAAAAAAAAAAAACCCCAAACCCAGAUCCCAUCAACCCCCCCCAAACGAUUAUCCCUUCCCCAUAUCCCCCAUCCCACCCCCCAACCCCCCCUCUGCGACCAACCUUACCAUAGCGCCCCCCAACCUCGCGACCCACCUCACUCAAGGCCCUAAUCCACACUACCUACAACCCAGAAACGAAAAAAAAAAACAAAAAACAAAAAACUCAUCUCCCUUUCCCUGCAACCCAAAUCCCAUCUUCCCUAAUGGGUAUGGAUUUAAGAAGUGGGGUGUGUAGAGGAGGGAAGAGGGUGGGUGCGGAGGAUGGGUAUGGUGGGUUGCAAGGAAGGGGGGUCGGGUAAGAUGAAGAUGGGUUUUUUUUUUCUCUCUCUCUUCUUCUUCUUCUGGGUUGCAAGUUGUAGGUUGGGGUUUUUUUUUGGGGGGGGGGGGGAGGGAGGGAGGGAAGACGACGUGGGGUUUGGUUUUUUUUUUUUAAUUUAUUUAGAAGAUUUAGGUUUUUUGAAAAAAAAAAAAAAAUUCCACGUGGCACAAAUGUGGCAGCCACGUCAGCAUUUAACAGAUUAAUAGAUGGAAAAUCUAACGGAUGUAUUAUAUUGAAAUAAAAUAGUACUUGAGGUUAGAAAGUGAAAUGUGUUGAUGCACAAAACCGAAGGUCUUUGAACAACGUAAAUCCGAUCGUGAAUAUGCAAGUAAUGUAAAUAACACAAGAUGUAUCGUGGUUCACUCCAAUGUUUGGGCUACGUCCACACUGAUUAUUGUAUUUCUCUGAGAGGUGAGGGGGAGAGCUUUGAGAAAGCUUAGAGCUUAGGGGAUGUGAGAAGGCUUAAGAAUUGGCCUCCCUUAUUUGUGAGGGUGAUGAGUCCUUUUAUAGAAUAAGGGAUCCUCACUUAUUACAUAUUUGCCCAUUCCUUUAUUACAUAAUUACAUUUAAGUCCCCUGAGUACUUGUACAAGGUCUAAAUACGGAGGCCCUAAGUAUGGUACAAACAGUAGUCCCCCAAGUCUUCAGUCAAGAGAGUCUUUUGGCUAGAGACUUGAAAUUCUGUCCAUGUGUGAGCCGAAAUAACUAGAUGUCGUCUAGAACUGAUAUUUGAUAUGCGGCAGUGCCCAUUUUGAAAUAAUGCUCAACUAGAAGUAGCACAUGCUGCGAGGCUGCUCUGCUUGUGUUGCCUUGGUUGGCUCGACUUGUGGCGUUGAAGGUGAGAGAGUCCCUUUUAUAGAAUAAGGGCUCGCUCCUCAUUACAAAGAUGAUGGGUUAGUUGGUGCUUGCGGUGAGGCGGAUGCUCAGCUGGCGGCGAUGCUCUCUAAUGAUAGUGAGGGAGUCCAUUUUAUAGAAUAAGGGAUCGCUCCUCAAUACAUAAAUAAUAGGUGCUCUCUAAUGAAAGUAAGGGAGUCCCUUUUAUAGAAUAAGGGCUCACUCUUCAAUACAUAAAUAAUGGGCUAAGUCCCCUAAGUAUUUUUUAUGAGGCCUAAUUGAGGCCCAAUAUAUGGUACAUAAUGUAGUCCCCCAAGUCUUCGGUCAAUAGAGUCUGUUGGCUGGAGACUUCAAAUUGAAUCCAUGUAUGGGCCGAAGUGGCGGUUGUUCGGAAGCGGUAUUUGUAUACCCUGCACUGAAGCUUUAUAGGUGAAGCUUUGCAAGUGAAGCUUUGAAGCUGGAGCUCAGUAAAUGAAGCUUUUGAAGCUAGAGCUUUUGUAAAUGAAACUUUUGAAGCUGGAGCUCUAUAAAGGAAGCUUUUGUAAAUGAAGCUUUUGAAGCUGAUUCACAUGAGUGAUGCUCAUGAAUGUUUAUGUUGAUUGAUAUGAGUGAUGCUUAUGGAUGUUGACAUGAGUGAUGCUCAUGGAUGUUGACGUGAUGCUCAUGAAUGUUAACAUGAGUGAUGCUCAUGAAUGUUUAUGUAUGAUUGAUAUGAGUAAUGUUCAUGAAUGUUUAUGUAUGAUUGACAUGAGUAAUGCUCAUGUAUAAUUUGAAGUACUGGGCAUACUUUUGAUUACCUGGUUGGCGAUAAUAGCGGCAGGGUGCCGAAUAAUUUUUUGUAGUACUGGGCGUACUUUUGGUCACCUGGUUGGUGAUAAUAGCAGCAGGGUGCCGAAUAAUUUUUUGUAAUACUGGUCGUCCUUUUGGUCACCUGGUUGGUGCUAUUUUGAGCUUAUGGGCCUUCGCCCUCUACACAACAUUCCAGCCUAUUUAUUUUGGGCUUUACCGUUUUUUUUAAUUACCCUAUGAUGGGGUUUAUACAGAUGUCUCCGAAAGAUAUGAAAAAUAAAUUACAUCAUUCAAAAAUAAAUCCGACCCUCUGCUCAAUGGGUCACGCCAAUAAUUCUUUUUUUUUAUGCAUGCCAUCACCACCGCAAUUAUGUCUGCUUCUUUUUAUCUUCUUUUGCUUUCUGCUUUUGCUUUUACUUUAUCUUUCUCUUUUGGCAUAUGGCAGACAACGCCAAAACGGAAUAAUGAAUUAUUAUGAGAACAUGAAUCUUAUCUUUUGCCUGGUUUUCCACUAGUGCUCGUGGUAUUCUCAGGAGAUUGGAUCUGGGGGUAGGCGACUACCCCAGCACCUUGCCCUGAUACGUAAUAGCCUGAUGUCCCACUGCCAUCUCCAUACUGGAAGGUGUACGAACAAUGGUUAUUCUGUGUGGAACAAAUAGAAUCCGAUUGAGAUUCAAGACUGCACCUUCGAUCUGAGCAAGAAAUGAAUUGUGACGUUGAUGAACUUCUAGGAGGAGAAGCAGAGGAUCUUUGACUAUGAUGAUCUUUGAAUUCCAGAUGAAACUGAAUAAAAUGCAGGUUGUGGAGCUUGAUGUGGGCCCAGAUCUGCUUGACAGCUUUGGGGCGGGAGGAUUCCUUGACACUGAGGAAGAUUCCCAGAGCUGGAGGGAUGAGAAUCGACUUCAUAAUCCCGAUGGUGGGUUUGUGCUUGGUCGAAAGAUCAUUUCUGGCAGGGGAAAACAUGUACCAUACCUAUUGCAAAUCUUGCAAAUUCUCUGCUUCUCCAUGGAAGAUGAAGAGCAUCGAAUCUCUGUUUUCUCUCUCUCUCUCUAAAACGUUUUCGUUAUAGAGUGCCCCAAUAGAAGUGGACGGGCAGUGAGCAUGCCAUUUAGUGCCUCCUCCAAGACAGUAACUGAUACGGUGGUCUUUAUUGGCACUCCAAGUUUACUAAAAAGGGCAGCAAAAAUAGUAUUUACAGCACCCAAACUUGAAAGAUCUAGCUCCAACUAGUGGCUUUCUGUUUCAACAGCCUGAAAGCCGGCAGUGUCAUACCGACGCCGUUUGUCUGGAUCAAAUAAUAUAUUAUAAGAAAACAUGACCUUCUUGAAGAUAUCAGCUGUUUUAGAGUCAUUAGCAUUUUUGUCAGGAUGGUACUUGAGAGCCAUUUUCCGGUAAGCACUUUUGAUUUCCUGGUUGGUGGAAUUCCUAUUGAGGCCGAGGACCGCAUAAGGGUUUUGUCGGAGCUGCUUCUUAGCUUCUUGCUUCUCCGAUUUUGAUCGGCUGCCCUGCAUUUUUGAAAUUGACGGUCAAUUUCUUCACAAAACCCUAGAAAUUGCCUCUCGAUUACCUCCGAAACACAUAAUUCACGACUCUUGGUUGAAAUUUUUUUUUUUCAUUUCAAAGAAGUGGCGGAGGUAAAUCAGUUGUCACAUAGCACCGGAGCAUGAGGAAAACCUAGAAAACCAAGAGGCAGAGAGACUCCAUGCACAUCUAACCUGGAACCUUGCAGGAGAGAGCAGAGAGAAAGAGACAAGAAAGAUUGAGGGAGAAGCGAUCUUGGUGCAUCGUCUGUGAUUCCUUGGUGAUUUGCUCGAUCGGGACUCUGAAUUCGUGCAAGUCAUUGCUGUUAAGCAAGAAUCGCGAGGAGUCGGAGAGCUUGGAAAUCGAGAAGGAGAGAGGGCCUUUAGUCAGGGCUUGGAGGGUGUCGGACUCCGUCGGCCAAGAUUGGUGCACGGUCACGGCGUCUGGGCCCAUGGCGGUUGUGUAAAUGGGGGAGGUUCUAGGAGUCCAAGAAAGAAGAAGAAGCAGCGACCAUAGAUCUGGGAGUCCAUGGCGCUUGAAAGAUACGGCGAACAAGUCGGACUUGCUGCUGGGCAGCUGGCGGUGAUAAUGUUGGUGCAUGGGUUUUGGAGUGGGAGUGUUUGGAAUGGGUUUUUUGUUUAGUUUCUAUGUGUUUUUUCACAGAGAGAGAGAGAGAGAAGUGAUGGUGUUUAAGGGAUGAGUUUUGGAGCUUAGUGAAUGCUUUUUCUGGAAAAGCCCAGUGAGGUUUGUGGGUUUUUGCAGAUUUUGCAGAUUCGCGGUGGAGGUGAAAGAAUGAAAGAGAACCGACACAACUUUUCGUAUUGAUUCCCACAUACGGCGCCAAAUGUUGAUGCACAAAACCGGAGGUCUUGGAACAACGCAAAUCCGACCGUGAAUCUGCAAGUAAUGUAAAUAACACAAGAUGUAUCGUGGUUCACCCCAAUGUUUAGGCUAUGUCCACACUGAUUAUUGUAUUUCUCUGAGAGGUGAGGGAGAGCUUUGAGAGAGCUUAGAGCUUAGGGGAUGUGAGAAGGCUUAGGAAUUGGCCUCCCUUAUUUGUGAGGGUGAGAAGUCCUUUUAUAGAAUAAGGGUUCCUCACUUAUUACAUAUUUGCCCAUUCCUUUAUUACAUAAUUACAUUUAAGUCCCCCGAGUAUUUGUACGAGGUCUAAAUACGGAGGCCCUAAGUAUGGUACAAACAAAAUGUUUUAAAGAUGUUGUAUGGGGUUGUAAUAGACCUCAAACUUGAGGGGUUACUAUGUAAUUUACCCUUAAUUAAAAUAAGGGCAAAUGAAGAGGAUGGUUGAACUUGUUAAGUUUCUUAAGUGUGUCUAAUUUAAGUGUGUUGUUAAUAAACAUUUAUUAUGGAGGCAAAGAGAGGGAAGGUGCGGCAUAGAAAGAGAAGAGAGAGAUAUGUAAUUGUGAGUUGUGUUUUAUUCCAUCCCAUUGUGCAUUUAUUUAUAUUAGUUGGGAAAGUUAAUUCUUUAACCUUUUAGGAUUACAACUCUAAUAGGAAAAUAUAUAAUCUAAAAGAUAUGGUAGAAUCCCAUAAGAAUAUCCUAGAUAUGUUAGGAUUUACACAAUCAUAUUCCUAUUCCAAUAGGACUGCAAAACAUUUGUAUUUUUUUAUAAUUUUUUUGAUAAUUUGUUGGCAUUUUCAAUUUUUGUUAACAUUGAAAAUAUAACGGUUCAGAUGAAAAACCUUUGGAAAUCCAACAUUGAAAAUAUAACAGUUUGACGUUGGGCUGUGGUGAAGGAGGCUGGGCUGUCACGUGGGUGGGGCCCUCCCUCUCCCACUUGGUGAUUCAAAGGGCGCAGGCCCGUGCAACAAUUGAGGCAGCCCAUAGAGAUCCUGCGUUUCACCCAUUUGCCAUUUUUUCCACCGCUGGAGCACCAAAAUUCGGUCCAAAGGCAGGGGUUCCAAUUGCAUGGGCAAUUUGGUUUCCGCUGGAGGUGCUCUUUGUCGACUUUGUUUAUUCUUUCUUUUUAGCUUUGCAGUAAUAUUGAAGUAAUCACUCCAAUUGUAUCCGAACUUUUGUUGUCCAUCAAUUUGUAUCAAAACUAUUGGUUAAUUUACAUAUUCAGACUAACCUUCUCAUUAUUUUUAGUAUUUUUAUCAUAAAUAAUAUCUAAAAUAAUCACAUUUUAUUCAACAACCACUCAAUUAAAAAUUAAUUAAUGUUGUUUCUAAACCAUUACAUCGAGCUUUUGUAAAUACACAUCAAUAUUGCAGCGAUCCGAGGCAUUGUUUUCUACGCCUUGGAUUUGGCGAAUUGGAAAAGAGAAGAGUUACGAGUAAAAGUCCCUCACAUUAAGAGGGCUCCUCCUCGGGGAGAUGAAGAUGAUGAUCUUUUGUUUUUGUUUCUUAAUGAUUAAUCCACGCAGCAACAUAUAAUUAGAUUGUUGGGAUCUACUCAAGUUCCAUAUCACGCACUAAUAUAAAGUUUGACAAACGAAACGAAAUAUGUGCUCUCGAAAGCAAAAUGAGGGCACUGCUCCAAGAACAGGAAGGGCUCCUUGUCGAGGUUGCCAUCCGCCAUGAGGGAAAACCGGAAGAAGUUAGACAACAAUGAUGACAUCGAUUUGCAACACCCAUAUUGGGACAUCAAACUGUGAAAUAAAUACUCAAAACUCCUGGAAAGUCCUCGGGACAACAAACUUUUAUCUCCUUCAAAUAUUUCAUUUUACCAAGUUUUAUGUUUGAAGGGAGGGAAAAAAAGAGAUGAGAGAAUCCUACUCCUUAUUCUUGAAUAUAUUCAGGAAUAACUAUUGAAUAAAGAGAGAAUGGAAGGGGAUCGAAAGAGGAGGGAAGAUAAUUCUAGUCCCAAACAUAAAAAGGACCACAACUUUUAAAUUAUCAGCACGAUCAUCAUCUGAUUGAAGAGACCAUUCAUUGUGAAACAUAUCGUCAAUCAAUAUGUCUAUAUCUAUUUAUAUACCACAUUUUUGGAGUAGGAUUCUCCCCCCUCCUAUUACCAUCCCCUUCCAUCCCCUUCCAUCCCCUCCUUUCAUACUUUUUUUUUUCUUAUUCUCUAUAUAAAAAAUUCAAAACAAGAUGUAGAUGUGUCGUAAUCGCAAUAGUUUAAAUAAAAGGAGAUGGAAGGAGAGAUAAAUUACGAGGGGAGAGAAUCUUACUCCCACAUUUUUCUUCUUCAUAAACAAAAGAGAGGUUCUAGAUUACUUGACUCUAUGCCUCAUUUUUUUCAUCAAGUAUUUGUGCUAAACGGGUUCAGUUUCAAGUAUUUUAGUUUUUUGUCAAAAUUGAGAAAACUGAAAAUCAAACAUUAAUAUGCAAAAUUAAAAAAUCAACACAUAAUUAUUUAGAAAUCGCAAUAGAAAAGAAAAAAUGGAGGUUUGUGAUGAAAAAUCUUUUAUACUAAGUAAUUUAGUAUCCUUAUGCAUGAAGAUAAUCAAUUCGUUCGUUAUGGUCAGACUCUUUUUGAAUUUUUGAACACAUUCUCCAUAGGGCCUUCUUAUUUGUUCCUUCUCCGAGUUGGGGUUAUGGAAGAAGUAAAAGAAGGAACCAAGAAGAAAGUAUUGGCAACAACCGAUUUCGUUACGGGACAACUCUUGAUAUUCAUAUCGAUCUAUUAUGUACCUUUGCAUCUAGCAUUAGACAAUAACUGUCAUAGCUUUACCAUAUUUUUUUGUUUCAUUUCUUCUGAAACAAUAACACACACUUUUUUAUUAUGUGUCUAAUACUAGGAAUUCAAUACAUAAUCUUAGCAUUCAAUAGUUAUUCCUGAAUAAUUUCAUUUUUCAAUUGAUCAACCAUUUCAUUUUUCCAAGUUCAAUCAAUGUUAGUCACAUUAGUCAACAUUUAUAUAUUUUGAUGCAACAACAAUAUGUUAUUUGUAACAAGUGAUUUUGCUAGUUGGUUAAUUGGUCACAAGUUAAUGUUCGGUUCAGUUCAGCUUUUCUCUCGAUUUUUUGCGAUUCGGUUUUUUCGAUUCUCUUUAGAUUCGGUUCGAUUUUGUUUUUUUAUUUAUACUUAAUUUUUUUUAAUCUGAAAACACCAAGAACAACACAAGCAUACUCAAUCAAACAACUAUCCUUCUCCACAAAUCACAGUAAUAAUUACAUUCAUUUAGCUAAAAUGCAAAUAACUAACAAACUCACAAAAAUCGAAUAAAAACUACAAAUUGCUUACUCUUUUUCUUUGGGUUUCACUCGAAAAGUGUCGGUAAAAUUUAGGGUUUGCAAGAACGCAACCGAAAUCCAAAACGGAGGCUCUGUGGCUUGUGGGCUGCUAUUGAGUUCCAGUACGGAAAACCUUGCUUACUCUCUAUCACGGUACAAAGUAUCAGUACCUUUAGCACUGUAUUUGGUAGAACCAAAUUAAAAGCUAACAUCAAUAACAACUACCAGAGACAUAAGCUCUUAUCAAUGCUUUGGAAACAGUCAUGUAUCUCCAAGUGUAAUGAUAUAAUUAGUAAGAAAUUUAAAAGAAAAAUGGUGAUUUCAUAUAAAAUCAAUAAAAAGUUACAAUAUUGACAAUAUAUCAACAAUUUUUAUGGGGUAAAUUACAUAGGACCCCCUCAGGUUUGAGGUCUAUUACAACCCCAUACAACAUCUUUAAAAUAUUUCACUUUCAUACCUCACCUACUAUUUUAUUUCAAUAUAGUACCUCCAUUACAUUUUCCAUCAAUUGAUCCAUUAAGAGCUGAAUUGGUUGCCACAUUUGACACGCCCCGAUCCCGAUAUCCUCGGGAUAUCAGGAUGGUCACGUGCUGGCCGACACCCGAGGGUGACGAAAGCCAUUUAUUGAGUGCAAUUGCUGAAAAUAAAGGAUAGAUAAAACUUAUAAAUGUAAAAGAAUAAGGAAUAUGCAUUUAAGGAACGUGUUCAGAGCAUACAACUAACUAGAACACUAAAAGAAUGAUAUAAAAUGGAAUGAAUAAAAGAAUGAGUCUUACACCAAGAGGACUCGAAGAUGCCGAUGCGGAAGUACCUUGAUUGUCGGGAUUGUACGCCUCGAUCCUAAAUCCUGAAGGGGGCGCAAAACAAACAUGAGUGGACCAAGUUGAUAUAUAUAUAAUAAAACAGUUAUCAAUAUACUAACCCCCAGGUUUAUGAAAACAAAUAUAUAAUGAUGAACAUAGGUUUUCCGAAACCUAGCAUGAUGUGCAGUAUCUCAAAUCAUAACUCAUAUAUAAUAAUCACUAGUGAAUUGUCCGAUAACCUGCAGGCCCCAUGCCGGCUCCCCGUCUCUGAGCAGACAGUCAGAGGAAAAUACACUUCAGGCCCCAUGCCGGCUCCCCGUCCCUGUGCUAAAUAGCCAGAGGAAACACACUCCAGGCCCUAUGCCAACACCAAACCGUCGCCCGGGACGGACCGGAAUCUAUUCCUACGUCCCGUAGCGGAAAUGACCACUAGGUAAGUACAAAACCAUUGAACAUACAUAUAUUGAAAAACAACUUCAUAGUAUAAAGUCAUCCAUCAUCUAUACUAUAAAGAGGUGUUCGAAACAUGUUCUAAAUAUCAUAUCGUCAUCCAUCAGAUAUUCUAUAAGAACACGGGUUAUAGGAAAAAUAGUAAUAAUUCAAGGUAGCCUCAGUAAGCAUGUUAUCUCAAAACGUUUCAUAAAACGUAAUCAUUAAAUCAUGCAUUUCAUGUAUGCAUUUCUACUAUUAAAACAUGCUUUUGAAGGGGUCCACUCACAGUACUUAGCCGCCGAAGAGCCACGCAAACUAACGUCACCAAUAUUGCCCCUAAGCACAUAAAUGGUCCAAUUAAUAAAACUAUAUAAUAGCAAUUGGAUUUGGGAAAACGGACGUUGGAAACGGAUUCAGAACGUCGAAUUACCCUAAGAAGGGUCCCGGACGAAAACCCGAAAAGUCAACUCUAAAGUCAAUGUUGACCGGAGGUCAACGGUCAAAUUAGGUCUAACGGGUUUUAGGCUUGAAAUCCGGAUUAGGGUUUAGGUUAAAUAGGAUUAGGAUUUAUUGGGUUUUGGAAUUCUAAGGUUUUUGGGUUAAAAGGGUUUAGGGUGAAAAUGGGUGGUUUGGGCUUAAUCCCAAACUCACACACAACACACACACACACUACACAAACCCUAAAACACACACACACACACGGGCUGCACUAGGGCAGCCCUCACAACACUUCACAAAGGCCCUAAGGCCUUAUUAAAGGACAGGGCUUUAAGCCCUUUAAAGGAUACUGGCCCAAGGCCCGUCAAAAUAAGGCCCGAGGCCUUUGGGUUUUAAAAAGAACAAGAACAAAUUUAAAAGAAAAGGGGCUGGGGUCUACUGGGCUAAGAUAUAACGGGCUUAAGGCCCGUGGGGUUUUCUAAAGGGCCUGAGAGGCCUGGGUUUGUCGAAGGAGAAGGCCGGAAUUUCGGCCGGAAAACCACCCAACUUUAAAUGGCCAUAACUUUGUCAAUACUCAACGAAAUCAAGCAAGACAAAAAUGAAAGUUGUAGCCCUUGAAGCGACGAAGAGAAUGGUUCCUCACACGACGUCUAACUCGCCGUGGUUUGGCCGGAAAAUGCCUCGAAAUCCGUCGGACUCGCCGGAAACUGGGUAAGAUUCAAAUGAGUAUAACUUCUUCAAUACUCAACGAAAUUAAGUGAAACAAAAAGGAAAGUUGUAUUACUCGACGAGACGAAGAGAUUGAUACCUUACACGCCGGCCAACUCGCUGUGGUUUGGCCGGAAAUGGCCUCGAAAGGGGCGGUGCUCGCCGGAGCUUACUCCGUGCCGUCGAACUCGCAGGGUAGGGUCCGGGGUUCGUUGCAAGCCUCUCUUCGAUGGUGACUCGGUCCUAGUGAGUCCAGGGGAAGAGAGAGAUGCGAAAGGUUGAGGGAGAGAGAGACGGGAGAGCUGAGAAAGAGAGAGCUACGGGAGGGAGAAACGAAGAAGAAGAAGAGAGAGAUCAGAAAACAUAAAAAAAAUAAACAAGGUGGGCCCCACGGGCUCACCAAUUAAGGCUUUAAAACAAUUUUAAAAUAUAAAAGAGGGUUGGGGUGUUUCAACAUUUGUACCACGUGGCAAAAAAAAAACCUAAAUCUUCUAUACAAAAAAACUAAAAAAACCAAAAAAAGCAAAAUCGAACACUCCACCCCGCAAAAAUCCUAGCAUCUUCCUUUUAUUCCCCACAACCCCAAAUUCCCCCCCAAAACCCCUAAAACCCAAACCCUAAUUCCUCCCCCACAUGAAGAAAAUCCCAGUCCAAUUCAAUCCCAAUUACCUCAAAUCCCACCAUAGAAACCCUAAAUUUUGGUUCCUCAAUCCCUAGAUUUCCCACGCCUCUGUUGCCUACACCUUAUCAAUCUUUAGCUUUCUCCCUCAUCCCCUCCAUGAACGACACUUUCUCUCAUCCGCUGUUCCCCAGCAACGGCACCGAUACCUACGAGGCCUGGUACGGCAACAUCCAGUACCUUCUCAACAUCUCCGCCAUCGGCUCAUUCUUAUGUGUCUUCUUUUUCACCUUGGUCAAGCUUUGAAGCGAUCGCCGCCGCAUGCCCGGCUCGUCCUCCCUCGUUGCUAAGCUCUUCGCAGUGUGGUAUGCUACCUGUCGAGAGAUUAUGCUCCCAUGUGGCGCUGAGGCCAUAAUACUCACGCACCCAUCUACACACCCACACCACCACUACCGUGGACUCUCUCUCACUCUCCCUCGUCUUUGUAGAGCUAGGUGAAGCCUAGAAACCGAGAACUAGCUCCAGCAAACCCCGUGAGUUUCGAGCCAGAUCCCUGCCGACUCCGACCAUCCCAUGACCAAUCUAAGGUACAAAACAUUUCCCCUUGACUCUAUGCUCUUUUUCGUAUGUAGAUCGUAGGGAAAAGCCCACAGAAUGAGAGAGAAUAGUGACCUGAGAGAGUCCACGGUGAUGGUGGUGUGUAGAUGAGUGCGUGCGUGGGUGUACUGUCGGGGAUAGAGUCUGAGAGAGAUAGAGAGUGAAAGAGUCUGAGAGAAGAGUGACUUGCGAGAGUGAGAGAUUCGAGAGAGACUCGGGAAAAGAUUUAUGGGUUUGGGUUUUUCUGGUUUUUUAUUUUUAUAAUAAUAGGGUUAAUAUUAUAAUAUUUUUAAUGUAUAAAAAUUUCUUUUUUGCCACGUGGCAGCCACAUCAGCACAAAUGUGGUAGUUGUAGAUGCAAAUUUCUUCCUCUUGAUCUUGGACAAUUUUGCACCUACAAAACAAUUAACACCUUAGGUUAAGGCCAAAAGCCUCACACACCCACAAUGAAUGGGGGGCUUUGGCCGAAGAACCUCUGUUGCCAAAGUUAGAAUUUAGAGAGAAAGAGUCUUUACAGAAUUUUGGGAUUUUUGCCAAAGUGUUGGAAUGGCUUUCUGGUGAGAACGGGAUCACUUUUAUAAGGAUAGGAAGUGGUCGGCCUAGCUAGGGUUUUUGGGUUUAAUUUAGGUUUAAUUCUUCAAUUUAUUUGGCUAAUUAAACCCUAAAGAAUAAAUUGGUGGUUACAAAAUUGAUUAUUUGUAUAAAUGGGGUAAUAAAAUGGAGAAAAGUGAAAAAGGUUAGGAAAAGGGAGGUAGCUAGCUUCUUAGUAGUUUUAGGUGUGAGUGGGUGUUUUAAUUGAUAAUUAAGGGAUUGAUUAGGUAAUUAAUCCCUUAAUUAAACAAUUUUUAGGGAAUAUGAAAGGAAAUUAUUAUUUAGCUAAUUGAUUAGCUAAAUAAUGGAAUACAAAAUAUAUAGAAUAAAUUAGGCUUUAGGUAUUACCUUAUAGAAAUGAUUUGAUGAAAUAGGCUUUAAAUUGUUAACUAUUUUGGGCACUUUUGACUUGGUUGAGGAUGAUUGUCUGCCGCUCGCACGUAGGAAUCUCGAUAUGCCUUAAGGGUAUUUUUGUCCUCUUUUACCCAAAAAUCCACGUGUCGCCUUGUGAUUAUUUUUGGCUCCACAAAUGCCCCCACACCUGUUGGGCUGCUCGCAGAAAAUGGCAGCAGGUGUAGAGAUCAUCUUGCUUUAGGAAACGUAGGACUACUUCCUCUUUAGAUGUAGAUUCUCUCUUUAAUAGGAAAUUAGGUUCUUCUAGGAAAGGGAAAUAAAUUUCUGUUAAAGCCUAUUUAAGUCUACCUUAAGUGGGUUAUUAAAUCAACUUUGGAGAGCGAUUUCUUAUACCCUACAAGAGAGAGGGAGCUUAGAGAAUAUUUGUUCCCCCUCUUCUAGCAAUCUUCUACAUCUUUCCCGUGCAAAGGAUCGUCUUUCGUUGAUUUCUUCGUCUUCUCCGUGCCGCACCGAUGUAAGAAAAAUUUAAUUUUUUGCUUAUCUUCUUCUUGGAUAGUACUAUUACAGGGCAACCGUUAAGGUAGUGCGGCACGUCUACUGGCAGGGGCUAGGAGUUGGCUCGGCAUCGGUCGAUGAGGCAUUAUGGCAGGGGCCACUGCUUAGGCUGUUUGGCUUGGCUAGAGCCAAUGGCAGCUUGUGCGGCUGGGGUCGCGGAUUGUGGCGUUGGGGCGCAAUGCUAGGCGAGCCACAUGGUUAAUGUCCUUUAGGCUCUUAGACCUUACUCGGGCCAGGCUAGCGACUGAAAGAAAUGAGGAGGUCGUGGGCCUCAUGGGUUGUUGGAAUGUUGGGCAUGCAGGCCUCCUGUCUGCUAGAAUGCUAGGUUGAGCUCCUCUGCUGAGUACCGUGAAUGGCGUUGGCUGCUUAGUUCUUUUUACAGAGAGAAAGGUGGGCUGCUCCCGAAAGAGGAAGUAAAGAGGAUCAAGGUGGAUGCAUUGGCUCGUCUAAUCGCUGUCGUGGAACCUCCUAUGAAUGAAGAUGGAAAUAAGAGAUCUUCCCUGCCUACUCAAGAGAUGCCGAUCGAGAAAAAUUGAAGACUUUCUCCACUGCUGCUCAUGAUGAUUUGUCUGCUGUCGAUAGGCCUGUGAUUGGCAUGACUUCUUCCAAUGGGAAGAAAAAUGAGGCUGCUAGAUCUGAUCAUGUGGUGCCUUCCAUGUUGAGAAUUGCUAGUACAAUUGUUGAUAAGAUUGCUUAGCGCAAAGGUUUUAUCAUGCCCCCAGUACCGAAGUCUGUACCAGGACUUUCGUUUGGAGCAAAGUCUGGUUCACCUUUGGAGAUACUUGCUAUUAUGAAAAGUGGUAAGGUGGACUCUGCUGCUAAAGUGGCGUCAAGGCCCACUCCCUUUGUUGCUGAGACUGAUUCGCCUGCUAGGAAGGAAGAUACUACUUGUAUGGGCAGCUGUGAGAAAUCCACUAAACUUGCUUCUGGGGAGGCUGCUGAGAUCAUUGUGCUUUUGAAACUAUAUCUGCUUGAAGACAUGGACGCUUGUGCCAAGUUUGUUGAUGGCGGUAGAAAGGUUGUUUACCUAAGUUCCUUUGCGAAACAUACGACCCAAUAUAAAAUGACUGCUCUGCUUACUAGGAUGCAUAAAUAGCAAGGUUGUCAAGGAGGUGGCGAAGAUUAUGGCAGCUAAAGCUUAUUCCUCAGUCGAGGAGAUCAAAAGGUUGAAUUAUGAGCUUGUUGCUUUGAAAGAAAUGGAAGAACUGCAACACGUUCGUGUUAGUCUGUUUGAGAAGAAUGAGCAGCUAAACGGUAAGAAUGAUGGGCUUGAGGUUUCUCUAUUUUUCCGGAAGACUUGCUUACUUUUACUUUUGAGGCUUCCAUUGGUGAAGUAGUUGGAGACGUUAGUGCCCAGGCUUAGGCAACCGGGGGUGAAGCACCGGAUGAUGCCGCUGCUAAGAACGUUACGGCUGCUGAAGGUGUGGAGACCAAGUAGUCGUGGGAUGUCCAAGCUGCUGUAGUGUAGUAUUUUAGGUAGCUUUUAUGAUUUUCUUUGUUUUUCCUUGUAGCUCUUGUUUUGCUUGAACUUCUUCGGCCUUUGCUAGUUGUAUAAACAUGUUUUCCUUCGCUUUUCUUCAUCUUCGCUUCUUUUGUUCAUGCCCUAACCUUUAGACUUGAUAGACCAAUGGCAGGCAUGCUACUUUUUUAUAAGCAGACAAGCUCGCGUAGCCUAUGCAGCCGUAAAUGUUGGUGUAGAACUUUGCAAAGUUGUUAGCCAUUAGGUUGGUAACCAGAUACCUUACUUACAGAAGUAGACAAGUCCGCAUAACCACUAGGCUAUUAACCUUGACUUUCUCCAAUUCUGUAGGUUGCGUAGCAAGUAUCACAACACUUUAGGAAUUGGUAUAGGUUGCUCCGCACUUGGCAGAGGUGAAGCCUAUCGACUACGUAGCAUGUCGGCAGUGGAUAAAACUUCCAUAUAUGCGCGCUAGCUUGUUUAACCUUUCACAAGAAUGUGCGGUUGUAUAAGUCUAGCACGGUUUUACUGCUUGAAGGGCAAGCCGUAGGCAGUCUUCCGGAAUCCGUAGGCUACCUUAAUGUACUCGGUAGCAGCUUUAGGGUUCCAGGGCAGCCGUCUAUAGAGCGUACUGCGUAAUGUGCCCCAUCCGUCUCUAGCUCCCGGUUCCCCACAGAUUAGACCAAGAGACCCAAAAUCCUUCAGUUAGUUAAGCCUUGAAAAAGACCAUUGUGGCUACUUCUAGGAAUCCCGGCUCAAGCCAUCGUACAUCUAGUUAUACUAGGGUAGCCAGGCUCAUCAGCGUCUGGAUAUUCGGAGUGUAAAGUUUAUCCUCCCGUCUUAGAGAGCUGACCCAUAUGAGUGUCGGGGAAUUGGUUUACCCUCUCACACUAGAGAGUAAUUAAUUUACCCUCUCGCACUGGAGAGCAAUUAGUUUACCCUCUCGCACUGGAGAGCAUGGUUGGUCCAUCGGGGGGCGCAAUUCCUGCGAUGAGUCCCUAAGAAGGGCGCAGUCUUCUUUUGAAGUGCAGGAAUGAUUAGUUGUUAUAAGCAUGUGAUCGAGUCAAGUUGUGAUUACUUCUAAAUUCCUCAUUGAAAAACGAGUGAAACGAACGAGAACUUAGCCGUAAGGUAGGAACUGCAUAACAACUGGAUAGUCCUCAACUUGUGUGGUGGUACCCAUCGAGCUUCUUGAGUCUUCGGGCUUUGAUGUAGUGGGAGGUUACACAUGGCACCUUUUCAGAUUGUAGGCGCUCUACUGCUUUUCGAACUUUUUUUUUGUUGUGUAAUUGCUCUUGCUGCCUACUCGGCUAAUCUUAUACAGACUUUCUCGGAUGAGAUUCAUCUUUUUGGAGCUUCUCUGCUGGCAGUGAUGAAGGCUUUUCUUAGGACUAGAUCUCUGGGCUGGAACUGCCAGAUUUUGGCCUUUUUGUUGUGGCUGGAAAAGAACCACUGCUGGUAAGUUGUAAUGCAGAUGAUAGUCUGCUCGCACUUCUCCUCUGCCAAAUUUAAGCUUGUGGCCAUCUCCUUUCGGUUGCUCGUCUUUUGGUGUUGCGAUGUGCCCAUAGACAUCCAGGGAGUUUGUCUGGCCAUUUUCUUUUCUUAUUGGUAGGGGAUUUCUUGUGGCAGUCGAGGAUCAUCUUAGUGGAUGUUUUGGCCAGCCUAUUGCCUUGAGGAUAUCUUGGCGUAGACAUGUGCUGCUUGAUGCCAUAUUUUUAGAAGAAUUUCGCCAAAUCUUUGCCCACGAAUUACGGGCCGUUGUUGGUGACGAUGGAUUAAGGUAUGCCAAAUCGGCAAAUGAUGCUCUUUCAUAUGAAGCGCUCUAUGUCCGUUUGAAUUGUGAUCGUCAUGGGCUCUGCUUCUACCUAUUUGGUGAAAUAGUUGGUUGCCACGAUCAUCAUGCAUUUGCCCUUAGUAGUCUGGCUGGUGAUUAGCUGGGAAUCAGAAUGAAUUGAAAGCUUUUUCACCACCAAGUCUUUUGUCACUCGAAGGCCUGCUAGUGGGGCUUUGUACUCUGCUUCGUUGUUAGGUGCUUUGACGCUUAGAGUGAUCGCUUACUCGAGCAUUGAACCGUCUGGGGUGGCAAGAACCACGGUUACUUAUAAGCCUUUGUAGUUGGAUGCGCCGUCGACAUGCAAAUGCCAGAAAUUUCCAUUGAGGGAGUAGGUAUGGCUAAAGUGUGCUCGGCUACCUUCGAAGCGUCGUUGGGCCGCUUUGUUACAUUGUCAAGGCUAGGUUUGAAGGCGCGGUAGAGAGUCGUGGAGCUGGGGCCAUGUUACAUGUAGCAGGAGAUGCUCAACUUCCGGUAUUAGGCCACUCUAGAGCUGAAUAAUGGAGCAAAGGUCGGCUAGGGUCGUAUGACGCGCAGCAGAAGGUAGUGCUCGACUGCUAGUACAUGUUGCUCUUACGUAGAAUCUUCUGAGGCGACGAGGACAAAACUUGCUUUUAAGUGUUCCUUCUAGUGUUCGUCUGCCCUUGGCGUGUCUUUUGGGCUGAGUUGUUGCGUUCGUCAGAAAACUUUGCAUCUGCCAGGGUUUACGUCUUUAUCAUCACGGGUUUGGAUUAGGCGGAAUAGUGCGUCAUGAUGAUGACUGCGUACAUUUGAAGGUAAAACUUAAGCUUUUGGGUUACAACAACUAUCACCAAAGUUAGCUUUUGAAUUUUUAAUAGCAUCGAGGAGAGCUUUUGAACUAUAAAAUACAUGUAGUUGGGCCCCCAACUCUUCUCGCAUGACGGUACAGCUUAUUUCUACUUUAGAUACCGUCAAACAUGCGAAUAAGUCCUCUGCUGCUUCUAGGGAGGUGAUGUUGGGUACUUCUUCAAGCCCUUGAAUGUGCAUUGGCGAGCCUCAUCCCAAAGUGCAUGCUUCUCUGCCAAAGAAAAAGAGUCUACCAGAGUUAGAUAUUCUUUCAUGAUCAAUUUUCUAAAUAGCGGUGGUCUGCUGGAAGGCCUUUUUGGAAGGCUGCUCUAGCUAUUGAGUCGCUGCAUCCGACUAUCAUUGCCUUCUCUGUUUUGAAUCUCUUCACAUAGUCACGAAGUGACUCCUUUGGGUUCUUUUUUACGUCAAACAAAUGGUCGGACUUCUUUUUGAUCGAGCAAUAAGAUGAAUAUUCUUUGGUGAAAACCAAAGAAAGUUCGUAGAAAUUCUAGAUAGAUUGUGGCGGCAGGGUGUAGAACCAAUCUUGUGCCUCGCCUUCAUAGUGGUGGCGAAUAUCUUGCACAUGAGAUCAUCGUUGUUUCGAUAAAGGAUCAUUGUGCUUCGGUAGCGCUUUAAGUGUCUCUUCGGGUCUUCAUCCCCUUUGAAAGAUAUGAAAUGUUGCAUACUGAACUCGCAUGGAGGCUCUGCCAGCUCGAUCUCAUCCGUGAAGGGUGACCUGCUUAUGUUGGUCAUGUUCCGUCGUAGUGCCUCGUCGGUGACCUUGUUGCGUUAGAAAUCAUGCAAUCGCUUGAUUAAAAGUCUCUCUACUUCUUCCUGAAUUUUCAUUUGUUAGGGUAGCAGAGCUCUCGGCUGCCCCUAGCCAUAACUUACUGGUCUAGGAUGCUCUUCCAUGUGUUUGGCUCGUAUACCGUGGAUGCAGUGUAUGUGGUGCGGUCCUAGUAGGUGAGCGAGUUCUUCGCAGGCUGCUAGUUGAACUUGAGCUGGAUUGAGUGACUACUUCUCUCCGUCCGUCGUGCUGCCUACUCCAAUGUGAGGUGAAAGAUGCUCCUUGCAGGCUUAGCCACGAAUGAACACUUUACCUGGAAGGUUGCUCAUGUUGACUAUCAGAGUAUGACCCUAACCGUGAAUGUAUAUUCACCCGUGGGCUUAGUCGAGAGUGCACGCUCCUCCGCGCGCUAAGACGAGAGUAUACGUUAUCUCGGGAGCCCAAUUGGGAGUGUACACUGCCCGAACGCUCGGCUCGUGGCUGGUCGAGUGGCUGCUUGCCGAAACGCUGCGGGAAAGGUUCGUCUGCCCUUGUCCUACUUCGGGAUACCUUGUUUGGGGCACGUUGGAUUCUGGUGCAUUGCAAAAGUUGAUUCACCAAGGUUGUCUGUUGUGCAAGGGUGCUCGUAAACGCUACGACUUGUCGAGACAAGUGUUGUUCGUCAUUUGGAUUGGAAUAGCUUGGAAGGAAUGUGCCUUCUUGGGCAGUGGAAGGGUGGUAGACUCCGGGCUCGAGAUUUGAGUUGGGAAAUGUCAAAUCUACGAAAAAAUGUGGUGAGAAUGCCCCCGGCUCGAUGGUAGGUCCGGAUGGUUGAGAUAGUCUUGGGCCGACUUGGGCUGCUUGGAAAGCCACGGGAGCAGGCUGGGCCACGAGAGUGAGCUGCUCGGCAGGAGUAGGCUGGGCUACGAGAGUGGGCUGCUCGGCAGGAGCAAACUGCUUGGAGUGUGAUGCACAUGGGUGCGAGGCUUGGGCUCGGCUUGGUAACACAUUGAGUUCGGGUUUGGCUUGGAGUGACAUGACUUGGGCCGUGGCCUUGGUGUCGUGAGCCUUGGAUGGCACGGCUCGGGCAGUGGUAGCUGUGCCAUGGACCUCGCCGCGGGUAGUGGUGACCGUGAUGGCCACCGCGGUGGUUGCCAUGGUGGAGCCCCGUAGUGAUGGUGCCGCUCCUAUGAUCACAUUUAGCCUCGUGGAUCGUCGUGGUCCCAUUUCUUGAAUAUUAGAAUUUUCACUUAUGGAAUUUUCUAAAUUUCUAGCCAUUAUAUUUUUCUUAUACGUUUUAUCAAAGAACCUUUGCAAAUAAAAAAUUCUAAUAAUAAGAACGUAUGAAAAAAUAUUCAAAUGGACUAGAAAAUAGAGAAAAACCUUUUUAUGCGAGAGUCUUCUACGAGUAUAGAUCUCAACUCUCAAUGAAAGCACCAAUUUGUGGAUGCAAAUUUCUUCCUCCUUGAUCCUAGACAAUUUUGCACCUACAAAACAAUUAACACCUUAGGUUAAGGCCAAGAGCCUCACACGCCCACGAUGAAUGGGGGGGCUUUGGCCGAAGAACCUCUGAUGCCAAAGUUAGAAUUUAGAGAGAUAGAGUGUUCAGAGAAUUUUGAGAUUUUUGCCAAAGUGUUGGAAUGGAUUUUUGGUGAGAAUGGGAUCACUUUUAUAGGGAUAGGAAGUGGCCGGCCUAGCUAGGGUUUUUGGGUUUAAUUUAGGUUUAAUUAGUCAAUUUAUUUGGCUAAUUAAACCCUAAAGAAUAAAUUGGUGGUUACAAAAUUGAUUAUUUGUAUAAAUGGGGUAAUAAAAUGGAGAAAGGUGAAAAAGGUUAGGAAAAGGGAGGUGGCCGGCUUCUUAGUGGUUUUAGGUGUGAGUGGGUGUUUUAAUUGAUAAUUAAGGGAUUCAUUAGGUAAUUAAUCAAUUUUUAGGGAAUAUGAAAGGAAAAUAUUAUUUAGCUAAUUGAUUAGCUAAAUAAUGGAAUACAAAAUAUAUAGAACAAAUUAGGUAUUAGGAAUUACCUUAUAGAAAGGAUUUGAUGAAAUAAGCUUUAAAUUGUUACCUAUUUUGGGCACUUUUGACUUGGUUGAGGAUGAUUGUCUGCCGCUCACGCGUAGGAAUCUCGAUAUGCCUCAAGGGUAUUUUUGUUCUCUUUUACCCAAAAAUCCACGUGUCGCCUUGUGAUUAUUUUGGCUCCACAACAACCACGUCAGCAUUUAACAGACCAAUGGAUGGAAAAUCUAACGGAGGUAUUAUUUUGAAAUAAAAUAACAAGUGAGGUAUGAAAGUGAAAUGUUUUAAAGAUGUUGUAUGGGGUUGUAAUAGACCUCAAACUUGAGGGUCCUAUGUAAUUUACCUAUUUUUAUGUUAAUUAUGAAUAGGUCAAUCAUGUAGAACCAAAUUAAAAGCUAACAUCAAUAACAACUACCAGAGACAAAAGCUCUAAUCAAUGCUUCGGAAACAUAGUCUUGUAUCUCUAGGUGUAAUGAUAUAAUUUGUUGGAAACUUAAAAGAAAAUUGGUGAUUUUGUAUAUAAUCGAUAAAAAGUUAUAAUAGUGACAAUAUAUCAGUAAUAUUUAUGUUAAUUAGGAAUAGGUCAAUCAUGUAUUUAAUACUUACAUGCAUUUAAAAUAAACACCUUAUCAAUGUUUUUUUAACUGUGCUCAGUUUUUCUCCUUCGCUUUGGUUUUGUUCUAUUGGAUUUUUCAACUAUCAUUAAUUGUGAACAUAACUGAUCAUUGAGACACAAACAUCCAAGGGAGAGUACCGUGGAACAAAAUGUGGAUAUCUUUAUACAUUGUAUGGUAGUAAACCAUCAUAAACACCAUAAUAAUGUAGAAACGCUCUUGGGGUACCUUUGGAUGAUAACUCAUGUAUUUGUUGCCCUACGUAAAGAUGGCUAAUGAUAAUGGAAGUCUAAUUUUCUCAUCCCAAUCUCUCCUGUCUCUCUUGUUCUCUUUUCUCUAUAGUUUAUUUCCAACAAGUUGUGUUAUUUUUUUUUUUUAGUAUUGUUAAGCAACCAAUAGAUUUUAAUUAGCAGUCUUUGUUUUUUUCUUUUAUAUUUUUAAUCAAUUUCAGUUGCUUAUCCGUUCUAGCAAAUUGAGCUCUUUUACAGCAAUUUUUUUCUUUAAAUGAAAUUAUUAUUAUUAAAAGAGUGAGAAAAUUCGAAAUUAUUACAACAAUUUAAAAAAAAGAAGUUUCGAAUCAUAAACACAGAGGGAGUUUACAACAUUUUAAUUAAGAAAUUAGGCUUCAGCUCAACUCAUCUUUGCAACGUCGGUUCCACUUCACAUCAACAUGCAAUGUUUCAGAAGGUCACGCGGUUUUGGGGUUGUUGUGUACCAAUAAUAUUAUAUAUAUAUAAAUUAGGAUUGAAGGAUACACGCAUUUUGUAGAGCUUAUUUUGUUAUGUAUUUUAAUGAUUUAAAUGCUUACGUUUUUCUUCACUACAAAUGAGUGAAUUAAUGAUUUUAGAAUUUGUCUAAUUUUUUACAUUGAUUAUUUAUGAAUAUUGAAUUGAAAUAUAGACGAUUCAAAAAUCGUUGAUAUACAUUACAAAAUGAACUCCACAAAAUAAGCGUCAAAAUAUGUAUAUAAAAUGGACAGCGUGAAAGGCUUGGAAAUUGGAAUAGGUUUGAAAAUUGUGCUUUUUGUAGCAAAUUGUAGCAAAGUUUGCUUGGACUUUCACAACCGUAUAAAUUAUGCCGCAGCACUCUCUAUUUUCUCUCUCGCUCUAUAUCGUGGUCCCUCUCUCUCGCCGUCCUCGAUUGCUCGAACUCACUAUCCUUUAUUGCUCGAACUCACCGUCCUCAAUUGCUCGAACCCACUGUCCUUUAUUGCUCGAACUCACUGUCUCCAACUUCCUCUGUUUGGUUCCCGAUGAAGAUGGUAAAACAGUAGGGGCAAGAAAUUAUGACAAUGUUAGAUUUGCAUAUUAAUCUGGUAGGGCUACAAUUCUCCAAUCCACACCCCUUCCAUCUAUGCUAGUGUUUGUACCCAAUAUUAGAUAUCCGGUCUGUGCAAUCGAGAUCGUUGAAUGAGAAAAAUUCUAAGCCGUGGGAUCAAAUAUAAUGAUGUGGAUUAAAUAAGAAAAAUUUAAAUGUUUAUCUUGGUUGAAUUACCAUGAUAAUAUUGUGGAAUUAUCUUCUGCAUAACGGGAUAGCGAGAAAAGUCCAAGGGUGUAGGGAAGUUGUGUGGCUGACUACCGCUUUUUUUUAUGGUGUCAUUAGUAGAGUAAUAUCACACUUAACAUUUAUUUGUACCAUCUCUCUAAUAAAGAUAAAGACCAUCAAUGCAUAAAUAAUGAUACAAAUAUAUAAUAAGAGUAUCAUAUUUGUAACUAGAAUAGGAGAAGAAAGACUUCAAGAUGGGGUCAGCCAAAUAAUUAGCGUCAGGAUAAAAAUAUGAGUAAUGAUAUUUGUAAACAUCGAAAUUUCGGUAAAUAAAUGUUGACCGAUAAAUCAAAGUUUCAACGCUCAUGUAUUACAUAAAUUUUACACGUAGCGUAUGUCUAAACAAAAAAUCGAAAUAAGUUGGAAAAGUCAUCAAACAGGACACAUGUCAACACCUGGCAGAAACGACUUAUUUCAUCUGGAAUAUUAUAUUCAAAAUUAGGCAUUGGAAAAUUCUAUAAAUAGAAGCCAAUUUCAUUCAUUUGAAGGAACCAAAAUCAUUAGGCAAAAUUCUUGAAGCUCUGAAGCUCUGAAACUCCGAAACUCUCAAGCAUCCAGGUUCCCGAAGAAUCAAGAAAGCUCUCUUCGUUCUUCGUUCUUCGUUCAUCGUUCAUCCUAAGAUCAAGCUCCAACGGCCCUUUAGAUCAACAAUCAUCCACUAAUUCAAGAUCAAGCCCCGACGGCCCUUGAAGAAAGUGUUCUUCAUUCUUCGUUCAUCGUUCUUCCAAGAUCAAGCCCCAACGGCCCUUUGGAUUAACAAUCAUCCACCAAUUCAAGAUCAAGCCCCAACGGCCCUUGAAGAAAGUGUUCUUCGUUCUUCGUUCAUCGUUCUUCCAAGAUCAAGCCCCAACGGCCCUUUGGAUUAACAAUCAUCCACCAAUUCAAGAUCAAGCCCCAACGGCCCUUGAAGAAAGUGUUCUUCGUUCUUCGUUCAUCGUUCUUCCAAGAUCAAGCCCCGACGGCCCUUGGAUCAACAAUCCACCAAUUCAAGAUCAAGCCCCAAAGACCCUUGAAGAACUUCUACCAAUUCAAGAUCAAGCCCUGACGGCCCUUGAAGAAAGUGUUCAUUGUUCAUCAUCCGUUCAUCCCGAAGAAUCAAGAAAGCCUUAUUCGUUCUUCGUUCAUCGUUCUUCCAAGAUCAAGCCCCGACGGCCCUUGGGUCAACAUCAUCAACAAAUCCACACAUCCAACCGUUCUUCAAGAUCAAGCCCAAAAGCCCUUGAAGAUCCGUUCAUCACCGUUAUUCAAGAUCAAGCCUUAACGGCCCUUGAAGAAACACUCAUCCUCAAGAUCAAGCCCCAACGGCUCCUUGAAGAUCCGCUCAAAUCCACCUUCAAAGAUCAAGCCCACGGCCCCUUGAAGAAACAUCCAACAGUUCAUCCAAGAUCAAGCCUCGACGGCCCUUGGAUCAACGAAACAUCUACAAAUCAACACCUUACGGAGAUCGAAUCAGAUGAUCAAAUUAGAGAGAGAUUGUAACCCUAAAUCAUCAAAAUACAAAUAUUAUUUUGUGCACGUUGUUCUUAUCUCUUUCGUUUCAGGAAAUUUUCGUGUUCACAAUAUUCUUACCAUCUAAAUAUACUAUAAUUUUAUACCAUCUUAUGUGGCAAUUGAGAUGGACUUCCACAUAAGUUUUAAAAAAAUCUCAUGUCAGCUAAGGUGGAUAUUUACGAUUUUACGAUUUUACUCAAUGAUUUUUAUUAAUAAAAUAAUUAAAAAAUAAUAAUGAAACCUACUUGCUCCCGUUUUCAAGCCUCAUCGCUGGGCCUCCUCCCUCUUCGCUCUCCAAUUUCACCUUCCUUCACCAACGAUCGAUGGUGCUCGACCCCCUUCAUCAUUGCCAACUGGCCGAAUAUCUUGAUGGUGCUCCCAGUGAUUGUUUUGCUCUGCCACCAAAUCAAGUUUGCAAUUUUAAUGGUUUAUGCCUUCUGGCCAAGUGUUGGAUUUGAUAGGUUUUUAAUUCCAGCAACAUUGAACAAAAAUAUGAAAAGGAUUGGAUACGAUAUUUUCCUCUGUUCUACUGCUGAGGAUUUUCCGAAUAGAAGAAGAUUUGGAAGACAACCUCUUUUCUUUUUUCUUCAUGGACUUUUGGUUAGCACCAAAAUCUUUUCCUAAUCCUCUAUAGGAAUGAAAAUUUCAUUCCAUGUUAUAUCCCGAUGUUGUCCAAGGUUUUGGCUUGAAUUUUCAUUGGAAUUAUCAUAUGUUGGAUCAGAUCAGGUGGAGAGAUGAAACGUAUCUAACAAGGAAGUUGAACGGGUAGGGUUUGAGCAAAAAUAAACAGAAAUUCCACCUAGGUUGACACCUAAGCUUCCACAUCAUGUGGUAUACUAAAUGUGGUAUAAUAAGAUGGUAAGAAUAGCAUUAUUGAAUGGGUAAUGUUAAGAGAAAUUUUUAGUUGUGACGGGAACACGGAUGGUACACCAUGCGUUUUUAUGUAAAUGGUGGAAAAUUUUAAUUUUUAAAUUAUUAACCUUUUAGCACACAUAUCCCACCAUUUAUAUGAAAACACGUGAUGUAUCACCUCGUGUGAUAGUCACAUUGAAAAAUCUCUCGUAAUGUUAGGAAAACUAAAUUUAUAAACAAAAGUUACAAAUUAAAUGAUGGGUUACCAAUAAGAAUGAUUACGUUUAUCAAUGCUUAAAUAAUAAAUCAUUCAUCAACUUCCAGUCCUUUAGUUUUUAAAAUUUUGUCUAACAUUACCCUUUCAAAACUCAUGAAAAUAAUUUUCAAUUUUUUUAACUGAAAAGUGAAAGUUACUAAACAAGAUUUCAGUUUUUAGCUUUCAAAAAAAUAAAAACAAAAGCUAAAAAUAAAAUGGUUAUCAAACAUCCCUAGAAGUCAUUCUUAGUGAUAGUAAGGUCAUCUCCAACCGAAAGAUCCAGGGGGCUAGAGGGCCGAAAAUAGUCUGAAAACCAUUUCCAAUCAAAGGCCAUGCCAAAGGGGUCGUGGACCCCAUUAGACAAAAAAGGGCCAAAGGGCCAACUGGCUGGCCCCAGUUCCAACAAUAACUAGAUGACGUCAGUUAACCGUUAUUUUUGAAUUUUUUUUUUAACAAAUUUUAACUUUCUAAGCCAUUAAACAACAUUAAAUUAAGUAAAAAAGAAAAUUCCUAUAACUUCCUAAGUCAUUAAACAAUAUUAAAUUAAGUAACAUGAAACAACAUUAAACAAUAUUAAACAAAAUUAAACAAUAUUAAACAACAUUAAAUAACAUUUAACAACAUAAAAAUUAUACAACAUAAAAAAAAACAUUUAAGAACAUAAAAUUUAAAUGCCUACUUCAUGCUUCUUUUGGCCCAAAGAUGUGCAACAAGAUCCUAAUGUAGGUACUUGUUUGUGGCACGAGAGCGUAUCAUCCUAACCGUUAGAUUUGAUUUUUUUUUGUUUUCGGCCAAAUUUUUUUAAAUUUAAAAAUAAAUUAUGUUUGACCUUUUGGCCCUCGAUUGGAGAUAGUUUUUUUUGUGACAUGACUAUGUUUAGCCCUAUGACCCUUUGGCCCUCAGUUAGAGAUGGUAAGAAAUAUGACCCAACAAUGUUCAUUAAAAUAUUAAUUUCUUGAAGAGCCAGAGGGCUAAAACGAGCCAUCCUUCGGUUGGAGAUGGCCUAAGAAGAGACUAGAGAUAGAGAGAUUCCUAUACUUAGCUGUGAGAGUUUCCUAUAUAUGAUUUUCAUUAACAAGAUUGAACUGAUUACAUAGAGAAGAAGAUCAAGUAUGGUUAUUUUUAUUUGGGAGACUUUGGAUGUGGUCCUUAGUUAUGAAUAUUAUUUGAUUGAAAUCUUGUUGGUUUUUAAUUUUUUAUCAAGAUCCCUGAAAUUAAUGUGAUAAUUUAUUUCUAUGUAAGUUACUAUAUUUUUUUAAUUAGAAAUUAGAAAUUUUAGUUGUUUAUAUAAAUGAGAUUUUAAAUUAAAAAAACCAUAAUUUGUGGGAUUAAAAAUAUUAAAAUAUAAAUAUACUAUUGUGUGUGUGUGUGUGUGUGUGUGUGUAUAAAUAUGGGUACAUUCAUCAAAAUUAACCAAAAAAUUUAUUGUAUCAAAACAUGGGUACAUUCUUCAAAAUCACAAAAAAAGAAAGAUAUUAGGCUUAAUAACAUUAGUAAAUUUCUUCGAUUAAACUUGACAUGGAUACAUUUUAAAAUCAAAGAAAAAAAAUGUACCCAUAUAAGUUUAAAAAUGGAUUAGAAAAAAAAAUUGAAUAGAUUUUAUACAAAAAAAGGGUACGUUUUACAUAUAACAAAUUGGUAUAUUUAAGAAUGAGUACAUUUUAAGAUUAAAAAGUUUUACAUGAAUGGGUUCAUAUAAUUAGCAUGGGUACAUUUAGCAAAAUAAAAAGUACAAAUACAAAAAAAUAUAUGUGUACAAAUACAAAUAAACUUUAAAAAAUAUGGGCACAAAAAGAAAUUAAUAUAUGGGUACAAAUUAAAACCGAAAAGAAAAUUGGUACAAGUUAAAAAAGAAUUACAAAUUAAAAAUGGGUACAAACUAAAACUAAAAAUAUAUGAUAAAAAAUUUAGUCAUAAAUAUAAAUAUACUAAUUGUAACAUUUUUAACAUUAAAUGAAUAUAUUUAGACAUAAAAAAUAUAUUUUAUUAUUGAAAUAAUUAAUGAUGUUAUUAAUACCCAAGGACCUUGAUAAAAAAUUGAAAAGAAAUAGAAUUUUAAUCAAUGGAGUAGCAAAAGAAAAGAUGAGAACCUAAUUUCUCCUUUGUAUUGUGUAGACAUUAUAACUAUACAUUCAUAAUAACAUGAGUAAUGUUAUAUUUAUCACAUUUGUACUCUUUCUCCAAUAAAGAUAGGGUCCAUCAACACAUGUGGGUUCUAUUUGCCCAUCAACACAUGCGAAUCUCAUUUUUAUUAGAAAAAUAGUACAAAUAUGAUAUGGAAAUUAUGAUAAGAUCGCAAUUUUGUAAUAACAUAUAUACUCAACUAUUUAUAUACCAACUCAUCUCCCUUUAGUGUAGUUAAUAUUGUUUGUUCAACCAAAAAAAAAAAAACUGAACUUGUCAUAAUCAUUGAAUCCAUUUACCAUGAACAAACGGCAGUUUACUAAACUUGCCCUCAGAGUAUAUAUAAAAGGUGAAUCACAAUCUAUUGCAUUAAUAUAAGGAAACAAUUUAUAGGGUUUGACGGGUGACUUAAUAUGCUAUAUGGCACAAUGAAAAUUAAGUUCACACUUUAUCCCAAAUAAGGUGUUGCACCUUUAAUUUAUGGAUGCUGGUUUGACGUGUGACCGAAAUAAUCAAAUUGUAGCCAUUAAUCAUUUUACAAGUAAUAAUAUGUGGUUUUAUUGUUUACGAUUCACACAACAAUCUGCUAGGAAGUAGAAAAUGCAGUACUUGUCCCUCUCACAGAAGUCAUGAAUAAUUAUCAAAUUCAAAGAUAAAGAAAAACCACACAAUUUACAAGAGGAAAGAAAAUGAAGGGAUAAAGAAAGUAAGAAAGGAAUACCUCUAUGGGAGGACUCUUAUUUGCUUCAGAUGCCUACAAUAUUCAUCAUAUAAACACUGAUUAAGUAGUCAUCGAAAACCAAAACAAAUGUCGAACAUAGGGUGAAAAACAGAAAGAAUAACCGCAGCUCAUCAUACCAAUAGAGAUAGAACUGCCCGAUGCCCAAGUAUGACUGAAAAAUGGCAAUCCAAACAUGGCGCCUUCUAGCUCAUCAAACUGUCAAAACCUAGGUUCCACCAAAAAGAUACAAGUCACCUAGUUACUUGUAAAAUAAAAAUCUGUUUCAAAAUAGUGGAAAAUAUUAUUAACAUUGUUCAAAGUCCACAUUGUUGUACCUACCAAGAAACAAGAAGGAUUGUAUCUUAUCAUGAAAAAGAACAUAGGUACCUUUUCAAUUGUAAUUGUACAAAAAUGAGAGACCACUUCCGAACUUCUCUUGGAACUUCAAUCAAUUUCUGCCCACUUUUAAAUGCCUUGACAUACUUAAGCCUAUUUCUUUGAGCUUCAGUUUUGGCUUCUGAUGCCUUUAAAUUUCUUAAAGAUUCUUACCAAGUUUUACAAACUCACUUCUAUACAACCAUUUGUCAGUAUACAUACCAUUUUCUUUGAGCUUCAGUCUUUGCAACACCAAAACCCCCCAAAUAGACCCGGAAUUUUGCAAUGUGCAGGGAAUAUACAAAAAAAACCCUCCUAUCCAUCUAAAACGAAAUCAGAACGCAAACCACAAUCAAAAUCCGUAAAAUUAAUUUAGCCAACCCCUAAAUCUAAUAAUUCUAACAAAUAUUAUAGUAUCAAUUGAGAGAGAAUUUGAGAAGAUACCUAGAGAUGAAAGGAAGAGCGUUUCCUCUGAUAGGGGUUCCGUGAAAGCAUCUGUUGACCAGAAAAGAAAAGGCAAAAAACCCCAAAUUACAUAUCAAGCAAUUAUAGAUAGAUCGAACCUUGAAAAUUGAAAUUUCAAACAAGAGAAAGGUUAUAAACUUACAACGAUCUGGGUGUUGGUAACUGGGUUUGGAUUUGGGUUUCUGAUAAGAGAGAGAAUCGUAUGAGGAACCGAUAGAGGAACUGCACCGGCAACAGAGAGCAAUUGAUAUGGUGGAGAACAGACGAGAAUAGCUGCUUGGAUGGUCAAUCCAAGAAGAGAAAAUCUUGCCACAAUCGCGGUACUUGAAAAAAAAAAAAACAAGUUUAAAGGAGGGAAACAAUCGCGCCUUUUUCUAAUAGACUCUGUCGACGAUAUUCUUGACAAAUAGAUGCUUCGUCGGGUGAGCUUAUUUUUCACAACAUUUUAUUUAGGAUUGGGUUCGGUUGGUAAACCGUGUCAAAUUUCUUGUGCCACUUGCCAGCCACAUAUACAUAAUUACCGAAAAUCAGUUACCGUUAGCCAACCGUCUUCUUGCGGUUGCCAAAAAUCGGUUCAGCCAAAAUGAUUGGCUGGUUCGGUUGGUAAAUGGCACAACCGGUGGUUUCCACUUCUUCCUCGCUAUCUUCCAGUUCCAAGGGCUCAAUUUGAUUUUCAGAUUGGGAUGCUUGUUCGGUUGCAUUGUGUGGUUCAUUUUGGGUUAAUCCAUGUUGUGCACUAGUAGUUGAUUGGCUAGACUCCAUUAUCCUAAACAUAAGCAACAAAUAUACAUUCAAAAUAAUAUAUAUGUACGUGUAUAUAUAGUAUCAGUAAUCAUCAUGCUAUCAAUUUUGUUAACAAUAUUUUCUAUAUAUUGAUUUUGGCAUGAAUCAUAUACACAUACAUAUAUUUUUAAAACCCUAAAACUAAGGAGUCAUUUAUUUUCUAAACUCUAAAAUUGAGGAGUCAAGCAUGUAAAAAAAUACUUAAAAUAUCUAAAUAGAAAAAGAAAAAGAAAAAAAAAUAAAUAUAUAUAUAUAUCGGUAGGUAUGGCAUACCGCCGGCAUACAAAAUCAAUUACCAAAGCCAUGCCAUUAAUUGUCGGUUCGGUAAAAUGCCAACCGAUUAUGAAAAAAUGUCAAAACUAUACCAUACCAUUUUGAGCCAACCAGUAUGGUUUGGUCAGUAAAUCGGUUUAUGGCAAAAUUUCUCACCCCUAAUUUUAUUUGUCACCUUAAACCUAUUGGUUUCUAGCCUACAAUUCGGAUAUUUUGUUGGGGAAAGAUUUUUGUACCAAUAAAAUUUUGCUUUGUCGGCAAAAUGACAUUUUCUAGUAGUUAUAAUAUUAGGUAGAUCAAAUUUGUAAACUAUGUGAUGUGUCACUAAUAGGAAAAAAUUUCAGUGUGCUGAAAAUACGGUCUAGAACACCAAGUGUCAUAAUAUAUACUUGGUUGGAAAUCUUUUAUUUUCAAGUUUCCAACUAGUUGUAUUGUAACAGUUGGUGUUCCAAGCUAUUUUCUCCAUGCGCUGGAAAAUCUCUUCACUAAUUAAAAAUAAACAUAUUAAUUAACACUUAAGUAAUAAUCAAAGCAUCAACAACUACGUCAUAGAAUUUACGAAAUAUGAUCUUAAUUAAUGAUCUCCAUUACCCUUUAUCUUAGCGUAUACGUACGCCUUCACAUGUUUAUUUGCUGAUAUGCAGCUUGAGUAAAAAUUUCUUUUUAAGAACAUAUAUGUGAAUAUAAACAUAUAUAUCUAGUGAUCCAUGUUGCGUUAUUUAAAAAUAAACAAAUUAAUUAAUUAAUGAACUGUGUACCUGUCUGUGUAGAGUAAUCCAUAUGCAUGCUUGAAUCCUGAUCACCACGAAACCAUAAUAUAAGCUACUCAAGGCCCGGAAGCUAGGAUUGAAGAGAAAAACACCCAGUCAGAUUAAGCCAAUACAUCAAAGUUAAUACUUCCAAAUGUAAGCUUUAAGAUAGAAAAAUCACUUACUUCCUUGAGCAGUCGAGCUUCUUCAAUGGCAUGAAGCUUUUAGCAUGAGAUUGACUGCAUCACAACUAAAAUUUUCUCUUGGAAACUACAUAAGGAAUAGCAUGUAUACCUAUAACGUUGAGAAAGUACGCCAAUUUUUUCCUUCUGCACAUUCAUGUUUAAAAGUAAUCCUCAAAUGAACUUGCCCACAAUGAAAUGCAAUUUGAGGUAGUCGAGUGUGUUCCAUUUCCAUCCCAUCGGAAUUACUACUAAACUUUGAGAUGGUAGAGGAUUCAUGAAAUUUUUUACUUUUGAAAUAGUCUCCUUAGCAUUUCUCGACUAUAACAAUGAGGAAAUACUUCACCUUGUAUCAAACAAGGGAGACCGAAAAUCAACUACUAAUAGCAUCACAGAGCCAGCAGAAGAUUGAGGAGGCCAUGAAAAGGAAAGAGAAAAUACACUCUUUUUUUGUAAGGACAGAGAUAAUACAUUCAAUAAAGGGUACUGAUGUUUAUAUGCAAAGCUGAUUAGGUUUAAAUAGUCGUAUUUAUUCUGUACAGUGCCAAUAUUACCACCCGUUAGUACACUUUCAAGACACUGUAAUCCAGUGUAUGCACUAUGCAGUACGUAGUACUCCUCAUUUUUUUGGGGAAAUUCAUUAUUGGUCUUCAUAUCUUCUUUAUUUUCCUUGUCCUCAUUGUGCCACGUGUUUAAAUCACUAAUUAUAGGUAAUCUUUCAAUUUAAUUAAAUCUUAUGUAAAAAAAGAUAAUUAAAUAUCAUUUAGUAUUACAAUAUAGUGAUAUUCCUCUUUAGUAUAAAAUUUUUAUAAUUAAAAGCGUUCAGCUUUUUAAUCUUCAUUGGAAUAUUAUCUAUAAAGAAAAAUUAUUCGAAUCAGAGAUCAUUUAUGCAUUCAAAUGUAUAAAAUACAUCGACAGUGUGAGAACCAACUAAUAUAUUUUUGAUGAAGUACAAUUAUUGAAUACAUUUGAACGAUCAAAUGAUAUAUGAUUCAAAAUACAUAUUAAGAUAAUAAAUAUAAAAGAAUUGUUAUUUGCACUUCAAGAAUCUCAUUCUACACUCUAAAUUUUCUAUAUAUUAAAAGAAAAAUAAAUUUGUGAAAAGUGUAGAAUGAGGUUUUUUUAAAUGCUAAUAACACUUCUCUAAAUACAAUUAUGAAAUUAAUUAAGUAAAGAUACAUGACCUCGUGAAUGAUGAAUGUAUUAUUCAAAAAAAUAUUAAAAACAAAUUGAAAAAGGACGCUGUUGUUGCCACCACUUAUGCAAUGAUCGUCGCUGCCAUCACCAACCCCCAACACCCCAUUACAGCUCAUAAAAGCACAUCAUAAGCAAUUUAUGAAAUAAAUUUACUGGAAUACUAAUUUCCCCCUUAGUUUAGGUCACCAAUGUUUAAAUUUAGGGAUCGUGAUAUCCACACACAUUUUUUACUUCUUUCACACUUUUUUUUUCGGUUGUCGGAUCAGAUGAAUUGAAGAAAAUCAAUGAACAGAAAUUAACAAGGGGUGUGUGAGAAGUAAAAAUGAAUGUGUGGAUAACACACCCCUAAAUUUAUCACAACUUUCAUUCCAAAUUUAAUUUUUAUCCGUAGUUUUGUUUGUUCAAAUUUACUUUGACAUUUCCAUUAGUAUUAAAAUCUAAUUUAAAUUUUAGUGUUCAAGCUAGAAAAAGUGUUCCAUUUAAUAUUUAAUCUCAGUUUUUCUCUUUAUUCUUUUAUUGGGAUUUGGUUGCAUCGUAUCUCCAUUUUUCUCGGUGUUGUAUGUUCAUAAGGCCUGUGAAACGUUGGCACGGAGUGAAGGGUACUCACUUUUUGGCCCAAAAUGCAUAAGGCAUGUAGAUAUGUUAAUCAAAUUUUGUAAACUAAAGGAUAUAGAAGUUGAUAAUUAGAUUAUAAUUUAAGAUAAUACUAAGGAGACUAAAUUUGCAAACUAAAUGAUGUGUCACCAAUAAAAAUAAGCACGUUUAUCAACAAUUAAGUAAUAAAUCAAUCAUCAACUUUCAUGUCCUUUAGUUUCCAAGAUUUAAUAUACAAAUUUAGUCUCCCAAGCAUUACUCUAUUACUUAAGUAUUGAUUAACAGACUUAUUUCUUAUGGUGACACAUUAUUUAGUUUACAAUUUUAGUCUACCCAACAUUACUCUUUUGAAAUUGUCUUGUCCACUGAUAUAAUUCUAUUUUUCUUGUGAUCAAAACUUCAAAUGUUAGCAAGUCGCACGUAAAGUCGCUUAUGAGAGAAUGUGCUCACAUUGUAGUUGAAAGAUUAUGUGGCUAGCAACAUUACAAAUUUAAUUUGGUAUAAUUCUAAAAUAUAGAUUGAGGAAAAAAUGAUCACAUUAACUAGAAACUGAAAAGGUUUCAGCACAGUUUGUUCAAGCAAGAAAUUCAAUUUUGAUGCUACCGAUCUUAACAGCCUGAGCGCCGUACCUGGGCACCAAAGUCACCACCACACUCUCAUCAUCUUCAGCACCCAAAUCCUCCAACAGGUCCGUUAACCCCAACCUUAAACAACUCUUGCUCUUUUCCUUCUGCUUAUGUGGCACACUCACAAAACUCCCAGCAAACUCGCUCUUGUCGGGUCCACUCGGUGCCGCAUCCUCAUCGUCCACGUCAUUCACAUACACACAUCAAACUUCACAGCCACAUCUUUGUCAAGCUCAAUCCCCUGAAUCACCAAUAUCUCCUCCUCAUCCUCUUUCUCCUUCUUGCUCCUCUUCUUCGGCUUCGGCCUUGACACCACCGUACUUAUCUUCGUCUCCAAAUUUAUUGGAAAAUCUUUACCCGCCACCACCUUCCCUGAUGACGUCGUCUCAGUGGCCUUCGCCACUCCAGCCGCCUUUGCCUUUCUCGCAAGCUUUGUCCGACGUGGCGUCGGUCUAGACUUGAGCCAUGGAAUCUCAACAUCUUCAUACGUAUACCCUAGCUUUUUAUUAUCAAGAGUGUCCCUCACCGUGACCCUAACAAGCUCAGCAUUCUCGUCAUAAAACAAAAACCCCGUAUCCAACCAAUCCUUAUCGUUAAUAUCGUUAUUUUUAGUCCCUAUACUUUUCCAAAUAUUCCACAUUCGAUCUAUAUUCGAAUGGUGCGAAAAAAAUAUUGGAUCCCUUGCAGCGGAGUAAAAAUUCCCCAUGUCUUCAAAAUUAGGCUGCGUGUUAUCUCCGGUCCAUAAAUGAACCGGACCAUGUGGGGUCGUUUCGAUUGAACCGCCCCCUGGAUCUGGUUCAGUGUCAGCCCUGUAGGGCGAACCAAAGAACAACAGCGGUUUCUUGGAGUUGGAAACCAUCUGCCUAUACAUGAUUUUGAGGUUGGCGUCGAUUUGAGCAUCCUUGGACAUUGUUUCAUCCGUGCCGUUGAAGUCAAGAUCGAUGAGAGUCGGCGGCUGAUGGCUGGCAGCGCGGAGCUCGUCGUAAAGCGGAGAGUCCGGGUUAGCGAACAAGGCAGGGAGUUGCAUGCCAGCUGGCGCGUCCCAGUUCCAAAACGGCAACGCGAACGUCGGAUCGUCUAUGAGUUUGGCCAAGAUUCUUUCGUAGAAGUAUACGUAGUAACGAUGGAAGGGGAAGAAAAGCCAGCAUUGAUGGAUUUGGAGCUCGAGGUUGGGGAAGCCGACUUGGUCGUACGCGCCGUCGCAAUAGGCACAGUGGAGAUCGGCUUGCUGGGUGAAGCUACGCGGAUCGUCGUCCGGGAGGGCUUUCAUGAGCUCGAUGGCUUUUGAAUAUUUUUCGAUGUAGGCUUUAUCCACGGUGUGAGCUGCCGGCCUGACGCGGAGUUUGGUAGGGGAGGGGAAUUUGAAGUCUACGAUUUUUUGGGACGUUGGCGGGCAACAGUUGAUCGGGACUGCUCCACUUGGAAAGUCCGCAGCUCCGCAUUUGGCUAGGUCAGGCGGCAACACUGGCUUUGCAACAGCGAAGGGGUCGCUGCCAAGACCAGCCACUCCGGCUUUGCAACAGCGAAGGGGUCGCUGCCAAGACCAGCCACUCCACCGUAGAGGCUUCCGAGACCUAUAAGAAGAUAGAAUUCAGUUCUUGGCAGUAGAGGACUCUAUUGCAGGGAAAAACUGAUUUGAAUUAGGAAGGCUUAAGUAGUUUUCCAUAAGGAUUUUAAUAGGGAAUCCAUAUUCUAAUAUGAGAAGGAUAUGUGUGUACAUAUAUAUAUAUAUAUAUGGCAAUCUCUUCUCUCACAGGUGUGUGCUCUUUUGGAACUAAGCCCUAUUCUUAGUUUGAGUGAUAAAUACCCUGACAGAGAGAAGAAGAAUUGAUGUGCUUUUCAGGUUGAUCGAGAUCCACCAUGACUGCAUCAAACGGGAGUUCUACAGGUUAGUAUAAUUAGGUUUUAUUUGGAUUGAUGUUUUGUGUCUACUUGGUUGUAGUUUAAGUAACUGAAUCUUGCAGCUAGAUUUUGGUUUACAUGUGGUAUCAGAGCCAUAGAUUCAUGUUCUUAAAUUCAAUCGAUAAAAUUGAUUGAAUCCAAAAUAAAAUUCCGAUCUUCAGACUUCGAAACAGGUUCUGGUAGUUAAAAUUAGGAAAAGAAGAAACGGUGCGUUUUGAUUAAAAUAUGAUGAUUAAUACUUGACCGUUAAGAGCUAAUAAACUAUCUUCUCUUCCGAAUUGGGAAUACAAAUCGACAUCUAUCGAUUUCGAUUUCGGGGUUUGAAAAACUGGGUUAUAUGACAUCUAUCGAUUUCGAUUUCGAGGUUUGAAAAACUGGGUUAUAUGAAUUGUUAUUGAGUAUCCACAAUUUAUAUUAAUUGCUUCCGCUGCUGGGUGUUGAUGCUCAUAGAACAAACGGGUAUGUCUCCUGAACAUUGAAUUGAAAUUUGUUUUUUAAUCAAUCUUAUCUUGAAUUUCAUUAUGUUCUACAGCAUGAUUCGAAUAGUGAGCAUAAAAAUAUGCUUAUUUAUGCUGAUUAGUCCUAUGUUUAUGCGUUUUUCUCUAACCAUCUAUGGAAGGGAGUUCUUCGAUAAGAACCUCUGCAGAUUUCACUUGUUUUAUGCAGAAAGUUUUAUGAAGAACUGUUCAUUUGAUAAAGAUCUGCUAAAACUGUGUUCUUAAAUGGAAAAAUCUUUUAUUCUAUAUGUGCUUAUCAAUUCUUCAUUGUUAAGAUUAUAUAUAUGGAUAAAAGGUUUUGAUGAUAUGAUGUACAAAGGAUUGUGAGAUGAAAUCUGGAACUCUAAACGUUCUUCUGUGAUUCAUUGUGAUUUCAUUGUGCUACAGUGUCUGCAAUAUCAAUGAAGACUCUGAAUUUGGCUAACAUCCCAAUUCUUACUGGUGGGGGAAAUUACAAGAAGUGGAGAAGGGAAAUCAGUUUGCUGUUGACUCUAAACGAGUUUGAUAUAGCAAUCGAGAAUCCCAAACCCGUGGUCAAUGAUCAGAGCAGCACAAGGGCUGAAAAGGCAGAUUUUGAGAGAUGGACAAGGGCUAAUAAGGUAGCAUUGUCCAUCCUUGAGAGUGGCAUGACUGAUACAAUCAGAUGAGGAAUUAAGAAGCACGAUUUGGCUGCUGAUUACCUAAAAGCUAUUGAAAAGAAAUUUCAAGAAUCUGAAAAAGCUGAAGUGAGUCAGUAUAUGUCUUUAUUAACUACUUACAAGAUGGAGGGUACAAGCUCUAUAAGGGAUCACAUAAUGAAGAUGACAUAUGCUGCAGAAAGACUCAAUGCAAUGGAUAUAAACAUAGGUGAAAAGCAGUUAGUAUUCAUGAUUCUUCAAGCACUUCCCAGUAAAUAUAGUCAGUUGAAGAUCUCCUACAAUACUCAAGACAAAAACUGGGAUAUUGAUCAGUUGAUUGCACAGUGUGUGCAAGAAGAAACUCGUCAAAAACAAGAAAGAGGCAAAGAAGUUGAGGACAUCAACUUUGUGCAAACUAUAAAUGACAAAAAGCAGUUCAACAACAGAAGCUUUUCUGGUUCUGGUAAGAGUUCUAAGCCUUUUAAAACUUCUAAUAAGUUCAGUAAUUCUGCUAAAGUAGUUGACUCCCCUAGAAAAUCUAUCAAGUUUAAAGCUAAACCUAAAGAUGUGUCUAAAUUAAAAAUGUUUUUGGUGCAAAACUAAGGGCCAUUUAAAAGUUAACUGUGAAAUUUUCAAAGAUUAUGUAAAGAGCAAAGAAAAGGAACAAGUACUUGUCUGUAUUGAAUCAAAUUUGUGAAGUAUACCUGUUGAUUCUUGGUGGUUUUGAUAUACCGGAUGCUCAGUGCAUAUAACUAAUUCUUUAAAUGGUUUUCAAAAACAAAAGGAAUUUGGAAAUGCUACAUAUAAUGUUUUUGUUGGGGAAGGAACUAAAGUUGCAGUAGAGUCAAUUGGGAUAGUCAAAUUAGUCUUAUGUUCUGGUUAUGUUUUAGAGUUGAAAGAUGUGUGCUAUAUGUGCCUAAGAUGAGAAGAAACUUAAUUUCUGCCCUCUAAAAUUGUAAAAGAUGGUUUUUCUUUUCUUGGUGAUGAUGAGUGCCUCAAAAAUUUUCAAGAAAAACUGUCCUUGUCCUAACACUAUUUUAGGGACUGCUUUUUUGUCUGAUAAUUUAUGGAAUCUAAAUUGCACUGUUAAGGCACUCAAUCACACGAUUUUCAGCAUUAGUACUAAGAGAAUGAUAGGUCAGGAUACUUCAUACAUUUUAUGGCACAAAAGACUAGGACACAUCUCUAAAGAAAGGAUAAUUAAGCUGUAAAAAACUGACUUGAUUCCAAAAUUAGAUCUUUCUACUGCAACUGAAUGUGUUGACUGCCUAAAGGGUAAAAUGACCAAUUUUAGAAAAACAGAUGCCAAAAUGAGCCAGGGGUUACUUGAAAUCAUACACACUGAUAUCUGUGGUCCUUUUCCAGUUAAGACAAUAUGUGGAAACAAGUAUUUCAUUAAUUUCAUAGAUGAUUUUUCAAGGCUGGGAUAUACCUUUCUGAUUAAUGAAAAAGCUGAUGCCCUUAAGUGUUUUAUAAUUUACAAAACUGAGGUUGAAAAACAGUUAGGCAAGGUUAUUAAAAUUGUUAGAUCGGAUAGGGGAGGUGAAUACUUUGGCAGGUACACUGAAUCCGGGCAGCAAAAGGGACCAUUUGCUCUCUAUCUCGAGAAGAAUGGUAUUGUGGCGCAGUACACCACACCUGGAACGCCUCAACAGAAUGGUGUUUUUGAAAGAAGAAACAGGACUCUUAUUGGUAUGGUUAGAAGCAUGAUGUCCAGAUCAAAAUUGCCAGGAUUCUUGUGGGGAGAAGCUUUGAAAACAGCUAAUCAUAUAUUGAAUCGAGUUCCAAGCAAGGCAGUAUCUACCACACCCUAUGAGUUAUGGCAUGGGAGAGUUCCUAGUUUUACUUAUUUCCAUGUUUGGGGUUGUAAAGCAGAAGCUAAGUUAUAUAAUCCUAAUGAAAGAAAGCUGGAUUCAAGGACUCAGUCAUGUUAUUUUAUUGGCUAUCCUGAGAAAUCAAAAGGAUACAGGUUCUAUAUCCCUCAAGGUCACACUCGGAUCCAAGAGACACACAAUGCAGUUUUCCUAGAAGAUGAAGAUGUCUCUCAUUUGUCAAGGGAAAAUUUCAUAUUUGAAGAGAUGCAUUCAGAUGGUGGGGACCAUGUGACAAUGGAUUAUAAUAUCGGUCUCAUUGUUUCCCAAUCAAUCAUCAAUUGCCAUUGAAGAUAUGAGUGAAGAUUUAGGAGUUCCUGAUGACAACUCUGUAGGAGUUGAUUCCACAACAUAAGCUGCAACAAUUCCUUUUGCAGAAGCAUGUGAACCAGUUGCUGUUCCACCUCCAGUUGAAAUCAGAAGGUCACAAAGAGCUCGGAAAACCACUGCAAGCAAUGACUAUGUGUACUUAUAAGAGACUGAGUUCGAUAUUGGUGACAUUUGAUGAUCCUCUUACAUAUACUCAGGCAACUGAAAGUCCUCAAGCAGUUCUUUGGAACAAUGCAAUGAAGGAUGAGUUAGAUUCAAUGUCCAAAAACCAGGUUUGGACAUUGGUGGAAUCCAACUCUGAAAUUAGGCCAAUAGGCUGCAAGUGGGUAUAUAAAACCAAAAGGGAUGCUGCUGGAAGAAUUGAAAGAUAUAAAGCAAGGUUGGUUGCUAAGGGGUUUACUCAAACGGAGGGGAUCGACUAUAAUGAUACUUUCUCUCCAGUUUCCUCCAAAGACUCCAUGCGAGUUAUCAUGUCUUUAGCUGCCUACUUCGAUCUUGAAUUACAUCAAAUGGAUGUAAAAACCGCUUUUCUUAACGGAGACUUACAAGAGGCUAUAUACAUGAAACAACCUGUUGGAUUUGUUGAAAAGGGGAAAGAGAAUUUAGUAUGCAAGCUCAAUAAGUCCAUAUACGGCUUGAAACAAGCAUCAAGGCAAUGGUACCUAAAGUUUGAUCAAAUUGUCUCUGCAUAAGGUUUUGUAGAAAACAAACUGGAUGAUUGUAUAUACAUUAAGUUCUCAGGUUCCGAGUUCAUCUUCUUAGUACUUUAUGUUGAUGCCAUUCUCCUAGCUAGUUCAUGUCCCCAAUUGCUUCAUAGCAUUAAGAGAAUGCUAAGUGAUAACUUUGAGAUGAAAGAUCUUGGAGAAGCACAUUAUGUACUAGGAAUAGAGAUUGUUCGAGAUAGGAAAAUGAGGCUCCUUGGUUUAUCUCAAAAGGGGUACAUUGACAGAGUGUUGGAGAAAUUUCAUAUGGCAAAUUGCAAUUGUGGUCAGGUUCCAGUCAAUAAAGGUGACAAGUUUUCGAAGAUUCAAUGUCCAAGAUCUGAUUUGGAGGUGAAGAAAAUGCAAGCUAAGCCUUAUGCCUCGUUGAUUGGAAGUCUUAUGUAUGCAACUAUCUGUACAAGGCCUGAUAUUGCCUUCAUAGUUGGUAUGCUAAGACGAUUUCAAGCAAAUCCUGAGAAGCACAUUGGGGGUGGCAGCCAAGAAGGUUCUUCGAUACUUGCAGAGAACCAAAACUCACAUGUUAGUAUAAUGGCCGAACUGAUUCUUUGGAGCUCAGGGGGUAUAUACUCGGAUUUAGCUGGAGAUGUGGAUGACAGGAAGUCCACAGGGGUUAUAUCUUCAUACUCAAUGGAGGGGCAGUUUCGUGGAAAAAUGCAAAGCAAACUAUUAUAGCCACAUCAACUAUGGAAGCUGAGUUUGUAGCCUGUUUUGAAGGCAUGAAACAGGCAGCAUGGUUGAAGAAUUUUUUGACAGAUUUAAAGAUUGUGAAUUCGGUUCAGAAACCAGUAACAAUGUUCUGUGAUAAACAACUCGGCUGUGUUUUUUGCUAAGAAUAAUAAAAGGACUUCAGCAUCUAGAUUUGGAUGGACGAAGUUUCUUAAGGUCAGAGAACAAGUCAAGAAAGGAGUUAUUGAAGUACAGCACAUUAGCACUACUAUGAUGAUUGCUGAUCCCUUGACUAAGGCACUGCCAAUUGGAGAAUUCAAGAAACAUGUUUCUUCAAUAGGAGUACUAGAAGGUUUUGAUCAGUGGGAGUAAUCACGUGUGUGUUAAAGGCUUGGGAUUGCAGAAGCAGAAGUAUAUAUGUGUUUCAAGAACUGUAUGUGCAAUUCUGACAAGCUGAACUAAGGAUGCUUUAUGUUUUAACUUGCUUUAGUUAGUUUGUUAAGGUUGUUUGUGUUUUAAUAAGUGUCCUUGUCUGCUACUCAAUACUUUGGCUUUCAGGUGUUGAGGUACGGAUACUGGACUGAGUUAGAAUUUAGUUUCAUUAGUAACUUUGAAAGAACAGUUUGUCUGUUUUUUAAGUUUGUGGUUAAUGAUGUUAUAUAGUCAAUUACUAUGUUGCUUUUCUGUGAAGAUUAAUGUGUGUUGUGAUCUUUUGAAAAGUGGGAGCAUAAUGUUUGACGGUUUAUGUUAGUCAUGAGUCAUAUUUACAAAUUGAAUAUAUGUGAGCCUUGAAUUAAUACUACAAUUUGGUUGUGGUCUGAGAUUCUUGGUUUCUAUAUUUUGAGAUGUAAUGGGACAGUGGUCAUGAUGGUUAAAUCUUAGAUGAGGUUAUGUGAUCACUUCUUAUGAUUGGUGACGGCAAGGUUUGAUCUUUGUCUCAUGUUCAAGUGGGAGAAUGUAAGAAUGUGAACAUGAGAUAAGAUGAUCGGAUAUUAGUUGUUUGAGUCCAAUCCGAAUAAGAAAGCCUCUAAGAAGAUGGAAUUCAGUUCUUGGCAGUAGAGGACUCUAUUGCAGGGAAAAACUGAUUUGAAUUAGGAAGGCUUAAGUAGUUUUCCAUAAGGAUUUUAAUAGGGAAUCCAUAUUCUAAUAUGAGAAGGAUAUGUGUGUACAUAUAUAUAUAUAUAUGGCAAUCUCUUCUCUCACAGGUGUGUGCUCUUUUGGAACUAAGCCCUAUUCUUAGUUUGAGUGAUAAAUACCCUGACAGAGAGAAGAAGAAUUGUUGUGCUUUUCAGGUUGAUCGAGAUCCACCAUGACUGCAUCAAACGGGAGUUCUACAGGUUAGUAUAAUUAGGUUUAUUUGGAUUGAUGUUUUGUGUCUACUUGGUUGUAGUUUAAGUAACUGAAUCUUGCAGCUAGAUUUUGGUUUACAUAUUUUUCGAUGUAGGCUUUAUCCACGGUGUGAGCUGCCGGCCUGACGCGGAGUUUGGUAGGGGAGGGGAAUUUGAAGUCUACGAUUUUUUGGGACGUUGGCGGGCAACAGUUGGUCGGGACUGCUCCACUUGGAAAGUCCGCAGCUCCGCAUUUGGCUAGGUCAGGCGGCAACACUGGCUUUGCAACAGCGAAGGGGUCGCUGCCAAGACCAACCACUCCGGCUUUGCAACAGCGAAGGGGUCGCUGCCAAGACCAGCCACUCCACCGUAGAGGCUUCCGAGACCUAUAAGUACAUUUCUUCUGUCUAGGUUUACUAGAGAAGGGUUUUCAUGGUCGUGAUCGUUGGAGCUAGUGGAAGGGUUUUUGUUUUGGUCACUACUAUUAUUUGUGGCUUUGCACGAGACAGCUUGUAAAUUGGAAUGCCUAGGGUUUCCAAAUGAGGAUAUUCGGUGAUACUUUUGGGAGAAAGGGGAGAGAGAAGUUGUGGGGAUGAUACUUGUGGCGGAGGUGACGAGUGGAGCUGACAUAGAAGCCAUGGUACUUGACUCUGAAUAAUACGUUGUAUUGGCUUUGCUUUUAUAAUGUGUUCUAGGUUUUACGUUUCUUUGCACGGGUGGCAGGCCGUACACACGUGGUCGGUCCUUAAGGGUUUGACGAGGAAUACUACGCAGUCAUUUAGUACAUGACAACCAUACACUAUAGCACGUGGCAUGUAUUUAGAGAUCGAGAGAGAAUUGGGUAAGGUUCACGAGGGAUUGUAGUUUCAGAAGGUGAAUUGGUUUUGGUCUUCUUGUGUACCAAUAAUUUUUACUUAGUCAUUUAGUGCAGGACAACCAUGCACUAUAGCACGUGGCAUGUAUUCAGAGAUCGAGAGAGAAUUGGUUGGGUAAGGUUCACGAGGGAUUGUAGUUUCAGAAGUUCAAGCGGUUUUGGGCUUGUUGUGUACGGCUGUGGGUCUGCUGUCACGGACUCUCUGUCUCAUUUGUGUCUUAUUUUUUAUUUUUUGACACGUUUUAACGUCAAAUCAUUAUAGCAAUGUUAUGCAAUUGGGAGCUAAAUGACCGAUGCUCUUAUUUUUUAGUUUGCUUUUUUUCCAGAUCUGAUCAAAUCAUGAUAGCAAUGUUAUGCAAUUUUCAAGAGGGAGAGAUGCACCUGGGAGAGAAACGGUACGGUGACUUCUAAAUCACCGUCCAACAGAACAAUUCUCAGUAGAGACUACUAGAGAGAGAUGCACCUCACCAAUGAAAAAUUUAACUGCAAAAAUUCUGGGUAUCGGGAGUUGUGGGGUGGGUCUUGGCAGUUUUCUUAUUUCUUUGAAUUUUUUAUAAUUUAUUUUAUAAAAGUAACAGUGUUUUGUGGGGGUUAAAUUGUAAAACACGUGUCAUCAAACUAAAUAAAGAGACACCAAAGAGACAUGGAAUUCGGGACAACAGACCCACAGCCGUUGUGUACGGAGGCAGACUCUCUGCUCUCCUACUUUCUGUGUCCUCCUGUUUUGUGUAGUCACGAUUAAAUCACGUCAAUAUUUUAUAUUAUUAUUUUAUAGAUAUAAUAAGACAAAAAAGAAUAGUAAUUUAAAAUAUUAACGUGACUUAACUGUGACCACACGAAUAGGAAGGCAUGAGAAGUGGGAAGGCAAAGAAUAUGCCUCCGUUGUGUACCAAUAAUAUUAUAUAUAUAUAUAUAUAUAUAUAUAUAAUUAGGAUUGAAGGAUGUAGAGCUUAUUUUGUUAUGUAUUCUAACAAUUUAAGUGCUUAUCUUUUAGGUUUUCUCUUAAACAGCAUGCCUAUAAAAAAUCACCAAAAUUCAAACCAUAUGACCAUUAGAUCCAUAGUCAUUUUAGUGUUAAAUGAACUUCACAAAAUAAGUCUCAAAAUAUGUAUAAAAAAUGGACAGCGUGAAUGGUUUGGAAAUUGGAAUAGGUUUGGAAAUUGUGCUUUUUGUAGCAAAUUGCAGCAAAGUUUGCUUGGACUUUCACAACCGUAUAAAUUAAACUGUUCGCUUUGUUGGGAAAAACAAGUUUGCCGCUGGUCUUGGGUUCCAAGAUCGGCCAAUUUGACGGCACACUUUUUGGCGUUGAGAAGCAGUACGGAGAUGUGCAGAUUAACUUGGAUUGAUACUCCUCCAUCUUCGUUGGUUCGUGUAUUGAACAAAGAUGGCCUUCCUUGCCCUCCUUAAUAUUUUUUGUUCUUCCUGCAGUGGAGGCGGUGACGCCUUGCUCUUGGUGCAGCGUCUAGUGUUCUGUACCCUCCUCUUCUGCAUAUGUUUGUAUUUCCCCUCGUUGCCCCUUCUAAGUGGGCUUCCUAUUGUUUUGGCUUCGGCCCUGGUUAUGAAAUAUUUCCAAUCUUACCCAAAAAAAAAAAAAAAAAGAAGAAGAAGAAGAAGUCAAGCACGGUGGGAGACUGGUCAUAGUUUCUAGAUUGAUGCUCUAAUUCUAAUGUUAUACAACGCGUACGCUAAAAUAUUUUUAUCAAAAUAUUAGUUUUAGUGUUAUCAAAACAAUAAUGUUAUUCUUACCAUGUUUUUGUAUCACAAUUAUAUACCACCUUAGAUGGCAUAUGAUGUAGAUAGCCACAUCAUUUAAAUUAAUAAGCAUUUAAUUUCAAAUGUUAAUCAAUAAUUAAUAAAAUGAUUGUUAAUUAAAUGAUGAUUAUGGUAUACAAGGAGUCUCCUUCUUCCUUCCCCUUUCCAUUCUGCUUUUUCUUCCUACCACUUUCUGUUUUUUUUUUCAUGCCAGUUUUUGUAUUGAUUUCUAUUGAUUUCCAUGAUUAUGGUCAAUCUUUAUAGAAUUUACUCGUAUACCACAACCACCAUUGAUUUCUAUCUCUAGACUCAUGCCCCGUAGCCCUAAUCCUCAUUCCCCUUCAAGUAUUUCUGUCUCCAAUCUUCUUUGGUACUCCAUGGUUGUUCAUCUCGUGAUUUUUUUUUAUUAUUUCAUUAAGUAACGCCUAUUAGCUUUCAUGCGAAUUAGGAGUCAAAAUCAAAUUUGUCUAUCGGAUUAGGGUUCAUGCCCAAUUAAGUUACUAACGCAAGAGAGAUUUUGAAGUCUACAAUUUUCCUUAUUUAAGUGUUUUAAUUAAUAAGAAAAUUGAAAUUAAACGAUUUAGCUUGUCCAACUCAUCUGCCACCUAAGAUGGUAAAUAAAUGUGGUAAGAAUAGCAUUACUCUUAUCGAAAUUACAAAAAAAAAAAAAAAAAAAAAAAAAAGCUGAUUCAAUAUUUAGUUAUUAAAAAAAAUAUAAAAAAAGUGAUCAAGUAACUAUCCAAUACCCAUGUAUUGGGUGCUUUGUUUGAAAAUUUUCAAAAUGAUAUUGGGCUCGUUUGGAUAUGUUUUUAAAAUGACUGAAAGCGUUUUUAGAGAAAAUAUUUUUUUGAUUCCAAAAGCACUUAAAGUGUUUUCUGCAAAAAGCACUUAAAGUGCUUUCUGCAAAAAGCACCAGUUAUGUGCUUCUUCCUAGAAGCACUUUAAGUGUUUUUCAAGCAUUUACUUGCUUUUUUACUAAGGAUUGGUUCCAAAAACAUUUUCACAAAAAGUGUUUUCAGUCAUUUUAAAAGUACAUUCAAACGAGCUCAUUGUUUUUCCUAUUUUAAUCAAGUGCGUCGUCCCCUGUUGAGAAUGAAUCUCAUAUUAUGGGGAGAGGGGUCUUGCAUGGAUGAGAGGAGGGACCUUGCAUGAGCUUAUAAGUAAGUUGGGUUACUCUCUAUAUUGCCAAGAGAAAUUUUAUUUGGACCUACUUUUCCUCUCUCUAAACCCAACUUUAAUAUUUUGUUACCUAAACUCUCUAGUUUACCCUCAUAAAUUAUAAACAUAAAUAAACUGGAAAAAGAAAAACUCAUCAAACCUAUUUCCCAACUGUUCUGGCGUCUCUUCCCUGUAUUUGUUGGGUCUAUCUCCCUCCCGACUGUUUUUUUUCCCUGAUAUUCUCUGUGUGUUCCCCCACCUCUCCCACACCCACCGAUUCUUUGUGGUGGCUAUUCCACCCAACGUCCAGUGAAUCUUUCCAUUUUUCUUCUAUUGCGCGUGAUAGGGCCUUGCUGUUAAUAGGCAAAACUAAGCGGCAUCGUCGACUCUGUAAGCGACUUGUUGCAGAAGUCCAAAAUGGAGUCAAAAGGAUUUUGUAUUGGGUCGGGUUGUUGAAGGCGAUGGCUGAUUUAGCAAUCUCGCCUAACUACUUCUAUAUGCAGGAGAAGGAAGAGGGAGGAAGGUCUAAAGUGGUGGUUGAGUGGUGGCGAUGUAUGUGGGUUCUAUCUCGGUUGAAUGGGUGUAGAAAGAUAUUUAAUUUUCAGUUUCUUAUUUUAUUUUGUAUAAGGGAUAAUAUCGGAAUUACAUAAAAAGUUUUUUUUAUAGCUGGGUGUAGAAAUAGUAUUGUUGGGUCUAAAUAAAAUUACCCUAUUGCCAAACAUAGUAUUGUUGGGUCUAAAUAAAAUUACCCUAUUGCCAAUUAGCUUUGUUUGAAAAUUUUCAAAAUGAUAUUGUUUUUACCAUUGAACCCUUGUUAUAUACAGUGAUGGCUAAUUUGUCAAGUUCUACGAAGUUGGGAUACCCAGCGUUUUAGCAUAUAACAUAACUUAGUAUUACAAGCAUAAUUAAUUAAAAUAAAGGAAAAUGAAGAGGAUAGCUUAGUAUUACAAGCAUAAUUAAUUAAAAUAAAGGCAAAAGUAACAGCCUGUCCCUAAAAAUGACGAUUUUAUAAUCUUAACACGUGAGUUUAUGAAGAUGCCCUUCGAGGCAAAGUGUUGACUUGUGUUGACUACCGCAUCGUGUCAUGUGAGACUCAUCUUCUUGGCGUAUUCUCGUUUUACUUGUCACUACGGACGCAUGGGCGCAAACGGGACAUGAUUUGGAGCUAUAACGAAUGAGUUAUUAACAUUUAAAGUUAAGGACAUUUUAGUAAAUUAAUUAAUUUCAGAUUAUGUUGAGGGGAAAAUCUGGAGUGCCGGUGGGUGGCCCAGAUUAAAGGAAAUGAAGAAUGGAUGGUGGAGGUGUAAAGGAAAGAAGAUAAAAGAAAAAUGAGAGGAAGUGUGUGACUAAUAGGGAGAUGAGAGAGUUAGGAUGGCCCAAUCAGAAACAAACGAAAGGAGGAAAAAGGAGAGAAGAGGGGAGCGGGGGAUCCCUUCGACCCGGUUCCAUUUUCCGACCCGACCCGAUCCUUUUCAUCUUCUUUGAUGGUUUUUCGUCGGUUUUUUCCGACGAACCACGUUAUCUAACCCCUUGGAAAAUGUUCCACAACCUUCCCUCAACUAUUACAAUCCAAAAUUGUAGAAAUUUAGCCAUGAAAGUAUGAAAACCACACCGGUGGGUGCGGGAAACCCUUGUCGUCGAUUCUCCCAUUAUUGCAACGAUUUUCACCAAUUACCACCACCUACAACAUCCUCUUGAGGUCUGGAAUAAAGCCCAAACAAGUUUUGCACUACUACAAUAUUAGCUUUAGAUGGCAGAUGAUGGUGGCGGAUUUAGAAAAAUAUUGUCGGAUAAAUUAUAUCUGACACAUUAUUUAAUUAGUGGUGAAUAUAAGAAAAAUCAUGUCGGUUAUAACCGACAUAAAUUCGUGGCAGAUACUAGCAGAUAUUAAAAAACUCAUGUCGGUUAUAACCGACAUAAAUUCCUAGCGAAUAAUUACUGACAGAUAUUAUAAAACUUCUGUCGGUUAUAACCGACAAUAUUUUUGAAUUGGGGGAAUUUAAAAUUUUGGGAGGGAAUUUAAAAUUUUGGGAGGGAAUUUAAAAUUUUGGAGGAAAUUUUGGGGGGAUUUUUACCCAUAUUAAUUCAUGGCGGAUAAUUACUGACGAAUAUUAUAAAGCUCAUGUCGGUUAUAACCAACAAUAAUGAAAAUGUUUAUGUCGAUUUUUAUUAAAAAAAUGUUUCUGUCAGUUUUAACCGACAUUAAUGAAAAUAUUCCACAGUAAAACCCCUACUUCUUCUCCUUGUGCUGGUGCCUUCUCCCUUCCCCCUUCUUUCCCCCUUUUCUCUUCUCCUCAUUUCCUUUUCCUUUGUAUUUUUGAUUUUGACAAGGUCUCUCCUUUAUUUGAUUCUUUGUUGUUCAUCUCUCACAAAUGUAGAGAGAGUAAAGGAGAUGCUUAGAGCGCUUUCUUUGUUCCUUUUUUUUUUCUUUUCAUUUUUUCCCUUUUCAAACUCCGACUAUGUCUUACAUGGCCGGUCCCAAGCCCGGAUAAAGGAGGAGGGGGAGGGCGUCAGGUAGUCGACAGCCGGCACUCCAUGAUCACGUCGAAUCCUUAUGAAAAUGAAUCCAGAACAAAAUCGCGCUAAAGCUAGGGCGCCACCCGUAAGUGGCGCGCUGUGUGGCCCGAGCACAGUGAUAAGUGAGCAAGGGUCGCUGUAUCUCCAUCGGCACUCGGAUGCAGUGUUAAAUGAGCAAGGGGGCCAUAGAAACUUCUUUUCGAACGACUCCACUCAAAGUUGUUUGGGAGCAUAUGCUCCUAUCAACUUUACCCGGGACACACAAAAGAAGUACUUUGAUCCUAUUAGACGGGGGAGGGUGAAGAAGCUAGGACAGAAGGGUAGAGUUCAAGAGAGCAAAAUGCGUUUAGGAACGUGGAAUAUAGGAACCUUAACGGGAAAAUCUAUGGAAGUAGUGGAAGUUAUGGUGAGGAGAAGGAUAAAUAUUAUGUGCCUACAAGAAACUAAGUGGGUUGGUAGUAAGGCAAAGGAUCUAGAAAACUCAGGGUUUAAACUUUGGUAUUCGGGCACAAAUAGAACGAGAAACGGUGUUGGCAUCAUCGUGGACAAGACCUUGGUACAAGAUGUUGUAGAUGUCAAGAGUGUAGGAGAUAGAAUCAUGGCAAUCAAGAUUGUAAUAGGACAAGAACUUAUCAAUGUGAUUAAUGCGUACGCACCUCAAGUAGGGUUGGAUACGAGUUCGAAGGAGAAAUUUUGGGAAGAUCUUGGAGACUUGGUGCAAGGAAUUGCUCAGACGGAGAAGUUAUUUAUAGGAGGAGAUUUAAAUGGACACGUGGGCAGGGAGACAGGCAACUAUGGAGGUUUUCAUGGUGGCCAUGGUUUUGGGGAGAGAAACGAGGAUGGGGAAGCUAUCUUGGAUUUUACAAUGGCAUAUGAUCUCUUCUUAGCCAACACCUUCUUUAAGAAGAGAGAAGAACAUGUGAUCACCUACAAGAGUGGGUCGUCAAAAACACAAAUAGAUUUUCUUCUAAUGAGGAAAGGGGAUCGUAUAACUUGUAAGGAUUGCAAAGUUAUACCAGGAGAGAGCGUGGCUAAUCAACAUCGCUUGUUGGUGAUGGAUGUACAUAUCAAAAGAGUAAGACAAAAGAACAAGACUUGGAAGUGCCCAAGGACUAGAUGGUGGAAUCUAAAAGAAGAAAAACAAGUCAUUUUCAAAGAGAAGGUAAUCACCCAAUGUGUGUGGGAUAGAGAGGGGGAAGCUAGCCAAAUGUGGGAUUUCAUGGCUAGUUGUAUCCGAAAAGUAGCAAAAGAGGUAUUAGGAGAGUCUAAGGGCUUUGCCCCACACUAAAAGGAAUCUUGGUGGUGGAAUGAGGAGGUACAAACAAAGGUGAAGGCUAAGAAGGAAUGUUGUAAAGCCUUAUACAAGGAGAGGACCGAUGAAAAUGGUGAAAGGUAUAGAAAAAAAGCGAAGCAAGAGGCGAAGAAAGCUGUCAGAGAAGCUAAGUUAGCGGCUUACGACGAUAUGUAUAAACGACUAGAUACCAAAGAAGGAGAGUUGGAUAUCUAUAAACUAUCUAGAGCAAAGGAAAAGAAGACAAGGGACCUAAACCAAGUGAGGUGCAUCAAGGAUGAGGAUGGAAAGGUUCUUGCUACAGAGAACGCGGUUAAAGACAGAUGGAGAGGUUAUUUUCAUAAUCUUUUCAAUGAAGGACAUGAAAUGAGUGCUUCUUUAGGGGAGUUGAGUAACUCAGAAGAGUGUAGAAACUACUCUUUUUAUCGUCGAAUCCGGAAGGAAGAAGUGGUUGUAGCUUUGAAGAAGAUGAAGCAUAAAAAAGCAAUAGGCCCAGACAAUAUACCAAUCGAAGUGUGGAAACUUUUGGGAGAGACAGGUAUAACAUGGCUCACUGACCUUUUCAAUAGGAUUUUGAAAACGAAAAAGAUGCCAAAUGAGUGGCGAACGAGCACUUUGGUGCCUAUCUACAAGAAUAAGGGCGACGUACAAAAUUGCAUGAACUAUAGGGGUAUUAAGCUAAUGAGUCAUACAAUGAAGCUCUGGGAGAGAGUCAUUGAGCAUAGAUUGAGGCAAGAGACACGGGUUUCGGACAACCAAUUCGGGUUCAUGCCAGGGCGCUCAACCAUGGAGGCAAUCUAUCUCUUACGAAGAUUGAUGGAAAGAUAUAGAGAUGGGAAAAAUGAUUUACACAUGGUCUUUAUAGAUUUGGAAAAAGCGUAUGAUAGGGUCCCAAGAGACAUUCUUUGGAGGAUUUUAAAGAAGAAAGGAGUACGAGUAGCAUAUAUCCAAGCUAUAAAGGACAUGUAUGAAGAAGCAAAGACUGCCGUAAGAACUCAUGAAGGACAAACCGAAAGCUUUCCCAUAACUGUAGGAUUACAUCAAGGCUCAUCCUUAAGUCCUUACCUUUUUGCGUUGGUAAUGGAUGAGUUAACAGGACAUAUUCAAGAUGAUAUUCCUUGGUGUAUGCUUUUCGCAGACGAUAUAGUGUUGAUAGAUGAAACUCAGGAAGGGGUAAAUGCAAAGCUUAACCUUUGGAGAGAAGUGUUGGAAUCUAAAGGUCUUCGCCUAAGCCGAUCAAAGACAGAAUAUAUGGAGUGCAAGUUCAGUGCAAAUGGAGGCCAAAACGAGUUAGGGGUGAGGAUCGGAGAUCAAGAAAUACCAAAGAGUGACCGUUUUCGUUACCUAGGAUCUAUCUUGCAAAAGAACGGAGAAUUAGAUGGAGAUCUCAACCAUAGAAUACAAGCUGGAUGGAUGAAGUGGAAGAGUGCAUCUGACGUGUUGUGUGACCGUCGUAUGCCACUGAAGCUCAAAGGAAAAUUUUAUAGGACGGCAAUAAGGUCGGCGAUGAUUCAACUUGGCGGGUUCGAGCAAAUAGGCGUUGGGCCAUAUUAGACACAGAACCUGCACACUGAACACUGAGAGCUAGCGAAUCCUUAACAGCUAACUCAUCAGACCGUUUGGAAAGUAGUCUGUUAUCUUUGGGAGUGAGAAGGUUCCUGGCCACCACCGCAGCGGUCAUAUCAUUCUUCAUCACGGAAUCCCCAACGGUAAGAGGACCAGUAGGGGAGACAAAGGAUGGGCGCCAUAUGUUGUCUGGAGAAGGCGGGGCUGCCUCUUCAACAAGGUUCAAGUCAAAAAACGACGGUCGGAGGGCCAGACAUUUUCAAAGGUGUUGAAGAGAGAAGAGGUCGGACACAAAUCAAGAUCUUAGAAGUGCAAGAAUGAAGCUUCUACUGGUGGAGAUUCAAGUGUGCUUUGGAACUUAAUGCCAGCCCCUAUAAAAAUCUGCACUCGACGGAGCUUCAGAAAUCGAAGAGGCGUUUGCUUUCUCAAAAGCUGGGCUGCUUAGAGAUCACGAGGGUUGAUCUCAGGAAUCGAAGAGGCGUUUGCUUUCUCAAAAGUUGGGCUGCUCAAAGACCACGAAGGCCGAUCUCAGAAAUCGAAGAGGCGCUCACUUUCUCAAAAACUGGGCUCCCCAGAGACCACGAGGGCCGAUCUCAAAAAUCGAAGAGGCACCUACUUUUCCAGCCUUGUCAGCACCUGUCACACGCACACUCAGCUUUGCGGAAAUUAUGGGCAUUCUGUCGAAGACUUCUGGGGAAGUAGAAAACACAUGAAUCUUACUGUUCAAUCACCCACUUCCCACACGCAAUAAUAGCUCAUGGGUACCACAGAUAACUUUGCCAAAGUUCUCUGCCAAAGUUGAGCACGUGAAGCUUGCAGCUCCCACUACAUCGCUCUGACCAAGAAGGGUAAAAAGAAUAGCAAAGAAACAGCACUAACAAAGUUUAGACCCAUAAAUUUUGAAGGUCUAGCUACCAUAUUAUUACCCACAAGGGUAAAGGAACAGUACCACUGCUGGAUAAUUGGAAAGUCCCUAUGUGUCAACCUCUGUGCUUCGUGGCAAGGUAGACUAGCAAACAUGCCCAACCUUUACUCACAUUCGAGAAAACACUCCCAAUAAGAUUGCUUGCUCCAAAAUCGAAGAGGCACCGUCCUCCGAAUCUCGAGAGCCAGACUCCCAACAUGACUACUUUCUUAAAAAUCGAAGAGAGGGUAAAGGAACAGUACCAUUGCUGGAUAAUUGGAAAGUCCAUGUGUGUCAACCUCUGUGCUUCGUGGCAAGGUAGACUAGCAAACAUGCCCAACCUUUACUCACAUUCGAGAAAACACUCCCAACAAGAUUGCUUGCUCCAAAAUCGAAGAGGCACCGCCCUCCGAAUCUCGAGAGCCAGACUCCCAACAUGAUUACUUUCUCAAAAAUCGAAAGAGACACUGCUCCCCGAAUCUUCGAGAGCCAGACCCCCAGCAUGAUUGCUUUCUCAAAAAUCGAUGAGGCAUCGUUCUCCGAAUCAAUCGAAGAGGCGCUCGCUUUCUCAAAAGCUGGGCUGCUCAGAGACCACGAGGGCCGAUCUCAGAAAUCGAAGAGGCACUUACUUUUCUAGCCUUGUCAGCACCUGUCACACGCACACUCAGCUUUGCAGAAAUUAUGGGCAUUCUGUCGAAGACUUCUGGUGAAGUAGAAAGCACAUUAAUCCUACUGUUCAAUCACCCACUUCCCACACGCAACAAUAGCUCAUGGGUACCACAGAUAACUUUGCCAAAGUUCUCUGCCAAAGUUGAGCACGUGAAGCUUGCAGCUCCCACUACAUCGCUCUGACCAAGAAAGGUAAAAGAAUAGCAAAGAAACAGCACUAACAAAGUUUAGACACAUAAAUUUUGAAGGUCUAGCUACCAUAUUAUUACCCACAAGGGUAAAGGAACAGUACCACUGCUGGAUAAUUGGAAAGUCCCUGUGUGUCAACCUAUGUGCUUCGUGGCAAGGUAGACUAGCAAACAUGCCCAACCUUUACUCACAUUCGAGAAAACACUCCCAACAAGAUUGCUUGCUCCAAAAUCGAAGAGGCACUGUCCUCCGAAUCUCGAGAGCCAGACUCCCAACAUGACUACUUUCUCAAAAGCGAAGAGAGGGUAAAGGAACAGUACCAUUGCUGGAUAAUUGGAAAGUCCCUGUGUGUCAACCUUUGUGCUUCAUGGCAAGGUAGACUAGCAAACAUGCCCAACCUUUACUCACAUUCGAGACAACACUCCCAACAGGAUUGCUUGCUCCAAAAUCAAGAGGCACCGCCCUCCGAAUCUCGAGAGCCAAACUCCCAACAUGAUUACUUCCUCAAAAAUCGAAGAGACACUGCUCUCCGAAUCUCGAGAGCCAGACCCCCAGCAUGAUUGCUUUCUCAAAAAUCGAAAAGGCAUCGUUCUCCGAAUCUCGAGAGCCAGAUACCACAGACCACUUUUUCAAAGUGCUCUGACAGAGUUAAAACAUGUGAAACUGGCAGCUCCCACUACCGUGCUAUGACCAAGCAGGGUAAAGGAAUAGCAUUACUACUUGUUGUUAGGGAGACUCCUAUAUAUGUCGACCUCCAUCCCCAACGGACAGGCAGACCUGCAAAAAUGCUCAACCCUUCAUCAUAUCUGAGUGGGCACUCCCAACGAAGCCUUUCGAAAUAUUCAGCUUUCUUUCCCCCCGAUAAUACCUCUGCAAACAAGCUAUACUAGAGCAAGAAUAUCUCAUAUCAUCAGGGUUAAAAGCAAGAGUAUCCCAUAUCAUGCUUUUUCCCUGUCUUUUCCUUUGGCCUUGUUUUUACCUGCAAGACAAGGAGAAAGAGAGCAAUCAGUCAGCACUUGGAAUCAAGCUUCCAACCAGGAAAUGACUGCCUGGAACCCCUUACUUGGCAUUGCUCUCGAGUACUCAUCUUCAACAUCUUAUGUUUCCAGGGAAGAUUCUGCAUCUGCUUGAGGAACAGAUAGGGCAAGUGCGAAGGAUACAAGGAAGCAUGCGGAGACAAGCGUAACAGCACACGUGCCGAUACAUCCAUUACUCUGUCAAAAGCAAAAGUAUCCCAUAUCAGCAGGGUGGAACGUACUCUAGAUUUGAUGGACUUGUUUUGACCCUCAAAUUCUUCAGUCGGCCUUAUAUUCUGGAGGAAACCAGAAAACCCUCCAGCUCAGUUCAAGAAUAAGCCUGUGGAAAGUUACUUCUUCAAAAGCAAAAGUAUCUCAUAUCAUCUCUUCUCAUUUUUCUUCUCUCUUUAUCCUUCAUGCUGCUGCAAGAUGGGGAGAAGGUGAACAAUCAGUCGGAGCUCUGAUUGCUUACCUUGUCUGUCACCUCUUUCAGCAGACCCCCUAGCUCGGCGACUUGGGGGACUCCUACUAAAUGGUUUGUAUCGCGCUUGACCAAGCCUGAAACUACAAGUAAGCUUCAAGUGAAAUUGAUACAUUACCUUGUGCAUCUCCACCAGUUAAAGAUACCACCCCUGGAUGGAGGAAGAGUACUUCCAGAGAAGAUGCCACAUCUACCUAUGAGACAGAUAAGGCAAGUCAAGACGACACCACACUCCGAUACUUAGAAGUUUCGUGAUUAUGAGAUCAUUCUCCCACAAUAUUUCCUAAUGUCAUUUGUACUAAAUCAUUCACUUGUACUCACUAAAGGAGAGCUUGAACCUAUGUACUUGUGUAAACCCUUCACAAUUAAUGAGAACUCUUCUAUUCCGUGGACGUAGCCAAUCUGGGUGAACCACGUACAUCUUGUGUUUGCUUUCCUAUCUCUAUCCAUUUAUAUACUUAUCCACACUAAUGACCGGAGCAAUCUAGCGAAGAUCACAAAAAGCGACCGUUUUCGCUACCUAGGAUCUAUCUUGCAAGAGAACGGAGAAUUAGAUGGAGAUCUCAACCAUAGAAUACGAGCUGGAUGGAUGAAGUGUAAGAGUGCAUCCGGCGUGUUGUGUGACUAUCGUAGGCCACUGAAGCUCAAAGGAAAAUUUUAUAGGACGGCAAUAAGGCCAGCGAUGUUGUAUGGCACAGAAUGUUGGGCGGUGAAGCAUCAACACGUACACAAAAUGGGUGUAGCGGAGAUGAGGAUGCUUCGUGGGAUGUGUGGGCACACGAGAAAGGAUAAGAUUGGGAAUGAGGAUAUCCGAGGUAAAGUAGGAGUAGCCGAAAUUGUAGGAAAGAUGAGAGAAAAUCGGCUCCGGUGAUUUGGACAUGUGCAAAGAAGGCCGACUGACGCUCCGAUUCGAAGAUGUGACUACGGGACAGAGGUUCAGGGCCGAAGGGGUAGAGGAAGACCUAGGAAAACUUUGGAAGAGACUCUAAGAAAAGACUUAGAGUACUUGGAUCUAACGGAGGACAUGACACAAAACCGAGCGCAAUGGCGUUCUAGGAUUCAUAUAGCCGACCCCACUUAGUGGGAAAAGGCUUUGUUGUUGUUGUUGUUGUUGUAUUUUUUCCCUUUUCAAAAUCGAAAUGUUCUAAAUUAUUUCACUAAUCCUUGCUAGUUUGAACUGCAGGAGUCUGUCUCUGGAUUUGAAAGAUUAUCUGGACUUACAGUUUUGAAGAAUUGGGAUUCUAGUGUUACACAUAUUAUUGCAUCGACAGAUGAAAAUGAAGCAUGCAGAAGAACCCUUAAAAUUUUGAUGGGUAUCUUGGAGGGGAAGUGGAUUCUGAGUGUGGAGUGAGUUUUACUGUUUUCGUUUUAAUUGUUCUUCCUCAAGUGCUUGGACUUUACAAUUGUAAUGAGUACAGAAGCCGAAAUGAGAUAUUGAUAUACAUGUUCACAUUGCUGAUAAUUCGUUAUCCGUCUGUUUGUGUAGGAAUUAAUGCUUGCACAUAAGUAAUGAAACUAGUUAAUGAGGAGCCUUAUGAAAUCAACGUUGACAUUUAUGGAAUCAGGGAUGGUCCUCGACUUGGUAGACUAAGGCUGCAGAACAAGGUUAGCUUUUCCUCGAGUUUAACUAUCAUCACGAAAACUUUAGAUUUUCAUGGAUUCACCAUAGGCAUUGUUAAUCUUGUUCAGUCCAUAAAUAGGUUACACACUUAUCUUAACAAAGGUGAGACCUUCUCAAUUCCUCAUCGAGAUGAAUCAAGAGCAUAAUUGUAGCAGUGAUCAAGAGCAAUUUUUUUAUGUUUCUUCCAAAUUGUUGAGAUGAAUCAUCUGUGUUUUGUUCUAAUAAUCUUACAAAUUUGUUGAGCAAUUUUUGUAAAGUCAGAAUCUUUGGUUUCGGUUGUGAGGUAUCUGAUUUGGGUAUAUGUGUUUUGCAGGGCACGGUGGUUGUGGCGGAGGAAGAUUAGGAUUGACGACAGAGCUCUGGCCAUGAACUAUCAGCUCUGUCUUUCUCUCUCUAACUAUGAAUUGAAUACAAAAGUCUGUGUUGAUAUGGAAAAUGUAGCUCAAAAUUAUUACACAAAUGGCAAAAAAAAAAAGUUCGAGUGUGGAGUUUCACUUACUGAUACAGGGCUUUUGAAACAGGGUUGUCUAGACUGUAGAAGAAAUCCAUGGCUUUUGGAAGAGGGGAUGUUCCAAAUCUAUCUUUUCUCCCUCUCUAAUGUUCUUCGAGGGGUUCUUGUGAUGCAAAAAGUGGUUUAUAUAUAUUUUUUAUUAUUAAUAAAUUUUCUGUCGGUUUUAUCAGACAAUAAUUCUUUUAUUUAUUCUUAUUAAUAAUUUCUCUGUCGGUUAUAUCUGACACAAUUUCUGUCGAUUUUAGAGUAUUUUCUAUCGAAAAUUUCAUUUCCUGACGCAUCAAUUAUGUCGCUUAUUAUAUCCGCCACUGCACUCAUUUCAUGUCGGAUUUUGCUUAAUUUCCAACAGUAUUAUACAUUUCUUGUCGGUUUUUAAACCGACACUAAUGGGUACUUUUGUAGUAAUGUUGGGGCGUCGGAGUUCGUUUAAGGUCGAAUUGAGCACACCCAAAUUCAAGGGUUCCGUACGGUUCAUGGUAAUUUGAGGUAUUUCUCAGCCAAAUUGUCCUUAGUCACAGAUAUGAAAGUUGCUCCACUCGUUGAGAUCUUCAUUUAUGUCAAAUUUGAGAAUUUUUAGAAAUAAUUGGAUUUUCCAGCGAAUCGGGGCGGCGGACCACCACCGGACAGCGCAUGGCUAGUGGGCCCCCAAUGUCAUUUUACGUUAAAUUGGUAUCUUGAUUUUAGGUUUGAUGUCUAUAUGUUAUGACUUGAUAUGUGAACCUAGUUUAAUUAAGGUGCGUUAAUUGGUAAAAAUAUGAAACGACGAUCCGACCGUGGGAUCGUCACCAAUCUUUAUUAUGUUAUAGUACAUUAUAUUUGAGAAUCAUAGGGACUGACGGAUAGGAAAUCCGAUAUACGGAUCUUCCUGAAAUGGAAUUGUAAGUUCGAAGAAUAAACGUUAACCGCCACUUUGUUUUGACUAUUGGUGAAGAUCCAACCGUUGGAUCAUAAUGAAAUUUUAGGAUGAUGUUUUAGAAGCAUAAUGUGGAUCUUUGGAAGUUAUUGAUUGGAAAUCCGAGGAGCGAAUCUUCCGGAUUGAAUUACGUAAGGUUGUGGACCCUACCGUCGAUCGUUGACUGACGAUCGACUUUUGGUCAAUGGGGCUUAAAUCACUCUAAAAUGUUUUUAGGGAUGUGUUUUACGUAAAUUACAUUAUCUAUGGAUAAGAAUUCUGAGAUGUGGUUUGAUAAUUGUCCUGGGCGCCGAUCGUUAGGAACGCUUCGAUGGUUGUGCUAGGAAAUUGUAGCAUAGACUCCAGGUGAGUGAAUCUUUUCCUUCUUAUAUAUAUAUAUAUAUAUAUAUGAUUGACAAUUCCACAAACGUUUAUAAAUUGAUUAUUGCAUAUAACUACUGUAAAUACUUUGAAGUACUUAUGCGAACUACGAAUGGCUUGAUCCCUAUUUAGGGUACGUAUGCAGUCUAACAAGACAUUAAAUGCAGUCAUACAAUAAUUGAGAUUAAACAAUUGAGACAAAGCCUUGUAUGGGGAACUGGGCAAGGUGAACGAAUUUGGUAAAAAUGUGAGAUUUAACCUUCUGAAUUGGUGAUUAAAUGUUGGUCAUAAAUCAAUGUGUAAAGAAUCAAGAAUUUGAAGUAAGGAAACGUAAGUAAUGAUAAUUAAUUAAACUAGUGUCUAGUUGGGCUUGUCACCUAUAAUUAUCCCCAAAAAUGAAUAAUUCGGGAGUAGGGCGUUAUAGCUUCUGCAUUUUUAUGCCACAUUAUAUAUAUAUAUAUAUGUGUGUGUGUGUGUGUGUGUGUGUGUGUGUGUAUAAUUGGAAAUGCUAUAACGUGGUUGAGUAUCAGAUUUCAUCAUGGUUUAUCUAUAUGUAUAUUACCUGCACACAAUUAUUAUGAACACUUUGAAGUGCAAAGGUGAACGCAAGACACCCAGGAAAGUUCAGGUGAGUUUAUGGUAUUAGUUGAAAUGAUGGGGUUAUGGUAACUACAUGUAUGUUUAGGUUGCAAUGAUAGGCAACUCCGACACUGUCGUACAAGUUGCCCAUGAAUUGUAUAUGUUACAAUAGAUAGAGUUAGAGGUCAUAAACCUGCACCCCGGUGUUAGUGCUCCCACCCGUGGCUAGGGCACAGUCUUUCACGAGAUGUUCACCUCUCGCAUCUUACGCUCACCUUGGAUCCAAGGUAGGUGCACAGUCAUGUCAUAAAGACCACUAUAGGUGGUUCCGACUAGUAGAUGACCCGUGAUUAUUCGCACAGUCUUCACGUGAUUGUAGCACUUGAGCGUAUUUAUUUACACCCAGUCCUGUCGUACAGACCACUUUAGGUGGUUCCGACUCGUAUGCAGGUAUACUUAUUGAGCUAUGGAUAAGUCGUACAGGUCACUAAAGGUGACUCCAACUUAUGAGCUAGCAUAUGUGAUGAAAUAUGUGAUGAGCUAGCAUAUGUAAUGAGAUAAGUGAUGAGCUAGCAUAUGUGAUGAGAUAUGUGAUGAGUUAGCAUACGUUAUGAGAUAUGUGAUGAGUGAUAUAAUCAUAAUUGCAUACAUUUUCAUGCCCUUUUAGUUUAGAUUUUUGUUAUCCUUUUGAGUGAAUUUAGUUUGUUUCACUUAGUUUUAUGUUUUUCUUAGAUUUGAAGUGUGAAGAUGAAGAAAGAAGAAAAAAGAGCAUUUUUAGCGAUUGAAAUGAGUUUGGCAUGCUGGAAGCAGAGGCUAUUUGUGCGGAUCAGCCAACUUUACGGAUUAAACUGUACUUCCUUAGAAUGCCAGCUGUUGAGUCUUAUACCAUUGGAAAGAUAUGAAAGUUAGCUUUCAGAGGAAUUUUACGAUUCGUGAUUCCGAGUUUCCUAGAAGACGUUAUAGUGGUUUUUCUACCAGAUGUCUGCCAGCAAGGUUUUACGCGGGAUUUGCAAAGAGAUUCCAGAUUUACAAAGUUUAAUUAAAGGAAACAAGCAGAGAAAAAAGAAGAGGAAGCUUUUAGAAAAGUUCAGGACUAUUCUAAACGGUGCAUAGUUAAUAUAUUUAAUAGUUUAGUGUGCCACAUCAUCAAUAAACUAAUCUAAGUCAGAAGAGAAAUUCAAGAGUCCCAUUCAAGUAAGUAUUCCAGCAGUUUUAUUCAGGAAUAAAGGAGGGCAGACCGUCGGACUUUAGGAGCGGACAGAGAGAGUUUUUGGGUUUUCGAAGGUGCAGAGAAGAGGUCGCAGCAAGGAGUGAAACAGAGUCGCCGAUCAUCUGGGCAAUCCAUCACCAUCGUGUGGAAGUAUUUUAUGUUUUUCAGAUUUUUAAUUAUGUUUUCAGAUUUUAUGAGUAACUAAACUCUUUUUCUAAGGUUAGGAUGAUGCCCUAGCAUGGAUGUUUAUGGUUUGUAAUGUUAUUCAUUGGAUUUCCAGUUUCUUUUAGAUGAAUGCUUAAUCACUGUUUGAAUUGUUACUGUUUGUUUGAGUUCUUUGAUUGAUCACCUUAGGACUUUGCAUCUAGUAAGAUUGGAAGAUGAAUUUGAGACUGAACUAACAAUAUAAUUCAAUUAGCUUCUUGUGGUUAAGUGUGGUAAAUUACAUUAUUGCUUGAAAAAGAAUAAUGGUUUGUUUGGGUCCCUUGUUUUCUAGAGGGUAAAGAGUCCUACUUGUUAAAUUUAUGCCUUAACUAGGAUAGACUGCUUGUUAGGAUAUACGACCUCUGCCUAAACUAGGAGAGAAUCAUUCACAUAAGGAAAACUAUGGUCUAAUAUGCCUGACAAGGACUUAGAUACGGGAAUUAUCAUCUAAAGAAUUGAAAGAUCCAUUGAAUGCAUUGAAACCUAAACUAGAUUGCUUGUGGUUGAUUCCGAAUCCCUAGAUUUUCAUCACUUGCCUUAAAACACAACCGUUUCUUUUCUUUAAUUUCAGUUUUUACUUAAGGUUCUGUUUUUGUUCAUUUAUAAAAUCAUCACAACAAAUUUUUUACAUCUUUGAUUGACUUAUUAAUUAAGAUCGAGUCUAGUUCGUUGUUUGGGUUUGUGUGUCUUUAAUAUAAUUAGAUUUGGUUUAGUUUAUCAAAUUGGAGAUUGAAUUAGAAUCCUCGUGGGAACGAUACUUGGACUUGCAAAACGUUAUAUUACGACUAUCUUGUGCACUUGUAAGUUUACACCAAGUUUUUGGCGCCGUUGCCGGGGACUCUAAUUGAGUCCCCCAAUUUGAUAUCAUAUUCCAUAUCUAAUAAGUAGUUUAUUGUAGAUUAUUCAAUUUGAUUUUGUUUUGUUCUCUAGUUUCGAGUAAGAGUCAUAACUAUUAAGAUAAGUAAAAGUAAUUUUCGUCACUGUUUUAUUUCAGUUUUGUAUCACUGUUUCGACACAGUUUUGGACUAAACUAUUCGAUUUUUUACCAGGAAUAUUGUGUAUCGUUGGAAAGCCCCAGAAGUCUAGUUUUCAACCCAAAAAACAGAUCAAUGAUUGGAUUUUUGAGCUGCAAGAAAUGUACAAAAUACUGAGCAGUGGUCAAACAAGGAGCACAGUCUGGUCGUAUAUGCAAGGUAGACGUUCGUUGCAAUUUGAGUUGAUUCAUAUAGACCAAGAACUUGUGCGUACUUUAAGAGAACAGUGGAGGCAGCGAGUGUGUCAAGAACCAGCCAUGGAGGAAGUAGUUAAUAAUGGUGGAAAUAAUCCUCCACCAUUGCUACCACCACAACCAAGGCUCAUGCGUGAUUAUACAAAGCCAACGGAGUACAACGCACCGUCAUGCAUUGUUUUGGCUCCAAUUGCGCAGCGAUUUGAGAUUCGUCCACAAAUCUUUCAGUUGCUGCCUAUAUUUCUUGGGAAGGAGGAAGAAAAUCCAUACCAUCAUAUCAAGGCGUUUUUCAAGCUAUGUUCCACAUUCACAUUCACCAAUGUUACUGAAGAGCAAAUUCGACUUCGGUUAUUCCCAUUCUCUUUGAGGGAUAAAGCAAGCAGUUGGUUGGAUUCUCUUCCCGAAGCAUCUAUCGACACAUGGACAAAAUUAUCGAAGAAGUUUUUGUCCAAGUUCUUCCCCGCUCGAAGAACCAAUGCUCUGAUCAAUGAAAUCAUGAGCUUUCGACAACAAGAAGGUGAACAGUUUCAUGAAAGUUGGGAGCGCUAUAAGGACUUGUUUCUUCAAUGUCCUCAUCAUGGUUUCAACACUUGGCAAAAGGUUCAUUAUUUUUACAAAGGUUUGAACUCUCAAUGUAGGAGUUUGGUUGAUUCAACGGUUGGUGGAACCUUGAUAGACAAAACUCCAGAAGAUGCCAUACAUGCCUUUGAAACUAUAUGUGAAAAUUCUGAGCAUUGGGAUUUUCCUACAAAAGAUUUGAGAGUUCCAACUGCAUCGUCAACAAAAAAAGGAGGCAUUUAUGAAGUUAAUACAAGGACGGGCUUAGAGGCACAAGUGGCAGCCCUCACCAAGCUUCUCACACCACUUGUAAGCAAGAUAGCCACGCAGCCAUGUACUUUAUGUGCGAGCAUCGCCCAUGACAUGGAAAAUUGUCCAACAAAUGCUAAUCUAGAAGGCAUCCAAGAGGUCAAUGCAUUUAGUGGGAGGCCCCGGAAUGAUCCAUAUUCUAAUAAUUAUAACCCGGGAUGGAGAGAACAUCCAAAUUUUUCUUAGAGAGAUUCACAAAAUAGCAUGGGAUCAUUCACUUCAACAAAGCAAUAUCAGCAACCUUAUCAAGCUCCUCCAAUUCAACAAAAAGACUCGUCUAUCAAGGAUAUGUUAUCUCAACUCUUAAAGAAAACUGAUCGGUAUGAACAUGAAGUUGUGUCGCUUAGACAAAGUCAGACGGUGUUGGAAAAGGCUCGAUCUAAUUUUGAGACUCAGUUGGGACAGAUAGCUACUACUUUGAACAAGCUGGAGUGAGCACAAGGGCAAUUUCCAAGCCAAACUGAAACAAAUCCUAGGAAUCAAAAGCAUGUUCAAGCUGUCACCACUUUGAGGAGUGGAAAGACGAUUGGUAAUAAUGUGGAAAGUUCAAAAAUUAAUAAGGAAGAAGAUGAAGGGGUCAGCACAUAUCGGGCAGCAGCUUGACAAGACAAGCUAAAAAAGAGAAGUAUAUGGGAGAUAUUUUAGAGCAAUUUAGAAAGGUGCAGAUUAAUAUUCCUUUUCUCGAUGCCAUCAAACAAAUUCAAUCAUAUGCGAAGUUUUUGAAGGAACUUUGUACUAACAAGAGACGGUAUGAAGAACAUGAGGAGGUGAAGUUAUCAGACACGGUUAGUGCGGUUCUUCAAAGAAAAUUGCCACCAAAACUUCAAGAUCCUGGUAGCUUUACAGUCCCAUGUGUCAUUGGAGAAAGAAAAUUCGAAAAAGCUUUGCUUGACUUGGGAGCCAGUGUGAAUUUGAUGCCCUAUUCUGCUUAUAAACACCUCAAAUUAGGCGAACUAAAGCACAUAUCCAUUUCUCUACAAUGCACUGAUCGUUCUGUGAAAUAUCCAAGAGGGAUUGUUGAAAAUGUACUUGUGUGUGUUGAUCAAUUUAUUCUUCCUGCUGACUUCAUCAUUUUGGACAUGGAAGAAGCCGAAAUUCCUGGUCGUGACUUGCCUCUCAUUCUUGGCAGACCUUUCAUGGCUACUGCAGGUACGAAGAUUGAUGUUAAAUCGGGAUUAUUAACUAUGACUGUGCAAGGUAUUACUGUAGAAUUUCAGGUCUUCGAAGCAUUGAAGAAGCCCAUGGAUCUUUAUGACUGCUUUCGUGUUGAGGUAGUGGAUCCAAUUAUAAAAAAAAACAUUCAUUGAAUCAAGCAUCUCAGAUCCUCUGGAAGUUUGUAUCUCUCAACAUGGGAUGAGUUUUGAAAAGGCUACCAUCAUUGAAGCAGAACGAGAUCUCAAUGCCGUAACGUCCUACUCUCUUAGAUGCCAGCCCAAAUUUGAAGCGUUGCCACUCACAAGCCAAAAUUGUACCAUCCAUUAUACAACCUCCAAAGCUUGAAUUGAAGCCUCUUCCAGAGACUUUAAAGUAUGCAUAUUUGGUGAUUCAGAGACUCUUCCUGUGAUUAUAGCUGCUGAUCUUAACCAAACAGAAGAGGAAAAGUUGAUGCAAAUGUUGAGGGAGCAUAAAACAGCAUUGGGAUGGAGUAUUGCAGACAUAAAAGGAAUUAGUCCUCAAUUUGCAUGCAUCGGAUAUAUCUUGAGGACAAGUCAAAGCCUUCUAGAGAGGCACAGCGACGUCUAAAUCCACAUAUGCAAGAAGUGGUUCGGGCAGAAGUUCUUAAAUUACUGAAUGUCGGCAUUAUUUAUCCUAUAUCUAACAGCAAAUGGGUAAGUCCACUGCAGGUUGUACCACAGAGAUCUGGAAUUACAGUUGUCAAGAAUGAAAAUAAUGAGCUUAUACCCCAGAGGACUGUCACGGGUUGGAGAAUGUGUACAGAUUACAGAAAGAUCAAUAAUUCAACUCGAAAAUAUCAUUUUCCACUCCCUUUCCUUGAUCUCAUGCUUGAGAGACUUGCAGGCCAUAGUUAUUAUUGUUUUCUUGAUGGCUAUUCCAGAUAUAAUCAAAUUCCCAUAGCUCCGGAAGAUCAAGAAAAGACUACUUUCACAUGUCCAUUUGGAACUUUUGCCUAUCGACGAAUGCCUUUUGGGUUAUGUAAUGCUCCCGCAACAUUCCAAAGAUGCAUGAUGAGCAUUUUCUCAAACUUGGUGGAAAGGUGUAUCGAAGUGUUCGUGGAUGAUUUUUCCGUGUUUGGGUCAUCGUUUGAUCAAUGUCUUCAUCAUCUUUCAUUGGUGCUCUAACGGUGUCAAGAAACCAACUUGAUUUUAAAUUGGGAAAAAUGUCAGUUUAUGGUGAAAAGUGGUAUUGUUCUUGGUCAUGUAAUUUUAGCUGACGGAAUUGAAGUUGAUAAAGCUAAGGUGGAGCUGAUUUCGAAGCUUCCUCCUCCCACUUCUGUAAAAGAAGUUCGAUCCUUUCUCGAGCAUCCAAGUUUUUAUCGCCGAUUUAUUAAAGAUUUCUCGAAAAUCACCAAGCCACUUUGUGAUCUGCUUGCUAAAGAUUCUGUGUUUAAUUUAAAUGGUGAGUGCUUACAAGCUUUUGAGACCCUCAAGAAAGAAUUAACACAAGCCCCAAUCAUAAAAGCUCCAGAGUGGUCUCUUCCUUUUGAAAUCAUGUGUGACGCCUCUGAGUAUGCAAUAGGUGUUGUGUUAGGGCAGCGAGUUAACAAACUUCCUCAUGUUAUAUUUUAUGCUAGCCGAAUUCUCACUUAACAACUUUCAUAUCCCUUAGUUUCCAAAAUUUAAUAUACAAAUUUAGUCUCCCAAGCAUUGCUAUAUUACUUAAGUAUUGAUUAAUAGACUUAUUUCUUAUGGUGACACAUUAUUUAGUUUACAAAUUUAGUCUAUCUAACAUUACUCUUUUGACAUUGUCUUGUCCACUGAUAUAAUUCUAUUUUUCUUGUGAUCAAAACUUCAAAUGUUAGCAAGUCGCACGUAAAGUCGCUUCUGAGAGAAUGUGCUCACAUUGUAGUUGAAAGAUUAUGUGGCUAGCAACAUUACAAAUUUAAUUUGGUAUAAUUUUAAAAUAUAGAUUGAGGAAAAAAAGGAUCACAUUAACUAGAAACUGAAAAGGUUUCGGCGCAAUAUGUUCAAGCAAGAAACUCAAUUUUGAUGCUACCGAUCUUAACAGCCUGAGCGCCGUACCUGGGCACUAAAGUCACCACCACACUCUCAUCAUCUUCAGCACCCAAAUCCUCCAACAGGUCCGUUAACCCCAACCUUAAACAACUCUUGCUCUUUUCCUUCUGCUUAUGUGGCACACUCACAAAACUCCCAGCAAACUCGCUCUUGUCGGGUCCACUCGGUGCCGCAUCCUCAUCAUCCACGUCAUUCACAUACACAUCAAACUUCACAGCCACAUCUUUGUCAAGCUCAAUCCCCCGAAUCACCAAUAUCUCCUCCUCAUCCUCUUUCUCCUUCUUGCUCCUCUUCUUCGGCUUCGGCCUUGACACCACCGUAGUUAUCUUCGUCUCCAAAUUUAUUGGAAAAUCUUUACCCGCCACCACCU
This 99957-nucleotide long non-coding RNA is filed under the name Malus domestica (apple). RNAcentral describes it as "long non-coding RNA (MDOM_LNC009719)". The record is from RNAcentral. Lineage: Eukaryota; Viridiplantae; Streptophyta; Magnoliopsida; Rosales; Rosaceae.